This 145444-nucleotide long non-coding RNA is filed under the name Eucalyptus grandis. Lineage: Eukaryota; Viridiplantae; Streptophyta; Magnoliopsida; Myrtales; Myrtaceae. The record is from RNAcentral.
UUUAAAUUGUACUUAAAAGAGAGAUUAAAUACUUAUGAGACCUUGAGCAAGUGUAGUAGAGUUUCUAUGCUGUGGAAUCAAGAACGUGAGACUGUAAAAUCUCUUUUGGUUCUUAGUGGAAUCUAGCCAAUGGGCUAUCAAUGCAGGAGAGUGGAUGUAGGCUUGGUCUAAACCGAACCACUAUGAACCUCGUGUUUCAAUUCUCUUUCCCUAAACUCUUUAUUUUAAUUCGCAGUUUUAUAUAACUGUUUACAAUCUUUUAUAUCUCCAGUCCACUGUUUUCAUAAAAGUCGAAUUAAGUUGUUAAGUCUGGCAAAAACCUCUUUAACACCUACUCACCCCCCUCUAGGUGUUUUUACUAGCUUUAUCAAUUGGUAUCAGAGCCUGCGUGCUCAUUUAAUUGAAGUGUUUUACUUCUGAAUUAAUGAUCUAUGGCUUGUAUGUUGGCUCCAAAUUGGUUAAAGGCCAGAGUAACACCAGACCACCUUAUUUCGAUAGAAAGGAAUAUAGCAUACAGAAAAACAAAAUGAAGGCAUUCCUAAGAUCGAAAGAUCCUCUGGAAUGAAAUUUGAUAUGAAAAGAAAUUAUUCCUAAAGCUACAUUAGUUUCAGAAAGGGGAAAAGAAGUUGCAGAUGCUGGCGAGAUGACUCAAGAAGAAAUAAUCAAGAAACAAGCUCUUGAUGCUAAAGCAAUUUACUUCUUAUAUUGUGCAUUAUCUCCUACUGAAUAUAACAGAAUAUCUUCUUGUGAAACAGCCAAAGAAGUCUGGGAUAGACUGCACAUUACCUAUGAAGGAACUGAUCGAGUGAAAGAGACAAGGAUCAAUAUAUUACUCGGACAGUAUGAAGCCUUCAAGAUGAAGCCAGGAGAAUCUAUUACUGACAUGUUUAGUCGUUUUACAGAAAUUGUAAAUGGUCUAUAGUAUUAGGGACAACCAAUCUUAGGAUCCAUGAAGGUUAACAAGUUGCUGCGUGGACUCUCCAAAAACUGGAAUCACAUAAAGACUUCAAUAAGGGAAACUCAAAGGAUCAUGACACUUUCUGUAGACGAAUUGGUUGGCACACUUCAGUCCUAUGAAGUGGAGCAAAUCAAUGAGGAAGAAGAUCCCAAAGGUAAGAAGUCAAUUGCUUUGAGAUCUAAUGAUGAUUUUGAUGUUACAGAUUUUGAAGAUGAUAUGGAUGAUGAAGAGUUAGCUCUUAUGAUAAAGAGAUUUAGGAAACUGAACAAAAAGGGAAGAAGAUUCAUUUGGAAGAAAUAAAGCACUCAAAAGUUUCAAAAUAAAUCAACUAAGGAUGAUGAAGCCAAUAAAGAUGUGAUCUGUUUUGAAUGCAAGAAAAAUGGACGCAUCAGACCUAAUUGUUCCGUGUUGAAAAAGAAAAAGAAAGGAAAACCUGAGAAAUACAUAAAGGUUCUUAAGGCAGAGACAUGGAGUGAUACUGAAUGCGAAGAAAGUGAUGAAGAUUAUGCCAAUAUUUGUCUAAUGGCAAAAUCAGAAUCAGACUCAGACUCUGAAAUAGAUACAGACUUAGACUCGGAUAGUGAAAUUGAGGUAAGUAAUUUAAAAAUCCCUACUAAAGUCUCGAAAUACAUUGAAGAACUUUGUCUUAGUCUCAAAACCUCUCUCAAAAGGAUUUCCAAGCUAAAAAGGGAGAAUUCUACACUGAAGCAACAUGAAAUUUUUUGGAAAAAAAAAGUUUGAAAAUUUAGAUAAAAAUUUUGUUACUUUAAGAGAAAAUGCAGACUCUCUUUCAAAAGAAAAUACAUUUUUGAAAAAUGACAUUUCAGAUAUUUCAAAAAGGUUUUCAAUAGGAUCUGAGAAGUUGGAAAAUAUUCUUUCAAUACAAAGACCCUACUUUAACAAAUCAGGCUUAGGAAUGACUUCUGAAACUAUUCAUCUAAUUGAUUUUCCAAAAGUGAAGGAAAUAAUCAAAUAAAGGCCUACAAAAACUUUUUAUAGAAAUCAUUUUCAAAAAGUCUUUGUAAAAUCUGUUGGGCGAAGUGCUCUCAAAUGUUCUAAGUGCAACAGCUCAUAACACUUUGAGAAAGAAUGUCCUAGUUUGGAGACCUGUUAAAAGGGAAUGGGUAAAGACUGCUUUUUGCAUUAACUCCUCUGGACCCAAGAAAAUGUGGGUACAAAAAAAAAACUUGAGUUUCUUUUUUAAUUGCAGGUCACGAUUAAGAAAAAAAGUUAGAUGAUAUUUGGAUAGUGGCUGUUCAAGGCAUAUGACUAGAGAUUCAAGCUGUUUUAUAAAACUUGUGCAAAUACAUGGUGGAAAAGUCUCUUUUGGUGGAGACAAUAAAUGAAGAAUUGUUGGAUGUGGUACUGUAAAAAUUGGAAGUCUCACAAUCAACAAUGUUUCCUUGGUGGAAGGACUUAAUUACAAUUUGCUCAGUAUUAGACAAUUGUGCGACACUGGAUUCAAAAUCAAUUUUCAAGAAGGAAUAUGUUCGGGAACAAGCAAAGAUCUUUCACAAUCUUUUACUAGACGAAGACAUGGGAACAUCUAUCCUCUAGAUAUAAAACCAGAGAAAUCUCUAUGUCUAAUUUCAAUUCAAGAUGAAGCAAAUCUUUGGCAUCGAAAGCUUGGCCAUGUCAACAUGAAGCAGAUUGCCAAGAUCUCUUCUAAGAACCUUGUUCGAGGGCUGCCUAACCUAAAGUUUCAAAAAUUUGAUUUAUGCACACCAUGUAUUGGGAAAGCAGGUUAGAAGUUCUUUUAAAUCAAUAAAUCAGGUUUCUACUAAUCGACAUUUUGCAACUUCUGCAUAUAGGCGGAAAGAGAUAUUGUCUAAUAAUUGUGGAUGAUUAUUCAUGAUUCACUUGGGUUUACUUUCUGUCAAGUAAGUCUGAAACAUUUUCUUACUUUUCAAAAUUUGCUAAGAAAGUUCAGAACGAGAAAAUAUAUGUUAUUUCAAGCAUAUGGACAGACCAUGGAGGUGAGUUUGUAAAACAAGACUUUGCAAAAUUUAGUGAUGAAUCUGGUUUUCAACAUGUUUUCUCCUCUCUAUACAUACCAGAACAGAAUGGAGUUGUGGAAAGAAAGAAUAGAUCUUUGUAGGAGAUGGCAAGAACUCUUUUAAUAGAAAGUAAUAUUUCCUCUCAUUUUUGGGCUGGAGCAGCUUCUACAACAUGUUAUAUUAUUAACAGAGUCUUUCUAAGGCCAAUUCUGGGGAAAACUCCUUAUAAGUUAUUCAAAAGGAAAGAAGCCAAUUGUUUCUUACUUUCAUGUAAUUGAUUGCAAAUGUUUUAUUUUGAAAAAUGUAAAUGAUCGAAUUGGUAAGUUUGAAGAAAAAUCAUAUGAAUGAAUCUUCCUUGGAUAUUCAACCACCAGCAAAGCUUACAGAGUAUUCAACAAAAAGACCCAGUUUGUAGAAGAAUCUACAAAUGUCAAAUUCCAAGAUUCUUUGCAAAAUCAACUGAUUCAAACUCAUUCUAAAGAAUUUGAACCUGCUCCAAACUCUACAAAGUCUACCUCUCUUGAAGCAGCUCAGAAAAUCAACAAUGAACGGAAGCUGAAAAAUCAACUGAAGAAGAAGAUCAACAAACUGUCAGACUAACAAGCAACUGGAAGUACAAGUCCAGUCAUCCCAAAGAACUCAUCAUUGGUAACAUUGAUGAAGGGAUUCGCACAAGAUCCAAAAUGCAAGAAGAGUCUAGCGCCAUGACAUUUAUUUCUGAAAUAGAACCCAAAAGUAUAGAAGAAGUUUUAGCUGACGAAAACUGGAUUGAAGCAAUGCAAUAAGAACUCAGACAGUUCAGCAUUAAUGAUGUAUGAGAAUUAACUCCUAAACUAAAAGGUAAAUCCAUUAUUGGAGCUAAAUGAGUUUUCAAGAACAAGUUGGACAAAAAAGGAAAAGUGAUCAAGAAUAAAGCAAGACUUGUGGCCAAAUGAUAUACACAAGAAGAAGGGAUAUAUUAUGAUGAAACCUAUGCAUCGGUAGCCAGGUUAGAAGCAAUUAGAUUAUUACUUGCUUUUGCCUGUUAUAAAAAUUUCAAGUUAUUCCUAUGGACGUCAAGAGUGUAUUUCUAAAUGGAUUUAUCUAAGAAGAAGUCUAUGUGGAACAACUUCUUGGAUUUGAAGAUCUAAAGAGACCAGACUCAGUAUUCAGACUGAAAAAGGCUCUAUAUAGAUUAAAGCAAGCACCUCGAGCUUCGUAUGACAAGUUAGGUAAUUUUUUAAUGCAAAAUGGUUUUGUCAAAGGAAAAAUGGACACUACCUUGUUCAUUAAAAGGGAAGGUAAAAACUUUAUACAUGUUCAAAUUUAUGUUGAUGAUAUAAUAUUUGGGUCACCUAAUGAAAACCUGUGCAAGCAGUUUUCUAAGUCUAUGUAGGAUGAAUUUGAGAUGAGCAUGAUGAGUGAAUUAUCCUUCUUUCUCAGAUUACAAGUGAAACAAUUGAAAGAAUGAAUUUUUAUUCACCAAGAAACAUAUGCGAAAGAACUUGCUAAAAAGUUCGGAUUGAAGAAUUGCAAAAAGAAUGAGGUACCAAUGUCUAGUUCUUCGAAGCUGGAUAAAGAUGAAGGAAGAAAGAAAGUUGAUCAGAAGAUUUAUAGGAGUAUUAUUGGUUCACUUGUUUAUCUUACUGCUUCUAGACCUAACAUUUUGUUUAGUGUUUGCAUUUGUGCUAAAUUUCAAUUUGAUCCAAAAGAGUCUCAUCUAAGUGCCGCAAAACGCAUCAUCAAAUACAUUGCAACUACAAAUUUAGGUCUGUGGUAUCCCAAAAAAGAAAAAUUUACCCUCCUUGGAUAUUCAGACGCAAAUUUAGCAUGUUGCAGAGUUGAUAGAAAGAGUACAUUCGGUACAUGCCAAUUGCUGGGAAACAAGAUAGUAUCUUGAUUCUCAAGAAAGCAAAGCAUUAUAGCUCUUUCAACAUCUGAAGCAUAUUAUGUGGCUCUUGGAAGUUGUUGUUCUAAAAUCUUAUGGAUAAAAUAACAACUAAGAGACUUUGGAAUCGAAGACUCAUGCACCGAGAUCAAAUGUGAUAAUACCAGCACAAUCAAUCUAACAAAGAAUCCAAUUCUUCAUUCAAGAGCAAAGCACAUAGAGAUUCGACAUCACUUUAUUAGAGAUCAUGUUCAAAGUGGAGAAGUUAUGAUUCAAUUCAUUGAUUCAAAGAAUCAACUGGCGAACAUAUUUACAAAGCCACUGGAAAAAAGCCUAUUUGAGUCUAUUCGCACCAGACUAAACAUUACAUCUAUUAUCUAUUAAAGUCUGAAGGAGCUUAGACUUAUAAAGUUUGAAGGUGUUUAAACUCAGAAGACCAAGAGUUACGACUAUAAGUUAUUUCUAUUCCAGUAUUUUAAACUUGAAAAUGUACGAUUACUUAUUAAUUGCUAAUUGGUUGAAAUUAUCUUUCUAAGUUUUUUCUCUUUCAAAAAUGCAGUUAUCAAUUUUGAAAAGAUAGUUAUUUUCAAAAAAGAAGUUAUUCUUUUUCGAAAUGGUAUUUUUAUUUUUCAUUUUACGAUGUUUCGUUUACCUCGCUUCACUUGCUUUAUAUACUGCCAAGAUUCUUCUUCUUCGUUUUUACACUGAAACCCUAGAAUACAAAAUUUCCACUUGCUUUCACUUUCACUCUCAAUUUGUCCAAAAGUUUUCACAUUUUUCGAGCAGGUUUGUGAAUUUCUCUCUUGAAGUGACAAUGUCUUCGAGAAAGUCUUCAAGGAUUGUAAGCAGGGGACCACGACAUAUGCCUGAGAGUCCUAUGCAUUUCGACUUGACUGAGGAAGAAGAUUCUUCUCCACCACUACGUCCGAGUUAGCAAUAGCCUUCUCAGCAACGUUAGUCUUCUCCACCGACUCAACCAAACGAAGAAUUUAUAGAAGGGGCCGAACCUGUAAGAAUGCUAACUCCCAAGGUUGCUUACAAACUUUACUCUAAUUUGAAGAAAGGAGGAACACCAAUGUCUUUGAUCAAUGAAUUUUUAAGAGAUAGAGGAUACAAGAAUGAAACCUUGUUCUUGUGGGAGUUGGGGAGGUUAGGAGUUGUAGACUGAGGGAUGGUUGAAAGAACGUUUGCAAAUUUUUCCGAGUGAUCCAUUCUAUGGCACUGCAAAUCAACCACAAGGAUUGGACGAUAAUGAACGGAUGUUUAUCCAUUUUCAGCUCAGAACAAGUGUUGCUACAAAUGUUGUUAGUGACGAUUAAAAUCUUUUCAGAUCGAAGAAUCACUAGAAAGCUUAUUCAAACCUAAUGAAGAGAGGGGUUAUGAACCCUAGGAGUGUUGACUUUGAUUUCCUUGAUUCGGUAAAAGUCAAUCUGCGAGAGAAGCUUGCUCUACUGCAAUUGGAGCGCUUUUGUUCUGAAUCCACUGUUGCUUAUUAUAAACUCACUGUCUACUUUUACUCGAACUUAUCUUUCUUGGAUGCGAAUAGUUUCUCUUUCACAGUGAAGGACAAACAAUUUUUGGUAGAUAUGGACACUUUGGUUGACAUAAUUGGGGUGGAAAGAACAAGUUUCCAACCAAUUAGUGUGUCUAUUGCUCAUGCUACUCUGUCGUUGGUGAAAGAUAGGGAUGUUAAAAGGAAGAUUUCCUACUUAAGGAUGAAUGCCUCUAACAUCUUGCUGGACAGAUCGUAAUCAACUGCAUUCGUCCAAAGUCGACAUCCAAGACUGAUGUCUCUCGAUCUGAAGCGAAAUUGAUGUAUGCUAUCAAUGCUAGAUUUAAAUUCUCUUUGCCUCACACCAUCUUGUUUCAUAUGUACCAAACAGUGGUGAAGGAUAAGGGACAACUCCCUUAUUCUGCUCUUAUCACACGUCUCUUUAGACACUUGAAAAUUCACAUUUCUACACCAUUAUUUUUUACAACCAUCUCUCUAAUGGUGAUUGGUUUUAAAAUGGUCACAAAAAUGCGUUUGAAAGAGCUGAACAAGGUGUUGAAGCGUAUGAAAGAAAAGUCUCUCGUCAAAGCAAAACAAAACUCUGCUGCAGCGAAAAAGAAAGGUAAGGAGCCCAUGGUUGCUUGAGUAAAGAAGAAAAUAACUCUCAUCUUGCAAAAUGAAGAAGAUGAGGAUAAAAUGACUCUUUCAGCCUUAAGAAACUUAAAGAGUUUUAUCAGCUUUCAUGAGACAAGAGAAGAGCCAGAAGAAGGAAAAAAAGAGAGAAGAAACAGAGAAGGAUAGAGGAAGAAAGAAGAGAAGAGGAAGAAGAAGAAGAAGAAGAAGAAGAGGAGAGAGAAUGAGAAAAAGAUCAGGGUCAAGAAGACUCUUUUGAGCCAACUUUGGUUGUCUCCCUGUCUAAUAACUCUGAGGUGGAAGAAAUUGGAACUUCUGACAUGCAUCACUCUGAAGCUGAAGUUGAUCGAGAAGCAAUCUUACUUACUCCACCUGAAGGCAACCAAACAAGGGGAGCUAUUGGACCAAAAGGUAUUUCUUCACCGAUAUUUACUAGUGAUGUAAGUCGUUCUACAACAGACCCAAAGUAUGUGUGCCUCUCAUUAUCCAGAAGUUUCCACUCAUAGUCAUGGUGGCCAAUCUGUUGAAGCUCCAUCCAUUCUCAAAAUCCCUAGAAUCGACUCAGUUGGUCCUAGUGCUGCAACAGCUCAAAAAGCAGACUUUUCGAGAGUGCUAGAAAUUUUAUUAGAUCCAAGGAAGCAACAAUAUGCUAUGGGGUAUGAGAUGCAUGAUCUCAAGAAUGCUUUCAUGGCCACUUCAGUGUCUUUACACGAUCAGUUAAACGCCCUGAAGAAUCAAGUGCAGACUACUGUGCAGGGUGAAGAUUUUCAAUCACUGAAGUAGAGUUUUGAAAGGCUUGAGAAGACAGUGCAUUCUAUGGGAGAAUUCGAGCUUGUUCGCCUUCCCAAACAACUUUGAUUCUCUCUAUUUUCAACCAGCUCUUUUUAUUUGUUCUCCACUUUUUUGUUGUUGACAAAAAGGGGGAGAGGUUUGAUGCAUAUUUGAUAACUUUUUUACUAUUGGACUUAUCUUUUGUUUGGUUUGGUUGUGAUUUGGACUGGUUUGGACUGAUGAUGCUUGCAAGUAACUUAAGCUAUAGCUAUGUUAUUGAUUAUGGUAAAGAUAGUUGCUUUUAUAGGACUAACAUGUCUUCUAUGGUUGCAGAAUCACUACUAUCAUUAUCCUAAUCUCUACUUAUCUUUUAUAAGAAAUUUUGGUUUGCUUAAGUGUUGUUUCAUAGGGUAAAGUGUCCAAAUCUGCGGGAAAGUUUUAUCACUAUAAAAAAUGGGGAGAUUGUUAGAGAAAACUUCUCUGUUUUGAAGUUGACAAAACGUUUCUAUCAGUCUAGUCUAAAGACUUGCAGACUCUAUCGUCAAUAUUUGAAGACCUCUAGACUUAAGAUUUAAAAUCUACCAUCAUUGAUAGUUUCCAGAUCGAUGAAGAAAAGAUUUAUCUGAUGAAGAAAAUUUAUCCAGAUGCAAGUAUAUCUUUAAGGAUUUUGUUCGUAUGAUUGAAGAAGAUCUCACGGCUGGAUAUAGCAUCUCAUGAUUAAUUAUUCUUAUUGAAAUCAAUUUGUCGCGACCCAAUUUUUCAGGUGCCGAACCUAAAGCUAGUUUAAUGGAUUGCUAAGUUUUUAAGCUUAGCUCGGGCUCUCCCAAACCCAUACCAAUUCGCGACUUAAGGUCAAUAUUUAGCAUGCAAAUGAAUUUUAACUAGGAGUCGCCACUAAUCGGUUUAUGGUAGGUCGAUUAGACACCUAAGUAAAAUAAUGAGAGAAUUACUUUACUCCUACGAACCAGAGACUAAGGGUAUGGGGACUUGGUUACAUUAGAUUUCUCUAAUGCCCUUUCGGUACCAUUCUUUUUAUUUUCAAAAAUGUUUUUUGCAGGCAACUGAUUUAUUUUAACCUAAAUUACUAUCAUGCAAAGCGAUCAUGCGGGUGCGCAAAUUACCAAUUUAACACCUAAGAAAGCAAUUAAAUAAUGCAGAACUUACCUCAAAGCAACGAAAGCAUCUGCAUUGUUAAAUUAAAAUCCACAUCAAUAACCCUAGAUAUGAUUUCUAAUUAACACGCAAUCUCAAUUUUUGUUUUCGCUUUAUUUAAUGAAAAUCAUGCGAUGCAUGCUAAUAAUCUAAUAUGACAUGGCAGCACGACCUAAACUAUAUGACAUGAAGAAAUGCAAUAAUUAAAUGCAAUAUAAAUGACCUAAUUCUAAUGACAUGCAAUGCAAUGCAAUGACAUACAAAAUUAUUUCUACUAAAAUGACACGCAACACGCAACUUAAUAUGCAAGCUAUAUGUCACGUGACAUUUAUUAAAUGACAUAGUCUAAUGACGAGGAAGUUUUAAUUAAAUGAAUCUAGUAAUCACUAAAUGACGUGUAUUUCAUGAACCUAAAUCUAUAUGAUGUGCACAUGAUCAUUCCUAACAAAAGCGUGCAAUAUAUUUGGGAGAAAUUAUCUAAACCUAUAAUAUACAAUCCUAACAUGCCAUGACAUGCAAAGAAUGCCCUAAUUCUACAUGACAUAUGCCUGAUCUUUUUUAUGUUUUUUAUUUAUUUAUAAAAUUCGAAAUUUAAAAUUGCCACGUGAUUAAACAUGCAACUUAAAUUAAAAUUGCCACGUGAUUAAACAUCCUAAAUGAAUGCAUUUUUUAUUUUAUAUUUUUUCUAAAUUCGAAAUAAAAUCCCUAUUCCAGAUAUGCAUGAUAACAAGAAAUAUUUCAAAACAAACUGAAUCCUAAUUUAAAUAUUUUUUGGAUUUUUUCAAUGGUUCUCCAAAACAAACAAUUAUCAAAUAAACAUUGUAUUUAAACUAAUCAAGGCAUCCAAUCAUAUAAAUGAUUAAAAUAAUCGAAAAAAUAACAUGUUGUCUAACAGAUCAAAUUAACAAUUAUUCUAACCCUGAAUAUCACGACAAGAAGUUCAAAAUAAUUAAAAAUCUAAUCCGAAGUCUUACGGAUCAAAUUAAUAAUUAUAUUGAUUCAACAAUUAAGAUACUAUCAACAAACCCAAAAAUUAAUAUAAUUAAAAAAAAUGAGCCGACAUCUUACGAGUCAAAUUAAUAAUUACAAUAAUUUUAGGGAUAACUCCUACCGAUAAUGCCUACAAUAUCCAUAAAAUAACGCCCAAUCCUCUAAAUUACCUAGUAACAAGUAAAUUUGAUAAAAUAAAUAAAUAAAUAAAACUACCUAAGGUAGAGAACCAAAGGGAGGAAGGCAGCACGAUGGGUAUGGGCGCAACAACAGUUGCUGAUCGGCGCCAAAACUUCAGCGGGGAUGACGACGAAGCACGGGUGAAGCGACCAAUGCUCAGACACAGGCAAAAGGGGCGCGAGAUCUGAAAAUCACAGUGAUUGCGAAGGCGGGUCUAGCUGCAGGAACGGCAGAGAACUCCGGGGCGUGCGUUGCAGGCGUAGGGCUCCAGAUCCAGUUCGGGUGGUCACUCGAAGGGCAGAGAGGUGAUCGAUCAACAGAUCUCAGACCGACGAGUAGAACCCAAACGGCUGCAAGAGUGUGUACGCGUUGGUAUGGACGACAGAGGUGUCGAGUGAACUUGGGAUCAAUCGGGAUGAGGCGAGGGCUCGGACUUUGGAGGCUGGGCGACGGGCCGCUCCGAACAGCAGGUGGAUUGCAGGUCUUUGGCUCCGAGCAACAGGUGUCGCGAUUUAGGCGAGGCCGGGGAGCAGCAUUCGGUUGUUGGUGCAGGACCGACUCAGGUGAGCGGGGGCGUCAGGCUUGGCUGCAAUGGGCUUUAGGUCACAGCAGCGGCGAAGAUGGUCUCUGGCGGCAAUGAACAGCAGGAUCUUGGGUCGGCGUGGCACGGGGAGGCGUUGGGCGACAACGGGUCAUCGAAAUCGUGGGUCGGCGCGGCACGAACGGGAGAGCUCGGGCGGAUACUGGUGGGGCUUCGAGCAAUGUGGCCGCGGCUGGCCUCGGCUUCCAGGCGGCGUCGGCGUGGCAAGACGGCAGCGGCUAGCAGGCAACGUCGGUGGCCGAUCAGGAUGCUGGCGGAGUGACGGUGGGCGCGGGGGUCUUCGCGGAUGGAAGUUGCAAGGGGUGCGAGCAAAGGGGGUCGGUGGUUCACCGAAGAAGAAGCACAGUGUUUUCUCUCUCCUCUGCUGGCCUCCUCACGUCACUUUCCUCUCUGCUUUUCAUUGUUGCACUUUUUCUCCUCCCUAAAGCUCGAAAACUCUCGCUUCUCUUCUCUCUCACGUCACUCUCCUGCUGACUUUUUCCUUUUCUCUGCAGUUUGUCAAGAAAAGAAAAGAGAAAAAGCUCUCUUUUGACUAAAGAUGGACGAGGAAGAAAGCCUUUUCUUUCUCUUUUUACUUCUCACUUCUUUUUCCCCCUUUCAACGAAGAGAACCCUCGAAAAGCCCCCCUUUCUCUCACCGUACACGAUUGCUUCUAUAGGUAAAAAUAGGUGAUCUUCUUAGAAUAUUUUAUCUCGCUUUUUCAAUAUACACAAAGAUAAUCUAUAACCUCCCGAUCACCCAAAAUCCUCUUAUUUUCCUUAUCUCCUUAAUAUUCCAAACGAUCUUAUCACCUAAAGACUAAAAAUAAGAUUGCGACCUAAUUCCAAAAACCACCGUAAUAUCGCAUAAAAUCUCAAUUUCCCACGAGAUAAUUAAUUUAAAAAAUAACGGGCUUUGGCUAAUUUACUCCUUUUGCGGGCCUAAUCUGGCCUGCCAAGCUAGAGCUCAGAAAUAUUAACUCACACCCCUCCACCACCAGUCCUAAAAAAUAAAAUGCAAAUAUGCAGACUAAAAAUAAAUGCAUCUAAAUUUAUAUGCUAUGCAAUUAAUAUUUUUUUAGGGAUAAAAUUACCCAUAAUUUUCUAUGCAAUAAAUAAAUGUUCGACUCGUCAAAAUUUAGGUAUCAGCACAAUUUGAAUAAUUAAAUCUGUUGAUUGGUGAAGUAUACUUGGAAGAUUCUACUUAUGGAAACCUAGAUCCUGAUUGCAUGGGCGAGCAUGAUUGGUGGGCUAUCAUCACAUUUCUUAAAUAACUCGAGAUCUUCUUAAUUGAUUCUAUCCAACGGAUAGAUUGGAAGAACUCAUUUGUAAGGUGCCAAUGGUUAUAAUGGCAUGGAGGAGUAUAUAAGGAGGACGUUCUAGUUAUUCGAGUGUGUGCGUGAAAGAAAAUUUUCAAAGUCUAAAGCUCUUAGUUCUUCGCCGUUUCAAUUUGUCAAGCUUAAAUUGUACUCAAAAGAGAGAUUAAAUACUUGUGAGACCUUGAGGAAGUGUAGUAGAGUCUCUACACUGUGGAAUCAAUGACGUGAGACUGUAAAAUUUCUUUUGGUUUUUAGUGGAAUCCAGCCAGUGGGCUGUCAGUGUGGAAGAGUGGACGUAAGCUUGGUGUAAGCCGAACCACUAUAAACCUUGUGUUUCAAUUCUCUUUCCCUAAAUUCUUUACUUUAAUUCGUAGUCUUAUAUAACUGUUUACAAUCUUUUAUAUCUUCAGUCUACUAUUUUCAUAAAGGUCGAAUUAAGUUGUUAAGUCUGACAAAAACCUCUUUAACACCUAUUGACCCCCCCCCCCCUCUCUAGGAGAUUUUACUAGCUUUAUCAAAUUCAUUCUUGAAAAAUGUUUUAGACAUCCUCAGAUAUGACAUAUAUUUUAUUCAAGAUUUUAGGCAUUUAAAAAAAAGGAGAUUUUAGCUCCGUCAUUUGAAAACCGAACCUUUGUUUUUUCUGGGACUUGUGAUCUUUUGGGAUUCACUGGAUUUUUAUCAACUCUUAGAGUUCGAAUUUCAAAAUUAUUUCUAUAUAAAAGUUGUUUGUCACAUCUUGUAGUUUAACAUAGUCAAAUUUCAGAUCAAAUGGACAAGUUUCAGAUCUCGAAUCAAGCUGGUUUUGGAAAACGUGAUUUCUAGAAACGGACCCAGUUUUUAUAUUGGAUUGAGCAAUUUAUUGGGCCUAAUCUAAAAGGAUCUGGGUUGAGGUGUCUCAUAAAAAAAUGUUUUUUUACGUGUCAUUUACAACAUAUUCAAAUUUGAGAAUUUUCCGAACUCGUUCAAUUAGGUUUCUAGAUUUAAACUUGGAGACGCGCGAGUGGACCGUUUCUGCCGGUUAGGAUCGAUAGUAGUUUGUGAUUGUUCUUGAUACUUUGUUUGCUAGAAAUUGGAAAUUUGGUGAUGUGGUUGACCUGUGAUAUGCUUAAAAGUUAUGCGUGAUGAUGCGCAGAUGGUUGUGCCAUGAUUGUGGUUUAUUGUUAUUGCUUCAUAUGGCGACUAUUGAAAGGGGAUGAGAUGUGUUGAGAAAACCGAAUGGUUGUGAGCAAAUAAAGGACUAAGUGUGUACGAUAACAAAACUUCGUAUGAGCCACCUCUAGAACCUUGUACCAUUGCUUAUGAUAGUCGAGAACUAAAUGAUACACUACAGCAUGGGAGCCACCUCUAGUAACUUAAGCUUUUGCUUAUGAUAGUCAAGAAUUAAGUGCUACACGACAGCGUGACUACGUGGGAGCCAUCUCUAGUAACUUGAGCUAUUGCUUAUUGUGGUCAGGGACUAAGUGCCACACGAUAUUGGAACUUCGUGGGAGGAGAGCACCUCUCGAACCUUGAGUCUAAUUUCAAGUUUAAGUAUUGAGUUGGAUAUCGAGAGUGAAUAUCGGGUGUGGAUUGAGCCAUCGAUAUGAGUUAUCCGCAUUUGAUUAUGGGACGAACUCGUGUGGCAUGGAAUGGGACGUGUCAUAACGAUUUGGCCCUAUAAUAGGGACUUCUGUGAAUAUUCGAUGAGUGUUAUGAAGUGUUCCAAUUGCUAAUUAUGCAUGAUGCGUUUAUGAGUGCAUAUGAGAUGUACUAAUGUGCAGAGAUGUGCCCAAGCAAGAUACGUUCUGGAUAGUGUAUGUUUAGGACGCCUUUGAGUGAAUUCUCACCCUAGUCGGGGCUUAGGAUUUAACUCGCUGAGAUUUUUAUCUCACCCCAUUGUGGGUUACCCUAUUCAGGUACCUAGGGUGGAGAACCCGGAGCCAAGACUGCAGGAUCAAGAGCGUAGGUAGUUCAGUAGUUCUUUUCGAACCAGACUUAUGCAUAUAGACUGGUAGGACCAACUUGAGAUGUUUGUAAAGUGUGUUUUGAGAAAAAUUGGUUGUCCUGCUUUCCUAUCACAUGUUUGUUGUUGUCUGGGAUUUAUGAGUUCGCUUCCGCAUGUGCACAAAACGAAAGGGUCGGCGCAAAAUUUUAGUCAACCGCCAAGGGAUGUGCACGUGCCCGGGGUUCGGGGCAUGACAAGUUGUGUUAGAGAAUCCCCACAUUAGAGAAGUGGUGUAAUGUUAAGCAAUUAAUAUAUAUUGUUCAUAACUCAUUAGCUUAAGCUUUUUUAAUGAAAGUGGAUCCAAUUAAAUAUGUUUACGAGCUUGAGCUCUCUUUUAGUGAAUUUCCUGGGUGAAUAUAUCUGGUUUCUACUGCGUGCUCCCAACAAAAGUUAUGAUAUUGUAAUAGAGUUGGUUCAUGACAUGCAAUCACUAUUGACGCACCCUUAACAAAAUAAAUGAUAAUCUUGACUAAAUUGCUAAUAAAUAAAUAAAUAAAAACGAAUGUCCACUUGAAAUAAAAAAUUCAACAAAGAAAAAAUAUGGAAGGUAAAAAAAUGUCAUGGUAUAAUUAUUCGAUUGUGGAGAACCAGGUGACUGAAAUAUCUAAAUGUGAUACUGAAAGAGUAAGAGUUCUGUAAAAUGUAAAAAAUAAUUAAUCUACGGAGAGAAUAAAAGUGAUUCAAGCGAUGGGGUGAUGAUCAGAUAAUCUUUAGGCAUGAUGCUGCAUAGAGAAAUAUUUUUUUUAGAGAAAUUUCUAGGGAAAAAACUUAGAUUGUGGAUGAAAAAUAUUUGAAUAUCAACUGUCUUACCAGCGAAUCGUAUAUAAUCUGGCCAUUGAUAUGUAUCUAUUAUUGACUCAUCUAGAUCGGCAUGAGGAGCAUGCUUGUAUUGCGUCGUCAGUUUUACUUUACAUUAUUCUUAUUAAUAGAAGAAGCAAGUGUAAGUCAAAGUCAAGUGGUGCUGGAUAUCAAGUCUCUACCAAAGCACCGCAAAAUUCCAAGCACCUUCCGCAUAAUGCGUUGAAAAUCACGCGUAAUACAAAUUAAAUUGAUUUUGCAUGUAGAAGUUAAGCAAAUAAAAAUUCAUUUAAUUGAUGAGGUAAACUACUACACUCAAUCCAUUUAAUAUUUAAAAAAAAAAUUAUUUACAAGAAAGCCUAUCCUCGUGUACGCCAGAAUUUCUCAUUGGUUUUCUUUUUUCAUUUUUUUAUUAAUGGAAACGACAAGUCAAAGUCGAGAAGCGCCUGCACGGGUUCCAAGCACCUUCCACGUUUACGUGCGAUGAUUCCCCUUUCCUUGCGGCAUAUAUCUCUGCACGAGGGUCGUGGACCGUCGGACGGCAAUAGCCAAGCAUUGCUCAAGACCGCAUAGCAGAAAGAAAAUUUUGUGUGGUGGGAAACAGACAUCGAUGAUUCCACGCACCAUCCACGUUUACGUGCGAUGAUUCCCCUUUCGUUGGAGCAUAUAUCUCUGCACGAAGGCCGUGGACCGUCGGAUGGCAAUAGCCAAGCAUUACUCAAGACCGCAUAGCAGAAAGAAAAUUUUGCGUGGUGGGAAACAGACGUCGAAAGGCUGAGAAAUCGGUGGAGAUUUCAGCAGUGGAGCAGUGGGUGGGUUGUGUAGUUUGGGCACUUCCCGGGUAAUCGAUGGCUCCUUCCUCCUUUUCUUUUCUCUGGUUCUGCUUCGAGUGCUCCAUUUUCUUCUGAUUAAGGUUCUCGUUUUCCUUUUUUUUUUCUUUUUUUUUUCUUAUUUUGGGAGUUGAUGUCGCUCUGAAUUGGGUUCUGAGAGAAAUUUCUGCAAUUCGCAGAUCUGGAUAGUGAAAUCUUGCUUUCUCUUAAGGCUCUACUCGAUCAAAUCUCUUAUAAGGAUCUUCUGGGUCAAUCCGUGCGUGAUGCUUUCAGAAGAUCCGAAUUUCGAGGCGUCUUCCUCAUCGACCCCUACACAUGAAGGAGCUAAUGAAGGUGGAGACGAACAGCAGAGAGGGGUUGAGUAUGAAGUAUUCUUGAGCUUUAGAGGGACGGAUACUCGUAAAGGUUUCACUGAUCAUCUCUAUACAAAUCUUAUCAAAGAAGGAAUUCACGCAUUCAGAGAUGACAAUGAGCUCCGUGUUGGUGACGAGAUUGGUCCAGAACUUAUAUCCAGUAUUACACAGUCUAAGAUCUCGAUCCCAAUUAUCUCGGAGAACUAUGCUUCGAGCAAAUGGUGCCUCCGCGAGCUGGCUCAGAUAUUAAAGUGCAAGAGAAGUGGAGGGCAAAUAGUGUUGCCCAUAUUUUACAAAGUGGAACCCUCACAGGUGCGACACCUUAUAGGGGGAAUGGGAGAUGCUAUCAAUGCAUUCAAAAAGAAUUUGGACAAAAUGGUUGUGAAGGAAUGGGAAGAUGCACUCAAAGAAGUUAGUUCCUUGAAAGGAUGGGAAUCGGAGAAAAUUGAAAACGGGUACAUUAUUUUCCAUCAAUACAUUAGUUUCUCCUACAUAGAUCUUACUAGAAAUGGAAUAUAUAUAUAUAUAUAUAUAUAUAUAUAUAUAUAUAUGUAUAUAUAUAUUGCCAUAAUAUAUCAAAAUUUAUAUUUUUCAUGUCACAGGCAUGACAAUGGUUGUCGGAAGAGUUAUGAGCGAGUUAACAAGAUUAUUUCAACUAAAUGUUCCUGAACAAUUGGUGGGAAUUGACAAUCGUGCAGAACAGAUUAUGAGCAAGAUAGAUUCUAAAUUCAAUGGUACAUGGAUUAUCGGGAUUUAUGGAAUGGGCGGCAUCGGUAAGACAACUCUUGCAAAGGUAUUAUACAACAAACUCUCUAGUCAAUUUGAGGGUCGUAGCUUUGUGGCAAAUAUUCGAGAGACAUCUCAACAUGAGGGCAUUAAAUUCCUACAAAAGCAACUAAUUUCUUCUAUAACGAAAAAAACAUGUGACGUGUCUAAUGUUGACGAGGGAAUCGGUAUCAUCAAAUCCCAAUUUACAAGUAAGAAAUGUCUCAUUCUUCUUGAUGAUAUGGAUGAUAAUACUCAGUUGCAAGCUUUGGCUAGAGAUGGUAGUUGGUUUAAAGCUGGAAGUAUAGUCAUCAUAACAACUAGAAAUAAGAGUAUUCUUGAUGAAGCUAGGGCAAGCUACAUGUACCAACUAGAUGAGUUACCUUUUGAUCAAUCAUUGAUCUUAUUUAGUCGACAUGCGUUUGGGAAGGAUUCUCCUCCAAGUGAUUAUGAGGUUAUAUCUCGUGAUGUCGUAUCUACUACUGGGUGUCUUCCCUUAGCUCUUGAAGCGAUAGGUUCAUCCUUAUUUGGAAAGGCAAAAGAAGCAUGGAAAGAUGCAUCGAAGAAAUUGAAGAAUGUGCCUGAUAAGAAAGUGCAAGAGUCGUUGAGGAUUAGCUAUGAUGCAUUAGAUGAAGAUGUCCAACAAAUAUUUUUGGAUAUUGCGUGUUUUUUUAACAGAUCAUCUAAACAAAUUCCGACUUAUAUGUGGGAUGCUUGUAACUUUUUCCCGGGGAAGGGGAUUGAAUUAUUAAGUCUCAUGUCCCUAAUCAAAAUCGACAAGGAUGGCAAAAUAAUGAUGCAUGAUCAACUGAGAGAUCUUGGAAAGGAAAUUGUUCGUCAAGAAAAUCAAGAGAAGCCUCAAAAGCGUAGCAGAUUAUGGAAUGAGGAAGCCAAAGAUGUGCUUGACAACAACAAGGUAAGUUUUCUCUACUUGUCUUAGUUGGUGAAUGUGAAUCCACGUUCUCUUUCUUGUUUGCAAUGAAAUUAUUGUCAGUCUUGAGUCCCUAAAACUUACCGUUUCUACUAGCAAAAGAGAUCUUUUGAUUAAUUAUUGUCGUUGCCUGAUCUUAGGACAUAAUUGAGGAACAAUUUAUUGGUUAUUGAUGAUAAGUGUUGUGAUGAGGGCACUCUCUUUUGGUAACUUCAAUGGAACAACAAAACUACAAUAACAUAAUGUUUGAAAAACACUUUUAGUGAAAACUUGACAUUUAUAAAGUGUCGGAGGUCAUGCUUUUCUCACUUAUCCAUUUGAUGCACGUAUUUGAUGUCUUCUUUUGAUUUCUUGUGAGGUGUUUUCUUUCUAUUCUUUUACCGAGCAUUGACUUCUGUUUUGACGAUUAGCUGUUAUUGUUGCUGUAUUUUUCAAGUUCAAUUAAAUACCGAUUUAGUCCCUUAAGUAUCACCAUUUGUGUGAUUUAGCCCCUAUCUAUUUUUUUUCUCAAGGUAGUGUGAUCAGAUUAAGUUAAUCACAUAUUUACAUCCUAAUUAACCCUGUAAGAUUAUGAGAUAUUACAUUACAGUAGAAAAUGUGAAGUAAAUAUUAAAUAUUGUGCAUAGAAUAAGACUUCGACUGCCAUAACAUUCUACAACAUUUGAAAAGGAGAGAAUGUAAACAUUCUUUCCGUGCAAUAUAAAAAGGACGACGUUGUAUAAAUUGUCACUAAGAAAAUAAAGUAAAAGAAAUUGCAUAAAGAAGUAUGUGUUAUUAAGAAAUGAACAUAAAAAGUGGAAACACAAAUGGAAGUAACUCAGGAAUAUUAAUAAAUAAUUAAAUAAUGUGUUGAAGGGGACAUAUUGUGGGAGGUCAUUCGAUUUUAAGAUAUAGGAAGGUUAUUCAUGGUGGUCAAAUUGGAAAUUUUAAAAUUUUACUAGUAAAGAUUAAACAUGCGUUGCAAGUGAAUAGUCAUUUCUCCUUUUUCUUAGGUAGGUAGAAAAUUGUUGAGUUAUGAGCAGUGACAUAGCUCCAAAGAUUUAUGAUACGUAUUUCAUCAUUUAGCAAAAGAAGGAACUUAUCUGUAGAAGAAUUUUAUUGUACACGUGAAGUCGAGUCUGUUGAAAUUAAAUGUGGUCAUGCAAUGUGUUUAGUGGAGAAAGAAGAGGAAUUGCAAAUUAAAUAAUAAACAUGCUCUUUCAAACACAAACACCUACUAAUUUCUCAUUACAAAAAUCAAAAGAAAUGCAUCUAUUCAAACUUGCUUGUUUCAAAAAAGAUGUCUAUUAAUGUAAACAUCAAAGAGGUAGAUUAUUAUAGGAACUCUCCUUUCAUUUUCAUCUUACUACUGAGAAUUGUUAACAAGGUACACCAGAAAAAGAGUGGAUUGUACAUUUGGAAUUCUGUAACCUUGGUACAUGUUUUCAUGGCAAGUUUGAUAGAUCUAAUUGGACUGUAAGAUUCAUGUUGCUUUAUGUAUAGCGGAUGCGAGUUUGCGUUUUGUUCUUUCACAUGUAAAUGGCGCGAAUUUCGAUAGAUACAUUUGAACUAGUGUGUAAAAAGAGAAGCCUUUUAUGAAAGAGGAUUUAGUUUGGAGAAUUCAAAAGGAGAAAAUCGUGGAAGGCAUUAGAAGAGGAAAGUACGGAAACACUCUCUUGAGCAUCACAUUUUCACAUAAAUAAGACAUGCAACCACAGCCUGUCAUGAGAGAAGCCUGCACCAUAAUAGUGUGACAACAAAUCGAAAUUAGUCCAUCUUCUUUUUAUAUACAAUUAGCCUCAACUCAUCAUGCAAAAUUUACUAUCCUUAAUGUUUACGAAUUGCAGGGCACUUGUAAGAUCGAGAUCCUUCAAAUAGGCUAUAGCUGGGGAAAAAGUUACACAUUUGAACAAUUCAAAGAAUUGACUAACUUGAGAUUCCUUCAAAUGGAGUUUGCAAGUCUCGCUGGAGAUUUUCAAAAUUUGCUUCCUAAUUUAAGAUGGCUUCAAUGGCAAACUACUUCCUGGAAUUUUGCAGCAGCUAACUUUCAGCCGAAGAAGUUAGUGGUGCUCGAUUUAUCGGGGAGUGGGAUUUCGGAUGACUGGAGAGGAUGGGAUCCAUUCAAGGUAAGUUGCAGAGAAAGCAUACCUUUUAUGAAUAAUAACGUGUUGUCAAAGGUCUAAUAGUACCAAGUUUUGCUUUCUUCUUUUGGAAAGAAACAUUUAAACAUUGGUGACACAGCCAAGCCAAACACUACUGCUUAAGAAACAUUUAAGUAAAACGCACAUGAAGUAAUGGGGCAUCAGAGUAAUGAUAGCAUGGAACCGAGCUAUGAGACAUUUAUAUAGUUUUGAGGAAGUCUAAAUAAAAGGAAUACUAGAGCAUGCGUAUUUUUUUUUAGGAAUUUUAAAAAGUCUUGAAAAGAGCAAGGAGAAGUGGAAAAUCACAUGUUGCAGAGGUCUAAUGUCAUUGAGGUAUCCUCCCUUUCUUUCAGAUGGCAAUCGAGCUCAAAGUUCUCAACCUCUCGAAGUGUCAUUACUUAAGAAGAACUCCUGACCUGUUCGCUUUCAAAAGCUUGGAGAUUUUGAAUCUGGAAGAUUGUGGGAAUUUAGAAGAGAUUCAUCCUUCUAUUGAAGAUAUGAAGACCCUCCUCUCCUUGAAUGUCAAGAGAUGCCAUAGAUUGAAAGAGCUACCAGCAGGAGUAGGUAGAAUGGAAGAAUUGAGGGAGCUUCUUUUAGAUGGUACUGCUAUACAAGAUAUCCCUAUUUCAAGAGGUUGUUUGAUGAAGCUAGAGACUCUAAGUGCCUCAUGGUGUAAACAACUUGCUCAACUUCCAGAAUCGAUGGGCUCCAUUGUGUCGUUAACUCAACUAAACUUAUCUUUUUCAGGGAUUAAAAGAUUACCAAAAUCCACAGGUUCCCUUACAUCGUUGACUCAAUUGAACCUAUCUCAGACAAGGAUUAAAAGGUUACCUAAAUCCAUUAGUUCUUUGAAGGAGCUCAUGACUCUUGAUGUCUCUAAUUGUGCGUCAUUAGUCCACAUAACUAGCUCCAUAGGCCAUCUAACAUCUUUGCGAUGCUUGUUGCUACGAGGUUGCCCCUCAUUAACAAAAAUUCCUGAUUCAAUCGGAAAGUUGGCAUCAUUAACUAAGUUGGAUUUAAGAUGGACAUCAAUUGCGGAAUUACCUGAAAGUGUUGAGGAUUUGCAGAAUUUGAGGAUCUUGGACAUUCGUGAAACUCACAUAACGAAAGUGCCAGGUUCCAUCAGAAUGAGAGAAGGCUUGUUGGCUUGAGCAUGUGUUGCUCCUACAGUUGAACAAUCUUUUUAGAGGAAGAAAAGAUUUAUGUGUGAAAAUGUUCAAGCACACAACGACAAACUGAUGAAGACAACUCCCCCAGCAUCUUAAUGGAAUUGCCUGGUGUGGUCAGAAUGUUGACUCGUUUUGUGAAAUAAUUUCAGGCCUAGGUCGCCUUAAGAUCUCCAUGCUUUCUCUUCUUUGUCAAAGGUGUGGCUUUUCAUUGCAAACUUAGAUAGGAAACAAAUGCUGAUAACGUUAGAGAUGUACUGUGUAGUAAGGCACUAACUCUGUUACUUUGACUGAGAUUGAAAAUAAAGGAAGCUGAUACUAAUGAUUCACCAACUAUAAAAAGUCAGAAUGAUGCAUUUGCUUAUCGUAUUUGAUGGAGUGAAAUUAGUCAAUUCUAUGAUAUUGCUCAAAUGGAUCACAAGAUGGCAGUGAAAUAAUGUGAUGUUGUAUGCUUGUAUAUGUCUCGUUUAAUUAUUCAUCAGUUGGAAUCUUCUUUACAUUAAUCUUACUUCGUUUAUUUUUCCAAUAUAAAUAGAACAAUUAUCCAUAGAUAGCUCCCUAAACCAUUUGUAAUUGCAUUGAGAAGGAUGAUUUGAUGAUGGACUGUGAUAUCGCAAAUUCUUUAUUCUCUAUUAUAUUCAAUUUGUAGAUUAUUCUAGCAACUGACCAAAACAUUUGACUAUUCGGUAUUCACUUAGUUGAAGCAAAUGUAUAUAACGAAAUGUCUAAAAGUUCAUAUGACGUUAUGUUAGUGUUAUGGAAAUUAAGCAAAUGAACAUAAAAUAGACUAAAGAAUGAAAUAAAUCAAAUAUCAAAUUUAUGUGAUUCAGUUGGUGUAACCUACGUCAACAAAAAGAGCAGCAAAAGAUUCAACUGUAGAGCAAAUGAUACAAUGGAGAUUACAAUCACACUUAAAUCACUCAAACACCUUCAGUAUUUCUUGACCCCCAAUUACACAUAAUAACUAACACAAUAUUUAACCCCACACUUUCUCACAAAAAAAAUUCUCAAUCUCACAAAGAAAUUCACAAAUUUUCCAUUGGAUUCAACACUCUUGGUUUUCUUCAAGGUGUAAAUCAUGAAGAAGUUGCCUCCUGAAUGAUUUUCACAAUGAAAAUACUUCUUAUAUAUAGAUAAUAGUUUGAUCCAAAAUAGGAAAUUCUUUUUAAAAAGUCCUACUAAAACUAAGAAACCUACUUGGAUUAGAAAAGUUUCCCUUUUAAGCCCAAACUCAAAAUAUAUUUUCAACAAUCUCCACGUUAACUUGACAUUCGAGUCAAAUCACAAUUACUUUUCUGAAAAUCUAAACUUCAUUACUACUCUCCACUAGCUCCUCGAGGGCUUAACUACCACAAUUAUCUUCUAAAUCGAAGCCACAGUGGAACUUCACCAUGAUUGUAAACCUCAUCAGUUCCACAAUGAUUUUUAGACAAAACAUGCUCAACUGUAAAUAAAACCAAACCUAUGUUACAUCCAUAUUUAUAAAGAGAUCGAAAAAUCACCUUGUUAAGUUCAUUAACUAUAACUGUCACGCCCCGAUCCUCGAGCGUGUGACCAUCUCUCAGUAGUCGAUAAAUUUGCAACGUUCCAAGACACGUCGCCAACCCGUUCAAUUUUUAAUGCAUAGGCGGAAGCGAAACGAUACCCCUGAUAACAACCAACACGGGAUAGAAAAACAGGAAACAUAUUCACAACCAAAAUGUGGCACCCCCUGAACAGCCCCCGAUCCAUUAGGAUCGUCACAAAUACCUUUCUCUCGACCUGAAAGUCUAUUACUCAGAUACCAUAGAAAUUUGACAAGUCCAUAAGUCCUGGGGGUUUAUAUCCUUUCUAUAGGUCCCUGCGCAAAAAUUUGGCGGAAGCAUAUCCAACAUCUCCCUAUCCCAUAUUCAGAAACGAUGCACACUAACUAAACAUUUUAGAAGUUAAAGCCGAACACUUUUAUUUACAUAACUAGAUGGACAUCACGGGUCGGUACAUCAACAUGCCAAGUUUCUAUACUCGGCCACUUUUCAAAAGAUAACCAACUUCUUUUCCAACAGUCACCCACAAAAGUCCAUCACUCAGUGUUGGCGUUCAAAAAUGCUGCUUCUGCUAACCCUCACCCGCGGUCACACCCAACCGUCCGGUCCGCCUGCUAGCGGCGGUGGCAAUGACCCCAGCAUGUGUCCAUCUCGGCGGACAAAAACGGCCAGAUACUCUUGUAGUACGGGGCCGAUGGGAGGACCGACGUCAAACACUAUCAACACCCGCACUUUGGGAUGGUGAUGCUCCAACCUUUCCACUUGCAGGUCGACCGAGACUCCAUAAAAUGUGCCAGGAGGUACGAGUAGCAUAGGCAUCUUGUCUAAUCUGAAAUGUUAGUCCCCAAAAGGGGAGUACAACCACCCAGCAAUUGAAGAUCUACCAAGCUAUACUAUGCAAGCAAUCACAAUCCAAGUCCAUGCAAGAUAUAUAAAACAGGUAAUCAAAGAAUGAGUAUACAUCAUAUCAACAAGACUUUUGAAAAGCAAUGGUAAUGCAGUUUCAAACCCAUAAUGUAUCAUUUUGGUCACAUAAGUCCUGAUUAUAGGGCAAACUAUUAUGACACGUCCCAUUUCAUGCCAUACAAUUCAGUCCUAUAACCAGACCACACACACACUUAGUAAAGCCAUCAGUUUUAACAUUUAAAAGGUUUCAUCCCCCAGAGGACCAAUGUUUGCAUCCUUCUGGGAUUUCGCACCCAACUUGGCGUCGCGAAAGCCUCCGAGCAUGUAUUCAUAAUACAACCAGGCAUCCAAAGCGUGUUGCGUUACACCUCCAGGCAUCUCGCAUCCCACCUGGCAUCACGAGGAAUCACCGGGGAUUGCCAUGAAAAUAGUUACCCCUACCCUCCGGAAUUACGUAUCGACAUACCACCGGGCAUCCUGAUGCUCCCGGGGAAAACCUCCGGGGCACUACAGAUCCCAGGCAUCCAAAGGGCAUCAACUCAUUCGAACCUUUGGGCCUCCCGACUCCCGGGGCAUCGUUGACCCGAGGGUCCAACGACAACAUUAACAUCUUAAAUUAUUUCAACACCAAAACACUUUCAAUGCAACAACAGCAGGCUUUGAAAUCAUAUGCCAUUUCUAUAUCAAAGAAAUCCAUUCACAAAAUUUCAGCAACAUAAUAUCAGUUCAUAAAUCCAUUUCCACGUUUCACCUUCAAAGCAUUUCAAGAAUCCAUAUGUAAAAUCCCGGGUUGCACUUGUGCCUCAUGGCCAAAAUCAAAGGGAGUUAUCAAACACAAGCAAUUUAAAAUCGGCAAAUUGGUCAUUCAACUUUACACUCCCGACUUCAAGAUUUUCAAAGAUUGGUUCUUGCAAAAACUUGAAAUCUCGAGGGCACCAAAAAUAUUUUCUUUUCCUCUUUGAAUCAUUGAUGAAUGGCGCCUCAGUAAGUAAAAGUUUUCAGUGCGAGUUAGGAGGUUUUACAAAUUGGACUACGGCCAAGUUUUUGUUCAAAACGAUAAAAUUCAGUCAACUAAGAAAUCCGGUGGCAGCAACAAUUGGUGACACCUCACACGUCCAUGCAAGUGACGUGUUCCUUCUUGCUCGAGCCUUCCCCAUGCGUUGUCCACCAACGGUAACUUCAUGUGGCUACUGAGUCAAUGAAUUUUCCUUUUGUUGACUUAUUUGCCAACCAAAUGAAGGGGAAGCUCGAGCAGCUUGGGCCAACAAUUCGUGGCCACAUGGUCUCCGUGCGUGGCCCAACUUCUCCCAAAGUUGACCAUGAAUUUCUACAUGUAUAUGAAUUGCAUGGGCCGUUUGUGAGGCCGUCAAAGGGGAGGGUGGUGGUGACGUCGUGUAUAAAAUCGAGGUCUUCAACUUAGCUAAUUGGCGAGAAGGCUCAGGUCCAAGAUCGGUGUCAAUGGCGGAAUCCAACACAACUUCAUCAAUUUGUGACGUAUCAUCAUUUUUCCAAGAUCGACUAAAUACCGAUGAGGUUGAUCUCACCAAUGACCUUAAGUAAGGGAAUUCCGACAAGACUAUAGUUUUUUCAAUGAUUGAGUCGUUACUUGAAUGCAAUGCAUCGGUCCAACGAUGAAAUUAGAAUGGUGACCGUAAAUAAUACCAAUGACACAGUCCGACGAUACUUUCGUCGAUCAGUCACUGACCGUCGCAUAACCGAGGAUCAUCAAAAUUUUCGGAUGCCACACAAAACACUUUUAUAAACACCCCAGUUCAUAUACAAACUAGUCUAUAUACAAGAGUCUACAAAAGAUUGAUCCUUAAAACAAAGCUGUCCUAUGACCAGCUAGCCGGACAUGUUCACCAAUCCUUCGGUCUCCACAGGCUCCGGGAGCACUGAGUCCUCCACAGCUCCAUUGGGAGGGUCAACUGCAGUCUCACCUAGAGUGGCAUCCACUACCACAGGGAGAAUUUUGAAACCCUGGAGGGGACCCACACGGAAUCCAUUGAAACCGUAGCGAAACCACGCUCUGAACCAAUAAGAUACCCUCUGAGGUAGGCCCUCAUUGACCCAGAUGGUGGUCACCACGAGUUCAUAGACCCAUUGACCCCCUGGGGUAUGGUAAUCAAAACUCUGCUCAGUAACCCUCAUCAGUCGACCAAAACAUUCCAAAGGAACCGCCAUCUAAGGACUUGAAAAGGUUGAGCCCACAACGAGGUAAGACAAUGUCUCAACAAAUUCACCUCUUAAACUCUGACUAGGAAGGAAAUACGCCUAGAGGCAGCUAUACACACAAGUCAAAAGACUUACCUUGCUUUAAUUCCCUCUUGCACGUCAGUACAGUUCAUAGUUCAACUAAUCAAUUCCAAUCAAUUCAAAACCAUCGCUACCAUAUAUCCAUUCAAUACCAUUUAUCAAUCAAUUGAUAUCAUCACUGCUCACACAAGCUGAAAUAGAUGGUAAUAGCUCUCACAAGUUUAUAUAGAUAGAUAAAUAGAUAGAUAGAUAGUAGCUCAUACAAGUUGAUAUACGGAUCGUUGCUCUCACAAGCUAAUAAUCGAUCAUUGCUCACAUAAGCUGAUAUAGUAUACUGCUCUCACAAGCUGAUGAUUUAAUAAUGCUCACACAAGCUAAUACACGAUAAAUCAAUCCCGACCAAGGAUCAUGUGCUUUACACACCAAUUUCCCAAUUAAAAUAAUUAACUUGGCAUAAUAUUACUGUGUUAAAAUAUAUCCGAUAAAAAUAAUCGUAUGUGGGUACAUGGUUAGUUUGAGCCAAAAUGUUAUUUCUUUCUUUUCAAAAAUCCUACUAUGUAAUAUAAUGACUAAAAAUAUUUUUGGCGUUAAAAACCGACGCCCCGGUAUUUUAUGAUUAAAUAACGAAAUUACACAAUUUUUGAAUAAAAAUCCAAAAUUACAAUCACCACUCAAUUUGCAUAAAAUAGCAUUCAAUUAAAUAAACUAAACACACCAUUGCAAUUGACACGAAAUUCCGGUCACCCGCUAUCCCAGUAUAAUUUCUGGAAAAUGAUAAAUAAUUAAAUAAAUACAAUUAAUUACCAAAAAUGCAAACUUAGGCCGGAAAUGCUUAAUUAACUGCCCGAACGGGCCGGGAAAAUUUCCGAACUUAUCUAGACAAAUAGUACAACUUAUUUAGUCUCUAAUUAAGAUAUUCUAACCACCUAACAUGCACAAACAAAUAAUUAAAUCACUAAUCCAUUCUAAUUAACAACAUAAACCAUACUUAGCAUAAACUAAUCACACAUUAAACAUCAUUAACUUCAUAAACAGAGUUUAGCAAGUAAACUCACCUGUUUUGCGAUCCGGUCAGUUCAUGGCAACGACAACGCGGAGACAGGCAACAAACCUCCUGGCGGCGAAGUCAAGCAAGGCUCGAAAAAGGCCUAAAAUGGGCCACAAGCUCACAACCCUUGCUAGAACCUUGGCUGCUGAUCUUGGGCUGUAGAGGUCGAUCGAAGGGGUUGGAUGGUGCGGAAACAGCAAGACAGGAGGCUAGGCGAGCAAGCAGAGCUACGGUCGACGAGGCGGAGCUGGACAGUGGUGGAGGCGAGCUCAAGCAGCGACCAAGGCUUCAACAGUGACCAGGGAUGGCUCGGGGGACGCGGCGCAUAGGCACUGGAUGGCGGACGGUGUGCGGGCGACCAGCGGGUUCGCAGGCACACAGGCAUGGCUCCAGCUGCUUCGGCGGACUUGCGACGGCUAGGGGGAGGGCUGCCGGUCACUCUCUGGUUCCUCUCUAUGAUUUUGAGCUUAUAAACUACCUUAACAAUGGAUAAAGCAAGUCCAAGGUUGAAGAAGAAGCCAGCUGCAGCUAAGGGGACCCAAAGGCCUAAAUAUCUCUUAAAUUGAUCAUGGCUUACCCCCCACUUGUUCAGCCUUAUCCUCAUCCAAUUUGAUGCACAAAAUCCCCCUAGAAGCAAUCCCAAGUGGUCCAAAAUGUUGAGGGACCUUUGGCCUACGAAUUUUGGCCAACUUCCACAAAUUGAACCAAAUUCCUCUCUAAUUGAGCUUAAAUUAGUCCCCAUAAAUUCAACCAAGAUGUCAUCGACUAAAUAACAUUUUUCCUUACCAAUUGAACCAACUUGAAUCCCAAAAACGUGACAAAAAACUGUUCUCUGAUUUUUCUAGUCAAAAACGGCCCUAUCUUGAAUUUUUGCAGAAAAUUUUGUUUUAUAGAAAAAUCUUCGGAGGACAGGUCAAUGGUCCUAAAAUAAAUCGUGACAUGACAGAACUUUCAAUUUCUAAAAUUGGGUUUAAAUUCGCGGUUAAUUUCAAUUUGGCGCAAUUUUAACGUGACAUAGUCUACCGGGUAACUUUUAAGAAUUUUUAGUACAAUUAACCCAUGGUCGAUUAUUUUCGAGCCACAUUGUACAUCUUCAACACAUUGACGACCACCGGUGGUCAUAAAAAUCUCAAGAUUUCAAAUACAAACACAAUGUACCAAAACGAUAGAAAAUCGGUCUAGUGCUGAUCGACGAGAAUUUUGCAAUUAGGUGGAAUCACCCACGCUAAAUCACAUGGCUAAGUCUAAUCGACCUACCUCCGAUCUCUAAUCAAUUUUUAACUGUGCCGUAAUAACCCUUGCAAACUAGCACGAUCGAAUAGUCAAUUUCUGGUCAAAUUCUCAAAUCAUUGCGUUAAAAUCCCUUAAUGGCUUCACCAGAUAAACUAGUUAUCUCGUGAGUGAUCAGCUCAAAAAAUAGAACUAUAGGCACGUCGAUAAAAAGCCCGAUUCAUUCAAUUGAAAACAAAACUGGAAUUCAGAAUGUCACAAUAACAACCACUAGUAAUACAAGAUCUAUCUAGCUAUAGGCAUAAUUUAUAUUGAUUAUCACGCUAGUAUCCGUUAUCACAAGAGUUUCUAGUUGUAACUCCACCUCAAGCUAAAUAAUGUGCAAUUCCAUAUAAACACUACUUUAAUAAUUCUUAUACAAAAGAAUAGGAAACUCAUUAUAUGUAUCUUCUCUACUGUUAAUAUGUGAAUUUAAUUCUGAAUACAACAAAUAAUAGCCCUACUCACCUAUCAGUCCGUACAUCCUCGAUCAUUUUGCCAAUCUCCAUUAUUUAUACAUCAAAGCUCUCAUUUGCCUGAUCGUGACAGUAGUAUCAAACCUAUGCCUCUUCAUAAAUACUUAGGUUCUUCUCAAUUAGUUGUCCACAAUUAUUAACAUAUGUCUAGCACUUUUCUUUGAAGGACACCGUAACAACCUACAAACAUUUAAGUAAACCAACUUUGCAAUAUUCGUGGUUUGUCUUAUAAUUCUAUUACAUUGAACUCUUCGUCAUUUGUCAAGUCACAAUACCUGUAUACAAUCAAUUUUUCAACCACAUAACCAUUUAAUAGAUUCUUUUGACUCAUAACCUUUAGGUUUCUUUUGCCAAAGUGCCCCAAAUGCAUAUGCCACAAUUCAUACUCUCAAACAAAUACAUUCGACAUCUUUUCAUUAAGAUUGGUCAUUGUUUCACCUUCAAGCUCACAUAAGCCAGUGUGUAUGAUGGAUCUCAUUAUUACCAAGAUCACCUUCAAAACUCUACCUUGUAAAGAAGUAUAUCGGCACCCACAUAAAUCUAGAGGACUUAAAGAAAUUAGAUUGUUUUUUGAUUUUGGAAUAUACCUCACUCCAGUCAAAGUCCUUGUAAUAUCAUCAUGCAUUCCGAUUCACACAUGACAACACCUAUAACAUUGUGCUUAGUGUUGUUCGCAAAUUGUACUUUACCAUUAUUCAAGCAUUAAUAAGUAGUGAACCAAAUUCUGUAUGGUAUAACGUGAAACGAAUAAUCAUAUUCCAUAAAUCAUUCAUCAAAUGAUGAAAUUAUAGUGACAAAAAAGUAUAAUCAGCACUAUCCAAAUCACAAUCCGUCACUAGCAAUAUUGUCAAUAAAUUUAAUUAUAAUUCCCUUACCUUUCUUAUUUUUCAACUGAAAGCAGUUCCUUCUGAGAUAAACCUCUUAUCACAACUCAAACAUAUAACACCAUUAAUCCCAUACUAACUACAUCUAUUCAAAUUCAAAUACUCAUUCUAACACAAGUAAUAGGUUUUCAUUUUCCUUCACCUACUAAAGUAGCAGAGACGAGUUCACCUAGUUCUCUUUUACGGCUAUCUAUACUCAAAAUCAAAUCGUGAACUCUUAGCCAAAAGACAUUACUAAUAGUAAUAAGAGGGUAUUCCAAUUAUCAAACAAUGGGGAUAAUAGAAUCAAAGCAUGUACCUUUAUUUAAAGUUAAUCUCAACCAAACUCACAUGACCAAUGAUAUUGAAUUCUUUGAUAAGCUCAUCAACAAACGUAACUUCGUGCAUCUUUAAGUGAAAUAAACGUCACAUGAAGUAGGCCUUGUUGAUUGCAAUGGCUUCUCAUACAUGUUUAAUAGGGCAUUCAUCAAUUCCGGAAUGGUGUUCUCUUUAACAAUGUUAAAUGUGAUAAUAUGAGCCUACGUCAACCAAGUAUCACUCAGUACCUACUUAUCAAUAUGCUUCCUUCUUGACUUUAGCUUCUUCUCAGAUAAGGGUAUCUGCAAAUUCCUCUAGUAUAAAUAAUCCUCAAUCUGCAUCUUUUAGAAACCAAAAUCAUUCCCAUCAAAUUUGUCAAUUUACUUUUACUUCUUCUAUCAUCAUUAAUUUGCUUCAACGCAACCAAGCCUAGUUUUGAUACCAAUUGUUGUUGAAAACAAGGGAUUCAAAUAAUGAAAUAGACUAAACAAGAAAAUAAAUCGGUAUUAUAUUUACUUGAUUUGAUCAGUGUGACUUAUGUCCACAAGAAGCAAAAGAUUUCACUAUAAAUCAAGUGUUACUAUGGUGAUUACAACCACAUUCAAGUCACUCAAUAAUUCCCAACCUCCAACUACAACAUUCAUAAUUUCUCGUGAAAUAAUCUCUCAAUCUCAUAAAUGAAUUCACAAAUCUACCAUAAGGUUUAUUAGCUUCAACACUCUCAGACUACUUCAAUGCAUAUUGCAUGAUGUUGCCUCUUAGACACUCUUUACAAUGAGGACACUUCUUACAUAUAAACAAGAGUUGGAUGCAGAAUAGGAAAUCCCUUUCAAAAAGCCUACUCAAAGUAAAAUACCACUUGAAUAGGAAACUUACUUGAAUUAGUUUAGUUUCCUUUUUGGGUUCAUCUUUUCAACUGUUAUUAUUUGUCUAAAUUGGCAAGCUUCUGUACCCCAUGAAAAAUGUCUCAUGGGCAAGAACAGCCUUGCACUUGCCCCUCACUGGGAAAUGUCAAAAAAUCACUAUGCUCAAAAAAAAUUAAGGGGUCAUGUACAUGGAACAAAACCCUUACAACAACCAAUCUGACAAUCUAGAAAUCACAACAAAAAUCACACCCGUCAAACAAAUUCCACAUGCCCAGGAGGAGGAGGAAACUAUGCCCAUGUUGGCGACUCCCUUAGAAUACCUCAUCUCCCAAGCUAAGGACCUUUGUUCUCGAGCAAACCUCGACCAUCAACUUCAGCUUCGUCGCCGCCGACUCUACCUUACUCUUUGACCUCGAGUCCUUCGGCUGAGCAACUCCCCCUCUUAUUCUUCCUUGUUUUGCUUUUUCUUUUUUUGAACAAAGUUUUAGGAAAAAAAGAAAAAAGAAAGAAAAAUUUGAACAACAUAUUUUUAGGUUCUUUAUUAUAUCAUCUAGGAUGCCACUUGUGAUGCACAUUAGCAUUUAACUGCCAAGAUAAUAUCUGUCUUUGUUUUUUUCAAGGAUCAAAUUGGAAAACAAAAAAUUGUAUAUAGUUUAGAGACCUAAUUGAGAGAGAGAGAGAGAGAGAGAAUCAAACACUAGAUUGAACACUUCGUAAUUGUUCAAGGACCUCUAGUGCCUUUAUCCUUAAUUCCUAUUAUGCACAUUCUUGUUUCUUAAAAUUCUUCAUGAGAAAAUACAAAAAAGAAAAUACAAAAAACACAUACCUCACUUUGGACUUGAUGAUUACUUUUGUGCCUCUAUUUUUGUUGAUAUCAUUCACGUAUUUCUAAAUAAAAUCUCACGUUGAAAGAACCAUAUCUCCUCUCCUUGUAAACUCAUUUUAGUAUCUUACAUAGAGUUUGGAUGGUUUGCUUUUUAGUUGGGUUUAGAAUGUUUUGGGUAAGUCUGAAAGUUUUAGGGUUUGAAAAUCGUCAUUCUCAAAAGAAAAUGUCAUUUUUGCAAAUAAGGACACAAACAUAAUAAAUGUGACAGUACAAAGUGAUCUCCAAAGAUAAUACCUAUAUAUGUAUUUAGUAUUUUUAAAAAUAAAGAUAUAUAGUUGAUUGAUAUAUCAUUUUUCUACUAUCCUUAGUUUAAUGAAAUAAUAUAAGUUUGUACAUCGGUAACAUGAAAAGGGAUUUCGUUUAAUUUGUAUCCCAUUUGGUCCACGACUACUUGUUCCUAAUUUAGUCAUAAUGCAACAUGGGAAAUUGACUAAAAUACAUUUUAUUUGUUAUUUUAUUGAAAGGUCACUCAAUACAAAAUGGGCGUUUAUUCCAUUUUUAUCAAAUUACCCCAUUUUCCGAAACAUUGGAAUAGAUAUGAUAAGAGUUACUUUGCUUUCUUAUAGGGAAUAAUAAUUCCAUCCAUGCCUUACACUAUUGAUCAAGUAAAAUGUGCCAUUACUCUCUUUUUUUAAAUCACGGAACAUACAUAAAAUGAGUUCAUUUUUUUUUUUUUUAAUAUCCUCUAACUUUUUCAGGCCAAACCCACUUUCUAAUCCAAUCCGACCGAUACACCAAUCCCAAAAAUAAAAUAAUAUAAAAACCCAUCCCCCCAUAGAAAGCAAGUCUCCACCAAAGGAAGAUUAAUGUUUUUUAAGCAGCAUCUGCCAUGCAAAAAGCAAAGAUCAAGUAAAGAAUCAUAGACUCAUCCCUGAUCCAACGGGGACCAACCUACUCUACGUGGACCCCCACAUCCACUGUCCACCGCCACGUGUCGGUCUCCCUCUCACUCUCUCUCAAAUACUCCCUUCCCCCUCUCACUCUCCUCGUCUCUCUUUCACCCCCUCUCGCUCUAACCUUCCGCUUCUUCUGCUUCUUCUUCUCCUUCUUCUUCUUCCCAAAGACCGUCUCUCUCUCCUUCUCUCUCUCUCUCUCUCUUUCUCUCUCACAGCGUCAUCAUGGCGAAGGGUCACGAGAUGAUACCAGUGACCGAUCCUUCGGGGAAGACCUCCUCGUCGUCCGCCAUGAGCAGGAAGGGGGCUUACGCUGCUGCCUCCUACAUGGCCUGCGCAGGUUCUCUACGGUUCACCCUCUUUAACUUUACUUUCCAUUACGUUCUCCUUUCUUUUUUUUUCCUCUGCAAAAUGCUUAUGCGGUCACUCACUAGUGGAGCUUUGCUUUCCUUUACUUUUCUGCUUCACGUGCGCACAAGUGCUCCAUAUGGAUAAGCACGUCAUGUUUUAAUCACUUUUCCUGUACCGACGCACGUCCGUUCACGAGGAAAUGGAAAAAAGGAGAGAGAAUCAGGCUCUCGAGAUGGGUUCUCUUCCUUAUAUUCGGUGUUUUCAUUCGAAGCCUGAAGUGCUUUGAGCUUCGCUUAAUGAAUUUUGCUCAGGGUCUGCUCGCCUUCUUGUGUUUCGAAUCCCUGUGACGAUUUUGAGUUUCCGGGACAAGUUAAACUUGAUUAUGGAAUGUGUAGUUUUCCUACCGCAGAUAGAGGUGGCCAAUUUACACGUUUGUGCUGAGUUCCGGGUGAUUGUGCUCGUGAAUGAGCGAGUCAUGCUCAAACUCAAGCAAAAAUAUCAGGAGGUAGAUAGGUGCCUGGAAGAUGAAAGCGAGUGUUAACAGUCAUUUUACAUACCAGUGUCCUUUUUCUUUGUCCUGAAAAUCGUUUAUGAGAAGUGGUAUAUGAAUUUGAGCAAAAGUUUUCUCUUUGUUGAUGCUGGCUUUUUUUUUUUUUUUUCUAUCACGACUGCUCAAUGAAUCAUAGCUGCGCCUCUUGUUUUCUGGAUAAUGUGAUAAGGUUGUGAUUUUACACACGGUGGUUGUUCUUCCAAAAUUUUGUAAUUGUACUUAGCAUGUGUAGUCUUGCUCUGUCAAUGGGAACCUUGAGCAAUAUGAUCCUGAUGUUCCCAGAAGUUACCUUACCGGGAAGGCUCAGAAUGUGGUUUUCUACUUGUAAAGUGGAGUGAUGCCAUGUCUUGGUAAUUACAUGACAGCUAUAUUUUUACCCAUUCAUGCAGUUCUCUUGGUAAUGUUCAACAAAGCGGCCCUUUCUUCAUACCAUUUCCCUUGUGCAAAUGUGAUCACACUUUUUCAGGUACCCUGUAUACCUUGACUAGGCUCACGUGUCAAUUACACAAUCCUGGUCUGUGGUUAGCUUAUCUUUAAUAGGCAUGCUAGUGGAGAAGGGAAUGUAAGAAUCAAACUCAUGAACUCUUCAUUCUUGGUGUAACAUUUUACUAUUCCAACAAGAAGGGACUUGUGACCAACAAUUAACCUGGUGUUGGACUUUGUCUAGACAAGCUUUGAUAUGAAGAUACGCUAUGCUGGGCAAAGCUAUUGACUGUAGUUUUCCUCUUCUUUAUUGUCUUUGUUUCUCCUUGGUUAAAUAUUCUACAGUUGAAUUAGAGAUUCCUCCCAAAGCAUCGCAUUUCCAAAUAUACCAUUGAUCUCUGGAAAUGAAAUCUGACUGCAAGACUGUACCAUGAGGAUAGUCACCGUGAUGAAUUUAAACUCUUUUAUCAUCACAAUUUCAUGCAUUUAUUUUUUUGGAUUGGGUAAUUAUAAUCUGCAGAGUAUUUCACCCUCGCCUUUUAUAUGGUCUAUCCUUUUCAGAUGGUAUGUUCUUGUUUGUUACUGUAUGCAAUGAGAUUCUGGGAUAUCAUUUCUUUCUCUGCUGGAGAAACCCAGAGCGUCAGUUACAACCCUGCGACAAUGGUUCCCCAUAAGACAUUGCUUCACACUAUUCCUCUUGCAGUGUCCUAUUUGCUGUAUAUGGUAUGACUUUGCCUAGUUAGCGCUUUUUUUUUUUUUUUCCUUCUGGUUUCUUUUGGUGUACCCAAUACCUGUUUAUUUUCCUUCUGGUUAAGCUGGCCUCCAUGGAGUCCAUACGUGGUGUAAAUGUUCCCAUGUACACUACACUCAGACGGACUACGGUGGCCUUCACAAUGGUUGUGGAGUAUUUUCUAACCAGACAGAGAUAUUCACACCCUGUUGUAGGCAGGUAAGGAACCUUCACUUCCUUUUGAGACCUUUGCAUUUUUCCUUAAGAUACUGUAGAGUUAGGUGACACACCAGCUACUCUUUCCUGAAACAAAAAUUAUAUCUGCUACUGAACUAUCUCCCAUGUACGCCUAUGAGAUUGUUCAUGGAAGAAUGAAUUCACAAGCCACAAUAGGGAAAAGAUCCAAAUCAUUUUCAGCCCACAACUUUUGACAUAGGAAAGUUCCUCGAUUCCCUCUUCCUUGGUUGAGAGGUGAAGUUUUAUGGAAUCGAAUGCCGCAUAUAAAGUAGCCCAGUAUAUUCUUUUACUUGUAAUGUUUUCUGCAGAACUAUUUAUGAAAUGAUAUCAGAGAGAGCUUAGACUCUACUCCCCUCAUCUUCAAUAAUUGAUCGCACUUGCAAAGAGUUGCUUUACUAGUGCCAUCAACUCAGAUAUACCUUUUGCCAGCUUUAUGGGAUGGUAGAAGAACAGGACAACAUUUGAGGCUUCUCCUCUCUAACAUUACUUGUCUGAACUUUUUAGGCAAAAGAAUCAGACAAGAACUGCAUGCAAUGGAGCAUUUAUUCUCUCUCUCACACAAUUGAAAAUUAGAUAUUCUAGUGGAAAUGUGUUGAUUUUGGCAAUCUGACAGAACAUGUUAUGCUUGUCUCAAGGCUUUCAUCUUCUAACCAUUCUUAUUGGAUUGUUUCCAAGGGAUGCAUCAGUGUGGGGAUCAUUAUACUGGGCGCUUUUAUUGCUGGAGCACGAGACUUGUCAUUUGACUCAUAUGGAUACACGAUUGUGUUCAUGUCAAACAUCUGUACCGCAGUAUAUCUGGCUUCUAUAGCACGAAUUGGUAGUUUUUAUUAUCCCUUCUGCAAUUUCUCUGUGUAUGAUGCAUUGGAGAACUUCUCAUUCCUUUUCAUCCUGUUUAGGAAAAUCUAGUGGACUUAACAGCUUUGGCCUUAUGUGGUGUAAUGGUAAGAUAUAUCACUAGCACAAUGAUCAUCUUCCCUGCUUUCUGCCAUGAAGUGCUUGCUGGUCACCAGGUGUAACUGGCACGUUUUUCUUUCAAAUUUAAUUGUCCCCCUGGACAUUAUGUAGGCAUAAUAUGUGGACCAAUUUUGCUGCUCUGGACUUCAAUCAGUGGUGACCUAGAAAGAACACUGAAGUUCCCAAAUUUGUUUUCUCCUGGCUUUCAGGUGAUUUUUUGUACAAAUAAAAUUCUUCAACUUCUCCAGACAUGCAAACUAGUGAAUUACUGUUUCGGUUGUUGCCAGAAUUGUAAAGCUUUACCUUUGCAACCUGCAAUUACAUGUCUAUUUCCCAUACACUCAAAAGCUUCUCCUUUAGCCACUAUGUUACAUCUCAUCCAUUUUAUUUACUGGGAGUCCAAUUAUAUUUACAAUUGCAGGCUGUCAUGGCACUUUCCUGCAUCAUGGCUUUCCUGAUUAAUUACUGUGUAUUUUGGAAUACAAUGCUAAAUUCAGCACUCACACAGACGGUUUGUGGUAAUCUAAAGGUUUGAUAUGCACACCAAAUACCAGUAAUACCUCUCCUCUUAUGCUCGGUUAUACAUAGCUAUUCUGAUGUUAAUGAAAUAUAUCUAGUAUCUAUACUUCCUGAUGGGCUUAUGGUUCUCGAGCCAUAUUCUUGGUUGUUACUAUCUCAAUUUUCUUGUCAAUGCUAUCUGGAAUGUAUUUUGUAAUAGGCAGGUCCACAACCAUUCAUAAAAUGUCUUCCCAUGACAUUUUGCCCCUGUUGAUAGCUACUUCACCAGAAUAAUUGUUAUUUGGGUAGCACUGUUCAUACUGGUGUUUGAUGUCAUGGGCAUUUGUUCUCGCUUCACUUUCUUCAUCCUUGGAGUGCUGUACUUUGCUGGUAGUGGAAAUCAAUGCACUAUAAGAUUUCAAUUAGCUGACUAGACUCGACCUUAUCUGUGAAAUAUUGUAAGGUUAUUUGUCCUUAUGCUUUGUCUUGAAGAACAAGAAACUUAAAAUGCAUUUACUAGCACCACAGUUUAUUCACAAGAAAUAAGCAAGAAUAUUCGAAUCUUAAUUUGCAUUUCCUGUGAGUAUACUGGAAGAUGCUCACAAAAUUUCUUCUUUCUUAAUGCCAACGACAGUCAAAAUUGUCAUUCUUGCACUAUCAGACCUCUUUAGAUGUUCUACUCUCAUCUUUUCUUUCUUUUUAUUUAAUAUAAUAACAUCUGGUUGAUAGGACCUUUUCACAAUUGGACUGGGCUGGCUAAUGUUUGGUGGGCUUCCAUUUGACUUGGUAAGUAUCUGUUGCCUUCUUUGCAGUUUUGAUAGUUUUGAUUGUACAGGAGCUAACGUCCACUGUUUCUUCCAGUUGAAUGUCGUGGGCCAAUCACUUGGUUUUUUAGGGUCCUGUCUGUAUGCCUAUUGUAAACUUCAAGGGAGAUAAGGUGAUAAGCAGCUUGUGAGAUUUUUGUUUUCUCUGAUGUAACCCUAUCAAAAAAUCAACAACCAAAUUUUGGGACGAAGUUUUUUUUUCAGUAUGCUAGUAUAGUUGAAAUUCGAAGUGAAACCUGAGGACUUAUCUAGCGUCCAUCAAAGAAAUUUACAAGCUACUAUGAGAGCUGAGCUUUGCUAAAAGUGAUUUCAGUAAAUUUAAGAGACUUCUCUAUUUGGUUUUAGGACGUAUGUAAAUUUUGUAUGAUACUAGAGUAAUGGAUCAUCAGACAACUUGGUUGUGUGGGGUUGUGGUGGCACACUUCAUCUUCUCGACGAGAGACCCAGAUUCAAAUCGUCGUAAUAUCCCAAUGUCGCCUAGUUCACAUUUGGUUACUUGCCUGCAGAUGUUACUUAGGGAGGAGGGUUGAUGAUUGAAGACUAAUAGUCAAUGGGCAGCAGACCCAGACUUUAUUUUCGUUUUUGGGUUUGCUUUUUCUUUUGGGCAAGGAUCCUUCCUCUCUUUUGAAAGGCUUGCCUUCGCUAUCCAGCUUGUUCGUCCCUACCACGGCGCAAUUAGUGCAGCAGACUGAAUCAUGUCCUCACGAAACAUUGCACGUCCAAUGUGGAAAGACAUUUUUGUUACCUGGCCACUGUUCACUUCCCUUUGACAUAAGUGAUGUGACGCUUUUGCAAUUUUUUUGGAGAUAGACAAGACAUUAAGAAUAAUUUCUCACGGGAAUUCAGAAGUGCACAGAAAGGUAGAAUUUGAGCCAUUUCAGACAAAGUACGAGGCGUGAUUAAGAGGAGAAUGAUAAGUUGAACAAAAUCGCUACAUCUGACUAGCAUGAAAGACUUAAUCACAUUGUCGUGUCACGAUGUUAAAAACGGUCUGGGCGUGCUCUCAUGUCCUUGUUCACCCUUAGAAAAGGAGAUCCCCAUUGUCAAUCCCUCGUUUUGCUCCCAUCUUUUCCCCCUGUCCAAGAAAGCGAAAAGGCGCCUUUUACGCCAGUUAUGGCAAAGAAGAUUCUUCUCUCACUUUUGAUUUCUGCUGGAUGGACAUUAGAUAUCAUGGUGUCGGCAUUGUAUGGUGCUUCAAAAGCCGUCUCUUUGGAUGAAACUAUUUCAUCUUCUCCUUUCUCGCAUUCUAAUUCCAUCGCCGUUUCUGCAUUUGCCGAUGUAUGCCAUCGUUUCUGUUUCUCAGUAUACUAUCCUUGUAUUAGAUUGCCAUCUGAUGUUUGUCCCAAAGUAGCAUUCUGUCUUUGUAAGGUCACGUAUGUAUGCAGCUGCAUGAAAUGCAUUGGGCUUGACUACUCGUGUGUGAACGUCAAGAGCCUCUCUCACUAGAAAAGUGGCCGUAGAAAGAGAGAGAGAGAGAGAGAGAGAGAGAGAAUGUGGGGGAUAGGGCGUGUCUGUGCUGUCCCCGGAACAUGACAAUGGACUUUGCCCUGAUUGCUGGGCAUGAUUGAGACAUAUUCAUCAAACUUCAAGUUCAACGACUGUCUUUUUUCUGCUUAGACAAAGAAAGGGGCUAAAGAAAACUCUCUCUCCUUGGUUCUUUCUCUCCUCGUCUUCGAGAUGAGAAGACGAAAUCUCGUACCUUGUCUUUACCACUAGGCCACCAUUGACUAUGAUCUUCGGUCUCAUUUACUUCUGCGUCGUCUCGACCAUUCAGAAGCAUGCUUAAAGCAGUCGUGUAUUGCAUGGAUAUUGCUGCAUCUAACAGCUCUAAAUUAUUAAUGGCCCCAAGAAAAUCUAUCAACAUGUCAUGUGAAAGCAUGUUUGCUUUGCUACAUUGUUACGUCGAAGGCCGUAAACGCCUCGACAUGUCCCUUAGACCCCUGGCCUUAGACCCCUGGCCUUCACGAAGAUUUUCAAUUAGGGAACGAAAUUGUAGGCUUUUCAACCAGGGCUCCACAUAACUUGCAACUCAGGCAAAACCUCAUUUGACUACUCUGCGGCAUAUACCUGCGGUCGGCGAAAUGAUAUUCAAACUUUAUAUUUUCAAAUGGUAACUUGACCUGGGAAGGAGAGUUGUAAGCAAUAAGCACGGAGUUACUAAUCGCUUAUUUCCCUUGACUACGAAUUGCCGAUUAACGGCCUUACAAGGGAAACAAAAGAGCGAAGAGGAGUUCUUAAAAAAUUAGGAAUAACGCGUUCCAUUAGCGAUGACUUCUAGAUAGGUUGACAGAUGGAUUAGAAAAGAGUGGCGCAAUGUAUGCGAAUUGCAACUUGCGACUUUAGAGAGAAACGAUGAAAGCUUUUAAAAGAAUAAAUGAUGGCGGUGGGGAAAUAACCAAGCUGAACCCAGAAUCAUGGAAACAAAAGCUUUUUUGACCUCCCAGCUUUUGAGAGAGGGGUGUGUGUGUGUGUGUGUGUUUGUGAUGUUGUUGUCGUUUGAAAGAGAGGUGGGGAACACGCUCAAGCUGUUUAAAAGACCAAGGAUCUGGUGACAAUAGUAGAACAAAGGGAUAAUAGCACAAAUAAUUCAUAAAUUUAAUUUUGGUUCAAUAUAUAAUGUUGUCCCUAAAUUUUUUAUUUAUAUAAUUUGGUUCCUAAACUUUGACCUAGUGUAUAAUAUCAUCCCUAGACUUUUAGUUUGUUUAAUGUGGUUCGUGAACUAUAUAGAGUCUCUAAACUAUACGAAAAGGUAUAAAAAUUCAAGGAUUUCGUUGAAUAAUAGACCAAAGUUCAGAGAUCAAAACAUACAAAAAAAAAGUUUUAAAACGAUAUUAUAUAUUUGACUAAAGUUUAUGGGCCAUUUGUAUUAUUUUCCCUAAAAUCAGCAAGAAAAGUGUUUGAGAAAUCCUGAAAAACUGGUCUUGUUUUUAAGGCGUGGGAUGAAAUUGCUUGGGACUGUGGCACGCGAACUUAUCGCCCUAAAUCAUGAGUCAUGAAAGAGAGAGGGGGGCCUUCAACUCUUUUGCCAAAAGGGUCUUUCACGCUUCCCCAAAUUCUUAAAAGAGGGAGGACGCAUUGGAGCUUGAAAAGAUUAAGUGCUCGAUUGGAGAGAUUUCAUACUUUGGCCUAUGACUUUUGGGAUCUAAUUCGUUUUCCUAGACUUUUGUUUUGGUCGUGAGCUCAAUUAAAUUCAGUGUUUGGGAGUCGUUAAUUUUGUCGAAAUUGUCAUUGUUUUAGCUGCAAGAGAAAGGGUUGAAACUUAGAUGGCACGGUGGCAAUUCGACUUGGGGAUUGGUUUUAAUUUUCAUCCUCAAAUUUCAAUUUGAAUCGUACUUGACUUUUGAGAUAUCACCUGACGUUCUUAACUUUUGAAAUUGAGGCAUUACAAUUCUAUUGGUUCAAUGUAUUCAUAGGAAUAUUAUAUCUCAAUACAACCCACAAGAAAACUUAUGCUUGUUGAAUAGAUGAUGUGAUCAAUUGAAUAAUGCCCAAAGAAGUGAAUCAAUCGAGAUGCAUGAAAACCAACCUGGACAUCACCUAACCGCUAAAUUAAAAAAAAAAACAAUAGGAAAAACUAUUCCUAACAAGUGAUGGUAAUAUCUUUCGCGUGUAUAGUUAAAUUAUGUGCUUAGAUUUGUUGGUGUGCACUUUGAGCUUGAGAUAUACAAAAAAUGAAUUUAAACCACAUGCAAAAUAUCUCAUAAUAUCACUAAUGAAUAAUGAUUCAAGGAUCUAUCCAGUCUUAAAUUUCACGUAUGCAAUGUUAAGACGUAGUCACCUAUAUAUUGAAAGUCUAAUCAUUCUGCAAAUAUAUUUUACCUACACACCCAUAGAUCUUCACAUACCGGACGCAAAAUCUGUUCUUUUCACGGUCAGUAAGUAGAUUAAAAAAAUAAAUCCAAUUCCCUUUUUCACCCGUGGUGGACAAAAUAAAUGCCGAUUGAGAGCACAGGAGGGACACAACAUGCAACAAAAAAAUAAUGAAGUUAAAUAGAUCAAAGUGGUCAGCAAAACCCAAGAAGAGUGUCCCCUAGUGCUCAUGCAAAGCUCAAGGCAGGGCUACUUUAACGCCGGUGUCUCCGGGGAUGGGUUGGCCCUGCCUCUCUAGUCUCUACCAUUCGCAAAGUGCUUUUGGUUGUGUUUCAUAUCAGGCUUUGUACGUACUCCUUGGAAACUUCUUUCUAGACGGCAAAUUUAUAUAAAUUAAACCUGUUCACCUUCGCUGACAUUCUGCACUCCUGUUCUCAAGAACUAAGAUUCUCUCCUUUCUCUCCACGCACUCAUGCCAUUUGACCCACGAUCCCUCUUUAAUUAAGUCUUCCUAGGCAUCAGUUUCUUCCAAUUGUUUAUAAAGUUGAUGUGUGAAUAUUCGAGCACUAGAAAAUACCUGAACAAGACUGCAGAAAAAGCGGGUCCAUUACCUAACUAAUCUUGGUUACUCCCGUUUAGUGAAUUUUCGGAUUUUAAUACUCGGUUUUCUUGACCCAUAUAUGGUGAAAGAAAAAUUUCGAUCUUUUGAUGCGAUAUUCAAAUCUAGUCAUGUUUGUAACACAUCUCCUUUUACAAGAUGUUCGGCUCUUGAAUAUGCAGAUGAUCAGAUAUUAAUACUAUAUAUGCUUAAGAAGUCCUACUUGUCACAUAUACGAAAAACAAGUACAUCAACCAAUAGUAUCAUAGCAGUGAUACUAAAAUGGAUACUAGGAAUGAUUUGUUACGCAAUAGAAAGGUUCCAAAUCUGGAAUCUAGAAUCUACGUUUAGAACUGGUUUUCCAUUUUUGGAAUCUAGAACCUACCUUAUUUAUCUUGAAAGCGACCUUGGAACUUACCUUGUUUGUCUAGUCUAGUUCUGAAUUCUAUCCCGAGAUUUUUUUUUUUUUUUUGGCUUCAUUAUAAAUAAAUAAAAAAAGAAGACAAAUAGCAAUUAUAGUAAUAUGAGUAACAAAAUAGCUCAAAGUAAAACAUCAAUACAAAACAAACAAAAAUAUAAAGCAAUAGGAAAGUUAAGCUUGUUUAAGAAUAAUAAACCAUAUUCUUCUAACUUAAAAAAUAGGUUCUACGCAAUUCUUGAGUGGGUGAGUGAAUGGGUAGGUUCAACACUCGGAACUUAUAACCUAUCCGCACAAUACCAAUUCCAAAAAUUUGAAAUCAUGAAUUGAACUUGUUUCUAUAAGGGUCUAGUCAGUUCCAAAGUAGAAUCGGAUCUAUUGCACAGCCCUAGUGGACACAUUGCACAUUACAUAGACCUAAUUAGGUGUUGGGACGUAGAGCCAACUGGUGUUGGGUGAUGUCUGGAUUACUUUAUCUGCUAAUGACAGAUUGAUUGUUGAUUAGAGUUUUAGGUUCCAUUCUUUUCUUCAAAAUGAAUUAUUUGUGAAAUAUUUUCCUAAAAAUAAUCGUUUGUACUGCUUGCAAUAAUUGGCCAAUUAAAAAUAUUUUCAUUAUUAAUAACAAUUUAUAUUUGAAUAUUUUCGUGAAUAAUGAAAAAAUUUAUGCAUUUAUUUUUCUAAGCAAUAUAAAAUAUUAUUUUUAGAAAAUUAUUUUUUAAAUUAUUCAUUUGCCGCGAAACAAAUAAGAUUGUAGAUAAAAUUCUUAUAUCCCGUCCCCAUGGAUGUUGUGAUUCCUUUAUUCAUUUCACCUUAUCUCUUUCUUUCUGUUCUCGCGAUUGCUUUGACGUUAAAUACCUAAUCUUGACCAACAUGGAAACCUCAGUCAAAAAGUUCAACUAAUUUUCUAGACAAGGGGAGGCCCAUGGAAUCAAAAUGAGCAAUUCUCUCUUUUCCUUCUCCAGGAAAAAGCAUAACCUAAUCCUAGCACUUCAACAUGCUGUCAGGAACAUGCAUUAUUCGGUAAAAGGACACCAUGGAAUGUUCUUGAUCAUAAAGUGUCCCCCCCUCCUUUAUAAGUAUUCAAACUUAAGAAUGUCCCUUUUUGAUUAUCAAAAAAGUGGGCUCUCUUCUCUCUUCUUUAUGAUUAGUGUCUAAAUAAGUAACACUUGGAUGAUGAUUCUGCUCACAAAGCGUGCAUAUAAGCCAACCAUCCAAUUCUCUUUCUCUCUCACACACACCCAAAAGCAUUUCAAUCAAAUUAAUGCAAGCAUGAACAAAAAGUUGGGGUGUCUUAGGGCUUUCAAUAAUGAUAAUGUGGAGGGGGAAGAGAUAACACAGUACAAUGAAAAGGAGUUAUUUUGUGGGUUUCUUUUUUGGGGUGGAGAGAAUAUUUCAAAGUGCAUGCGGAGAGAGAGUUUUUUUAUGUUAAAUUUUUUGAGUGCAAACUAAGCAUGACAAACCCUAAAAGUGAGGCUUGCUCCCUCUUGACAUCAUUCCACUCACCUUCUUCCCCUUCUCAUCCCGAGGCAAAUCCUUCCAUUAUACAUCCCCCCCUCCUUCCCUCUCUUCCUCGUCAACACAAUCUCUCUCGCUCUCGCUCGCUCCCUCUCUUCUUCUCCUCUCUCUCAUCACCCACUAUCUAUUGCAUGAGUAUUUCCUUCAUGUUGGCCAUGGGUUUGGAGUCUAUCGAUCACCUUCAUAAGUUUUUUCAUGCACGGACCUACCCUCUUUCGGCCAAUCCAAAACCCUGCUUCUGAGUCAAGUUCUGCUAGGAGCUCUGGCUUGAUAUAUUCAUUUAUAUAGCUACUGUCAUGCAUUUGUGUUGUGUUUUUAUCUUUUCAUGUUUCGUCAACUUCUAGUUUUUCUCUUUUCGUUUUUGUUCGAGCUAUUAGGCAAUUUCUACCGUGUAUCGAUCCCUAAGAAUACCAAGCUAGCUGAAUUCAUUCCAUCUGCCCUUAUUUUUCUUUUUUUGAAAUUAUCGAUCUUGUACUAAUGCACAAGAUUAAUUUUAACAACACAAAUAGCGGCACAUAGAAUGUUUUCAUACAUGAAUACCAAGAAUAUGCAAUGAUUUGGGUGAUCCCCACUUCACCAUCACAUUAAUUCCUCUAACCACCAACAAAAAACCAUGAAUUGACUCCAUCAAUCCAAGGAAACCCUUUUCCCUACCAAAGAUGCUCAAGUAAUAAUUGUGUUCUCGUGCUUUUGCAAGCAGCAUGAGAGCGUUGGUCUGAAAGCUGAAACCAGCACAAGGCUCUUUAUUCACAUGGUGCAAAAGAAUGUUGGGGCAAACGUGUGGCCUGCUGAUGAUGGAAGUUAAGUCCUUGACUUUUGCGUUUGGCUUUUAUCUAGAACGAGUUUGACAGGUAUAGGUGGGAAUGAAGCUAAAGCGGCAAAAAGACAGCGAUAUUGGUGAGGUUCAAUCCGAAGACGGAUUUACAUAUGGGUUGUAAAAGACGAUCUCAGAUUGAGCCGCGCCAAUAUCACUCUCUACGUGACAAGUUUCAUUCCUGUUCGGUCAGAAGAUUUCUUCUCAUUGCAGGUGCGGUCAUAUGUGGCAUAGCCGAUCGAGGAUACUCCGUCUUCAUCUGAUUUCUUUCAACGUGCUAUCACGUUGUUUCUCAUCUUAUCUUCACUUUCACUUGCAUAAAGACUUAGUGGAAGCACAUAGUCAAACUACCUGUCUGCAUUUUUCCUCGCAUCUUGCAACUUGUUUCCAUAAUAUCAACGGCAUACUUCAUGAGUUGUGAAGUUCUUAGAUUGAACAAGAAAAUGCUAGAUGGCAUGUUGGUUUUCUAAUAGAACUACUUUCUAUUUGCUAAAUGUUGAUUUAUUCAGUGAAAAAUGUUUUACUAAUAUCUCUCAUCUAUGCUACCACUAUUUUGUGAGCUUUACUUUGUUGGUCAUUGGUUGACAAAUGCAUCCUAUAUAGGUCACAUUAGAAGAUUGCUAGCGUUUAUAUUCGAAAAUUUUAUCUUUAAUUAGCAAAUGAUAUAGCGAAAAUGUAGACUUACUAAUUGGACUUUUUAGCGCAGGCGGCAUGAUCUUUGGAUUGAUUACACAAUAUACAUCUCUAGCAGGGUUGAUUUGGAUUGGUUUAUCCCCAAAAAUGUAAUCGUCGAUCUCAACAGUGAUGGAGAAGACUUAUACAAAUAAAAUGUUGCUCAGCCUGUGUAGCAAAACAAUUUCCAUGUUAAUUAUGUGAUAUGCUCUUGGAGUUCCAUCUGUACAUUAAUGUUCUUUUAUAUUCUUUUCUCUUCCGGGGCCCAGAGUUGAAGCUUGUGGCUUAUAAGAGCUUGAGCACGUUGCCUCCAUGGAACCAGCUAGGUACGUGAAAAUAGCACUUUGAUCAUAUCCAGUCCAUGAUAUUUCCCUAAAUAACUUUAUGAGAUUUGAUGGGUAAAUGUAUAUCUUUGCUGAUCAUUGAAUCUUGAGGCUAUUUUAGCUUUUUCCGUAGCCACUGCAAUUCAACCUAUAUCAUUGCAAUUACUCCUUUUUAAAUACCACUUUCCGUAUUGUUCUCAUGUCACUACUCUGUUGUAGUGCCGUCAAAACUAUCUAUGAAACUUUGACGUAGACACAAGCUAUCAAUGACACUUCACUUUACAAUACGUGCAUAAGCGAUCUCAACAGUAAAGUCGCAGAGUUUCAACAGUGGAAUACAGUACUAAAAGUUGAUAAGUUGCGAUGGUACAAAUUAUAGGUACAGUAAAGAGAAAAUGAACAGCCGCCUGUUAAUGUCCAGCAAAAGAGAUUUAAGUGGUCUUUUUUCGAUAAGAAUGAGUAUGUGAUUAAUUGAUGUAAAAGAUGCUGAUCAAGUAUGUUCUGGGAAUAACAUAUAGUGCAAACAAUCUGUAUACGCCGAUAUAAGUCACUGUUACCAUGUUGUCCAGUCUGCGUCGGGGAAAACGCGUGAGUACAGCUACUUGUUGACGUAGCAUAUAUCAUCUUUAGCCACCGAGUUCCUCGCAAACUUUCUGGUAAAAAGUACUUUCAUGUGGCCGUCUUUUAAUAGAGCUAGUCGAUCAAUUGAUAGACUCUUGUACCGACGCAUGCUAGUCACAUAAGUGCACAAAGAAAUAUUGUCUUAUGACUGUCUCAUCAACUUUUUAAUAAGAAAUAUUAUCAUGUGACUGUCUCUUCAAUAAAACUAGUUAAUCGAUUGAUAAACUCUUGUACCGAUGCAUACAAGUCAUGUAAGUCCAGAUUUUUUAUCCGAUGGACUUCAUUGCAGCACAAUUAACCAAAUCAAAGAUUUAAAUGUAUUGCCCGGCAUGCACCACGUACGUGCAAGAAAUUUCCAAAUUGGUAGAUCAAUUUAUGUAUUUUACUGGUGAAACUUGCACUUGGGAAAGAGGUACAUCAGACGCUCAAUCCAUGAGGCGAAAAAAUUGUUUCUGUGAUGAUCUCUUCAUUUAGUGAUGAUCAAUGUACUUCUUCAUUUUCAGUAAUUUUUUGGGUUCUCACGGUUGAUCUGGCCUGUUUAAUUUUCUAUAGUUCUUGCAAUGGCAUGAUGCAGUGUGUCUGAAGCCCCACAUCGGAAUAUAAGCCAUGAUCUCGUUUCGAAUUUAUAAACGACACUACAAGAUCCGAGCUCAGUUGGAAGGCAAGGUGGAGGGAAAAAACAAAUUAUUUAUUAUUGUAAACUCAGAAAUGGGAAUUGGAGGAAUACUAUAAUAAACUAUCUCUUCUCAGAAUUAUAUUGAUCCACGGAUCCUUUUUUUCUUUUUCUUUUUUUUCUUUUUGCACUUGUAAAUUCCAACUAUAUGUUGGCAAGUGUCAAGUAUUCAUUGAUGAAGUAUGGUUAAUGACUUUUUUCAAAAAUAACUUGGUAACUUUUACCAAAUCAACAUUUUUGUACUAUCUCAUUACUUUAAUUUACAUAACUUGCCAAUGCUCCAAAUAACUAACAAUUAUACUAAAUUAUCAACCUAAUUUAGAGUAAUUUAUUAAAUUUUUAUCAUAUUAAAUUACUACCUAGUUUUGGAGUACCAACUUUCAUAUGCAUUAUUUAUCAAUGUUUAUUUUUUUUUUCAAUUAACCAGCUUAUCCAUUGGAUUACUAAUUUUUAUUUGCCUUGGUUAGCAACCCCUUACAUAUGUUAACUAUGUAUAGAAAUUACCAAACUAAAUAAGCUUGACCUUUACCGACUCUCAUUUGAUUUAUUUAAUGACGUUUCUUUGAUUUUUAUAGUUUGUAAACUUCAUAGAGUAUAAUCCAGGUGUAUUGCUGGUCAAAUUGGGGCGCUAUCCAAAUGAGUGCGCAUUAUCGCUGAUAUAGUGAGAAGUAGUUGGGAGUUGAUAUUUUGUCAAAUGUGAUUCCAUUGCUCAACUUCCUUUUUAAUUUUUUCCAUAGUCAUUUUUUUACCAAAAGAAAAGAAGAGGGGGGAGGGUGGAGGGAGGGGGGGGGAAGUUUCUUUCUUAUUUCUUGUUCAUCCACAAUUCAGUUAGUUCAUUAGACUUCUAAAACAGUCAAUUAAGGGUCCGUUCGAUUCGCGGAAAAUGGGCCAUUUACGGAAGAUAUUUUCCCAUAAGUCAUUUUUCAGGAAAAUGAUAAUAUUUUUUUGUGUUCGGCUAAAACCUGAAAAUAUUUUGGAAAAUAUUUUCCAGUGUUCAAUAAGGAAAAUAUUUUCUAAGACUUCACCACUUAUCACUUAUCAACCUAUAAAUCCAUCAAAUAUGAACUUGCCUUUAAAUUUGAACAAAUUUACUUCAUAUCUUUAUUUCUUCAUUGUCGCCAAACGCUCGUCUACUCUAAAAAAUGUUCAUAUGGAUUUUAAAAAGAAGCAAAGCAUGUACAACCCUAAUGAGAAUCUUCCAGUUAAUUGGCAUAUUCUCCCCUUGCAUUUUUUGUGUUCUAAUAAACAAAAUAAAAAAGAAGCAAAGCAUGUAAAGUCAUUUGCUUGAGCAAUGAUAACUGCAGCGUAGAGUAAAUAAAGAAAAUGAUAAGCAAGAGUCCAGAGCACAAGCUUGAGAUCAAUGAGCUCGAGGUUCGCUUAGCAACGGCCAACGACUAGUCAAGAAAGAAGAAAAUUGGAAACAAAGGGAAAAAAAAAAGAAAAAUAAAACAAGAAAAAGAAACUAAAAAUAAUUCGAAUUAAAAAAGAAAAUUAAAAAAUAAUUCGAAUAAAAGUAGAGGUGUGAGAUAAGAAAUAUCAAGUUAGGAAAAUGUUUUCCACUUUUCAAAAGUAGAAAACAUUUUCCCCAAAAUUAGAAGAUUUUUUUGCUUUCAUGGAAAACAUUUUCCCUAAGGAAUUCAUUUUCCGUGAAACGAACGCUGAAAAAUCGAGAAAACGUUUUCCCAAAAAUUAUUUUCCGCGAAAUGAACAGAGCCUAAGUGACAUAUAUUAGAGAUGCAUUUGUGUCGCUGAAACAAUCAUUUUUAAGAAAUUAUUUUUUUAAAUCGUCAAUUUUUUACAAAACAAACAAAGCAUAGAAUGAUUCAGUUCCAACCAUAUCACUAUGUCACGUGUCAUUAUGCACAAUGUGACAUAGUUCUCUAGUGAAUGCCUCACUAGCUUUCCAUUAAAUUUUCUUUUAUAAAUGGUUGACGAAGCAACCCGAUCGAAAAAAUUCGAAAACAGCAUGGCUAAUUUCUUAUAUGCAACAGGAAAAUAAUUAAUUUGCAAGUCAAAUUGUUCCUAAAAGAAGAUAAUGAUAUGGGGUUGGCAUAUAGUUAAUGUAUGCUUACUAUUAACUUAAACCCCCAAAAUAUAAUAUUUUCAAUUAAAUUAAACAUGCUAGCCACCGAGCUUUGCAAGACGCGCUUUAUGGGUAAUGAAUGGUUUUUAAUUAAUUAUUAAAUGCAAAUAUUGUAUUUUCUUUGUAACACUCUAAUGUAGAUAAUAAUCCCCUCUUUAUAAUUAAAAUAUUUAGGUCAAGAAAGUACAUUACCGUAAAAACCUGGCCAAUUGUUCAAAGCUCUUUUAAUUGAGAAAUUGUCCGACUAGUCUUAAACUUGUCAUACGGAUAACAACUCAAUUUUGUCAUUUUAGUCAUAUAUCUUUAUGUGAUAUUCGAAUAUAGUCAUUUCAGUUAAUUUUCACCAAAUCUCAUUGACGUCGUGAUGUGGCACAUCAGAUGAUCGGCAAUAACUAAAUCAUCAUGUCAGUGAUUCUUAGCGAAUAUUGACCAAAAUAAUUACAUUGUAAUUUUGUUUAGAAGUUUAAAAUUGAAUUAACAUCCACAUAAUAGGUUUUUAACAUAUUGGAUAAGUAUCCCUCCGUAUAACGGUUCAAGUUAAGCAAGUGAGAGGAUAUUAACAGGGAACAUCUCUCAUAAAGGCGUAAGAAAAUGUGACUCCUCCGAGCUAACUUGUCGCCACUUGGUUUUGUCUUUUUUGUGCUUUCUUUUUUACAUGAUGAAAAUGUUGAAACUACUCGGCUGGUCCAAUGACAAUUGAACUAGAAUGAGAUCCGUGCCAUGCGAGGGAUAUAAUGACUUUAUUCUUAAAGAGUAAACAGUUUCAUUUUACUCAAUAUCUGAUCACUUGAAAUUAGAUAAUAAACAAAAACCUUAUCAUUGCAUGAUCAUCUCUAAUACAUCAUAUUAGUAUAACUAUUUCAUGGUAUGAUUUCACAUAGGUUAACUUGUCUAAAAGGCGUGGGAGCGAAAAAUUUGGAAGAAGUAUUGAUCUUAGGUAUCUCCAUAAACAUUGUACAUAAUCUCUACUUAUAUUUUGCAUAUGGCCACUCAAUUUGAAGGCUAUAAAUUAGAGACGUUUGUUUGAUUUUACAGAUGAGACAAAUGUUAGACCCCGAAACAAAUUCAUAUUUUUGUUGAUUGUUCUAGUAUAGUAAUAAUAUUAAUGACAAUUCUUUAUGCAGCGUACCAAAUACUUAUCCUUAUGAAUGAAUUACGGACGUGGAAUUGAUUUUCUAUCCAUGAACUGCAAGAUUUUUUUUUUUUUUUGGGUCGGCAACUCCAACUUUAGAAGUAUUUAAAUUUAUUUGUGAAAUUCACCAACCAAGAGAAGAGCGAGAACUGGCUUUUUUUCGAAUAUUGGCUUAAAACCUAAGAAUGAAUAAAGAAAACUGGAGUUUUUUAGUACCCAACAACUCCUACUUCAAAAAUAAAAUUGAAAAAUGAAAAAAAAUUCCAAGCAUGCCACAUCAUCAUUUUACUAUUCAUCACACCAAUGACUUAUAUAGAUUUAUAGAGUAUGGGGAAGAACAUGCACUCACCAAUGGACAUUAAUAUAUGUGUGUGUGUGUGUGUGUGGCAUAUGAAAAUGUGAAACAUAUGGGAAUAAACGUUAAAUCUCUUCUCCCUACAUAAAAAAAAUUGAUUUUUUCGCUUCUUCUUGAGUCAGCGUAAUGAUCAGCUGCUCUAGUCUAUCGUCUCUCUCCACUUUGAGCAAGUGCACUUCAUUGAGAUCCUCACUCAAGCUCGCCUUCUGAAGAAGAUCAACAGCUUAAACACGAAGCAAAGACGCAAGAUUGUCUCCUGAGAUUGAAGAAAAGACGCCGUGCUUGCACGCAUUCGUAGACAAUCUCAAAGUGCAGUUUCUUCGAACUCCAAGCAAUCGACAUCGAGAUUUUCUUUUUGGCCUUUUUUUUUUUUUUGGCUCUUUUUGGGUCAAAGGACAUCGACAUCACGUUGCUAGAUGUACAUAAAUAAUCGCGGAGAACAACAGGGGUUCGUUCAUGUAAUUACAGAUGUAAACUCAACUACAAUACAGACAACUCGCGGGGAAAUCCGAAGGUUAGUUUCUCUAGCAUGAGAGAUCAUGGGAGAAGACUCGAAAGCACUUUUCUGUCUUCCUUGUUCUUUCUCAAUCCGGCACUAAUUAGGACCAAACAUUCUAGUACAAGAACCAAACUUACAAUAGUACUCGAAUCAAUCAGAAGAGUAGGAACAGCUGAGCAGUCACUUUGAGUUCUGCUUGCCGGCGUUCAGGGGAGAAUCUCUAACGCUUUUGGUCUGGAUGUAACUCCGCUGCUGAGUCGGGUCCGGCUUUUUCUUGCGCCUCCCUUGUUGAUACAACCGGGAAUGGCAAGACGAGAUUGCGAGGUCAUUGAGGUCUUGUAAUGGAGUGAGCACCUUGACGAUUUCGUCCAUCGCGGGGCGGGACUUGGGAUCCCUGCUGAGGCAGUGGAAGGCUAGUUGAGACACCUUCUGGACUCCUUUGAUUGAGUAGUUCAGUUCGAGGCGCGGAUCAACCAGAUGGUAAAGCUUCCUCUUGUCCGUCAAAUGGGGUCGGGCCCAUGUGACGAGGUUCUGUUCUCCGCUGGGACGUUUCUUGUCCAUUGAUCUUCUUCCCGUUAGGAUCUCAAGAAGCACAACGCCAAAGCUAUAGACGUCACUCUUUGAUGUCAAAUGACCUGUGGAAAUGAGAACAAGACAAGCAUCAGGAUAGGGCUUCGAUAGUGUGGAAAAACUCCAAAUCCUCUCGUUGCUGCCGAUGUUUGUCUCAUGAAAAAAUCUAUGUGAGAACUUAGUUCAGACAAAAGAUAAUUGCUCCUGUGCAACUUUGGUGAAUCGGCUCAUGACUAAAACUCAGUAUUCAACCACUAGAUAGACUAAUGUCUAGAAUGAAACUCACUUUUUCUGGUGAAUCACAGUGCUACCUGACACAACCAACUUGUCUUUUUUGAGCUACAAGCAAUGAUAGCUGAAGACCAUUUGUGUCAAGGUAUUAAGAGAGUUGUGUGAUUCUUGAAAAUGUUCAUACAUGAAGCUUUUAGAACCAAUUUAACAAACCAGAUAUCACAGGAGUACCUGUCAUUACAUAUUCUGGAGCAGCAUAGCCAUAUGUCCCCACAACUCUAGUUGAAACAUGAGUUUUGUCUCCCUGAGGCCCAGCUUUCGCCAAACCGAAAUCCGAAAGCUUUGCAUUGUACUCCUGCAGAGCAACGGCUGUUAUAGUUAAUAGAGUGAACAGAUAUUGGCAGUCCCAGUAUAGUGCCAAAGUACAGUAUAGUGCCAAAGUAUGUACCGAAUCAAGCAAAAUAUUUGAGGUCUUAAAAUCUCUGUAAAUGACCGGUUUCCUGUUCCCGUGCAGGAAGGCCAAUCCUUUUGCUGCGCCAAGGGCGAUCUUUAUCCUGUUGGACCAUGGAAGAGGCACGGCUCCUUCAAGAAUUACGACAUAAUCAGUACAUGUUAGGGACAGUGACAGACAGAGCCACAAUGACAAAAAAGCAAACACUUUCACAAUCAAUUUGAAGAACCACAGCUUGGCUCACGACAGUGCUUUAGACCAUUUUGGCAUAUGAUGCAUAACCUAGCAUUGCAACUGGUCAGAACAUUAUGGUACUUAGACAUGAUGCCACAGCCAUGCAAAGGAGGUAGCGAGCUCAUCAGAAACAUUAUGUUGAGUAGGAAAAUCUUGCAUACGCUAGGCAGGCUACCUAAUUAGGUACAUAGGAAAACCCGAUGUGUCAAAUUAACGCCGGGCUUCUUAGGAGCAGGCAAACUUCUCGUCUGUCGGAAGCAUUCUGAAUCAAGCAUGCAAUUUGAUUGCCCAUUCUGAUGGAGUCACUACAUUGAACUGUCGAUAAAGGCAGAAAUCAACACUUACUUCUGAAAAGAUGAUUUUCAAGGCUUCCCCUGGUCAUAAACUCAUAGACUAGCAACCUCUGAUCAUCUUCAAUGCAGCAACCGACAAGCUUAACGAGAUUGGGAUGAUGAAGCUGUCCCAAAAAUUCGACUUCAGCCUACAUUAACGAAUCUGUCGAUUAUGACUCUAUUCUCAGCAUUUCAGCAAGAAACACGCUUGAGACAUCAAUUUAGCUGGUCAGAGUUCUAGAAUUCGCUCACCAUCCAUUCUCUGUGCCCCUGGAGACCAUCUGGCUUCAAGCUUUUGACUGCAACUGUAAUUCCCGAACCAGGUUUUGCAGGUGCCGUACCAUUCUCCUCAAUCCACCCUUUGAAGACAUAACCAAAUCCUCCCUCCCCGAGUAUACUAUCCGGCCUGAAGUUCCCAGUCGCGGAUUUUAGCUCCUGAAAAGUGAACUGGAGAAGCUGGCACCUGGAUUUAUUAUCCGCCAAUGGUGGCUCGGGCGUAUCAGAGGAUAAGCGAGCUUCGUGAGGAGGAUACAUCUCACGGUUGCUCGCAUUGAGGUAUCGCGUCUCGGCUGCUGCAUCAAAAUUAAGAAAUUGCACCCCAUCAAUUUGCAAUGUCGAUUUUAUCCAAAUCAUAAAAGUGGAAAUCUGUACGAGAUCAGCUUGGAUAAGGCUUUAGGUUAUUGAAUGUUCCAACUUUCAAGUUUGACUUAAGCCCAAGAUGACUACUUUCCCGAUGAGCUAUGCAAAUAACCACAUACAGUCUACUGAAAACAAAAGAAAUCAGCAACCGGAAAAAAAAACAAUGAUUUACGCAAAAACUCAGCCAAGAAAACAAAAGAAGGCAAGUGAAAGAGAGAAGCCUUUUCCUGGUUACAAGACUGGUUUUAGCCAAUACCAAACGGAUGGCUCGGAUUCCAUUUAGAUUUGUCGAAUGGAUCUCUGUAAGGGAUAAUUACAUCCCAAAAUCAGCACACAGUACGCUCCUGCCAAACUUCAGUACCCAAUAAGAGCAUGAUGCUGCGUUCUUGAACCAGGUCCAAAGCUUGAAGAGAGAAAGAAAAGAACAUGCGAGAUGCUAUGUGGAAAAGAAAGCGACCCAUUUUGUUCUCUACAUGAAACAAGGAUUGAAUUUUCACAGGAACGCAAGGACAUGAUCGUGCUAGUGCUGUCACCUGCAUCAUAAACGGUGCUGGUACGAGGAAUUGAAUUAGCGGAGUCUCUUGAAGCAGAGGAGGUGCGUCUCAGAACUGCCCAGCAGCCGCACCUGCUCUUCUCCAUCUCUUCUUCUGCUUCACUUCCCCUCCUCCCUUUUCACUUUCAUGGAAUGGCGUCAACUAUAUUGAGCUGAAGAGAUGAGAGAGAAAACAGACAGCAGACAGAGAGAGAGAGAGAGAGGGGGGGCGAGGCCAAAAGGAGAUUCAACACACUUAUGAGGUGUGAGAAACAGAGGAGAGGCAGAGGAAUAUGAGGAUGAGAGAGAGAGAGAGAGAGAAAGGAAUUCGGUGUUCUUUUGCUGUUGGAGAUUGCAGGGAUCAUCAUCACCAUCAUCGCGGUGUGUACAAAAAGAACUUUUUUUCCUUCCACUUUUUGCUUGUGGGGGAUGGGAAGCAAUUCUCUCUCUCUCUUUCUCUCUCCCCUCUUUCAAGAAUUGAAAUUUGCCCAAAAUUACUAAAAUGACUAUGAAAAUAAUGAGGCCAAACAGAGUGACUGAUGCAAUGUGGAUUGUCCUGAACGUUCUUGCUUUAACAGCUCCAGGCGUUGUCUUGCUCGAAACGGAUUAGUACAAAGACUAGCAAGAAGCUUUUAUGCAAGACGGUGCAUCUUCAACCAUAAACAACACGUUCGGGCUACGGUUUUUAAGAGCAGACAGACAAUGCUGAAGUGUGGACCAGAUCGAAUGAAGUUGUGAAAUGUACAUUGACUUAAUUGGACGGUCGGUGAGUUUGGACUAAAUCCGAUCUUUUUUUAGACCGGUUUCGAAAUUUUUCAUGAAAAGAGAUGAUUCACUUGUACAUUGUUAUGUUGCAGUGUGUAGCCAUGCUUGGAUAGACGUUGUAGCCAUCAAGAAAAUAUUAGCAAGCAGAUUUUAUCAACAACUACGCUUAGAAAAAUUAAUUAAUUAAGAAACGUUUUUUUCUAAAAAUAGUAACUUACAACGUUUGCAAAAAUGAACUUUACCAAAAUGAAUGAAUGAAAAAUGUUUUCAUCGUCCAUGAAAUAUUUAAAUAUAAAUCGUUGUGUAUAUGAAAACAUUUUUCAUUAACUAAUUAUUUCAAACAACGUAAUGAAUCAAUUCUAGGAAAAUAUUUUCCAAAUAAUUCAUUUCGCAUGAAACAAACGCACUCAAAGAGUUAGAAAUUGUUCUGUAAAUUUUUCUUGGCCAGAUAGCUUUAGGGAAAUGAAUUUUAUUAGGUCUAAUGCCAGCGCUACCUUAAUUCUACUCGUCCAUAUGGGUGAUGUAUAAGGUAAUUGCGUAGAAAAAGCAAUAUAUACCAAGAGGGAAAAUAUUGGUUGACACGAGACCCAGUAGAAACUUUUUUCAGAACUCUCUUCGUGCGAGUGCAGAUUUUAGAAUUUCUACAUAUGAAAAGCUGUAUGAGUGUCAUUUAUGCAAGUAUAAGCAGAAAUUAAGAAAGAUGUAAAGUUAUGUAGCACAUAUAUCUACAGCAAUGUAGCAGAUAUAUCUAUUGCACUUUUUUACCUUCGAACUAUAUCAAUCUUACGCUGUGUACGUGUCAGUUUGCUUUCUUCUUCAAUAAUUAUCAAAAUAAUAUUUAAUAUACAUGAAUAUCCCCCACUUUAUAUCUCCGUAGGUUCUGAUCAAGUGAUCAAGCAUAAACUCGUAAAAAUAUUUAACAUGCAGUAUGUCUUCAUCAUACACUCAAAGAAAUCAAAUACUUUGAUAAGUUUUUGUGAUCAUCAAAAUGAUCAAAGAGAUUUCGACUUUCCUUUUCAAAUUGUCCAACAAUAGUAGUCUAAAAACUCAAUUACACAAAAAGAGCACAUCCGAAAACAACAUUGAACGAUUAAAAGAAAGUUCGAAGAUUUAUAAUAUAUUUAUCCCUAUUCAAAAACAACAUUGAACGAUUAAAACAAAGUUCAAAGAUUUAUAAUAUCUUUAUCCCUUUCUUGAGGAAAUCUCACUUUAACUCUGUUUGUUUCGCAAAAAAUGAAUUAUUUGAAAAAUAUUUUUUUUCAAAACGAUUGCUUGUAUCCAUUAAAAAAAAAAUGAACAAAAAGAAAUUUCAUUGUAUACGAAAAUAUUUAAAAAAUAAAUUCUUAUUGAUAAUGAAAGAGAAUUGUCGUUGGCUAAUUAUUUGAAUUCCGUUUGUUUCACAAAAAUGAAUGAUUUGAAAAAUAUUUUCUUAAACAUGAUGGCUUGUAUCGCUUAAAAUAUAUAGCUCAUGAAAAAUGUUUUCUUUAUAAACAACAAUUUAGGUCUAAACAUUUUCAUUUCUUGGAAUAUAUUUUUCAAAUCAUUCAUUUUUCAUUGAACAAACGAAACCUUAGUUCACCUAUAGUUUGUUUUCGGAUUCACACAUCACCGUCCGCAUCCAAAAUCUAUGUCAAACACUUACACAAUCGUGAUAUCAUGCUUCAAGUAUAUAUAGUUCAAAAAAAUUCCAAUUCUAAAAAGUUGAGGGGAAUGUGUGAGCAAAUUCGGGAAAAGAAACCCCACAUUGGGCAAUACAUGAUGAGACAUUAGGCAAAGUGAAUGUGGAACUAAAGAAUGGGAAAACUAAGAUAAAUAGACCUACAUGAAAAAUAAAUGAAUGUAAAGGAUGUGGAAAUAGCUCUCAAGCAAGUUAGAAAUGUACCGACCCGAAGACUUAAAUCAUUAGUUAAAGAAACAUUACAUACAUAUAAGUCAUGCCUCUAUAUUUUUGUUUCUUUUUUUUUUUUAACUUUGAAAUACUCAUCGACUAAUUAUGAACCAUUUACUCUUAUUUCUUCUUCCCACAUUAUUAAUUCAUUUCUUAUUUUCCUUUGUAGAUUAAUGUUUCGGAAUAGCGCGAACCGAACUCAUUAGUGGUUUAUUUCAACAGCUUUAACUAUGAAAGAGGGACGAAAAUGACUGACCAAAGCGUAACUUAUAACCCUAGACACCUGUGAUCUACAAACAUCAUGCACUUCGAGUAAGCACGGAAUAACUUUCAGAGUCGAAACUGGUGGCUUUUGCCGAUAAAAUAAUAAGUGCAUCAAUCUCGCGGCUAAAAAGUUUUGGGUGGACCGGCCCAAGAUUUUCUCCACAAGCCGUGUCUGAGACAUUAAUUUUCUGAGUAAUUUAGUUUAAUUGCUGUAUUUUUAUUUUUAUUUUUUCCUUCCUUUUCUUUUUCUUUUGGGCAAAACAAGGUUGAGAGCCAGUCCUGUGACCUCGACAGGAAAACAAGGGAGCACCAUGCCUUUGAGGCAUGAUGAUGCGCCCUAUUAUUGUCCUCUUAUUGCAUUAAAACUCUUGUACAAGGCCACUGGGCGUCCGAAUAGUCAUCUAGAUUUCCAUUACUUUGCCAAACUAUUUGGAACUCCCUCUCUCUCUCUCUCUCUCUCUCUAAAAAGAAAUAUUUUUCCAAUUUCACGGAGGUUUACUAUUGUAACCGGCAAUUAUGACGCUUUUGGUAUGAUCUCACGGCACUUGGCAUUCACGUUUCGAGGUUAAUUUAUCCAAACUCGACACAAAUUACUAAAUAAAUAUGCAAGAAAACGUCACAUGGCAAGGUGUUUGCUGGUGCUACAAAGGUAAUGUCCAAGAGAAUUACCUAAUAGAGGGCUCAAAUUGCUUCCACUUACCAAUGAUUCUUCGUUGUUUCGCCGACCGCAAAUAAAAUCUAAACGAUUCUAGGGCCUAUAAUUGGGUGGUCAAAGCUAGACGAAAGAUGGUCAAGAAGCAUAUUUUUAGUGCAAUCCCAUCAAAAUCUCUCUCUCUCUCUCUCUCUCUCUCUCUCUCUCUCAAUUAUUCCAUUCAUGGACGGGAAAUGGGAGGGUUAUGAUAGGUGGGCUUCCAUGGUUAAGUAUUUUUUUUUUCCUUUCAAAGAGAGAAGGGGAAAAGUGAAGUGGGGGAGUGGGAGGAGUGUGAGUAGUGCUUGGUGAGGAGUCAUCUCAUCAACCACCAAAGAAAAUAUAUUCUAUGAUGCUUUGGUUGGACAAAAGCAUUUUUCGAUCCUUAUUCUCUUUUCUUUUUUCCUUUUUUUAUCAACACGAAUCGCGUUUUAACACCAAACUAUAUUUCAUGAAGCGUGAGAUCACAAGUCGAAUCUUAAUAGAAAUGACUCUCUCAAAAGCCUCUCCGCACUCGUAAUCACUCAACCAAGCGUCGAACGGAGGGACUGUCAUGAUUCGAUGCGAUGAGGUCUAAGAAGAUCGAAACUUGACUAGGAAAAAGAAAAAGAAAGAAACAGAGAAAUCCUUAUUCUUUCUUUGUUUUUGUUUUUAAGGUGCCUUCUCUAGACUGUGCUGACCAACUUGACAAAAGCCUUGUGGAAAAGGAGUGAUACCCAUCUUCCCCCACCUAGGCACUCACUACAUGGACCCACGGCCCACCGAAAAGAACGGCAUUUACAUAAUUAAAUAUAUAUAUAUAUAUAGAGAGAGAGAGAGAGAGAGAGAGAGAGAGAGAGAGAGAGAGAGACGUGGGGCACCACAAGCUCAAUCAUCACAUGGGGCAAGGCAAGAUAUUCCAUUCUUGGAGGUGGUAAAGUUUCCCCCAGCAAUACUGCUGGAGGAGGAGAGGCCCAUCUGUCCUGCCGAGACAGAGACAAGAGAGAAUGCAGUGAACAUGUUACUCAUCACUCACAUUUUCACACUUAAAAUCACUUUCCAUAAGCAUCUUGAUGAAAGCACCUAUUACAUGCCGGGAUUUCUCAACAUAAUCAUGAAUUUUUUUUCCAAAUUAUAUUACUAGAGUGUAAGCUUGAUCAUUCGAGGAAAUUAUGCGACGCUAGAAGUGGGCCCACGAAAAGUAAAAGGGACGCUAGCCGACAAUUCUUGUACGUAAGGAUUCAUCUUGAUUAUUUGCCCAAAAAGCAAGAUUAAUACUAUAGAAAAGAGGGGGGAACCUCACGGAAAGUUUUUUCUCAGAAUAUCCUACAGUAUGUAAUGCAUGAACCGUGCUUUUUAAGAUAGGUUCGAGGAGUAGCAACGGUUCAUAGAUGCCUUCACUUAUUUGUUGAAAUUGUCUCCUCGAGUCAAGAUAGGGCAUGAGUUAGGAAUUCUUCCUUCUAUCGGGCCCUGUUAGGCUAGAUUUCAGCCCAUUCAUUUUGUACUUUAUUGGGCUUUCUUUGUCUGUUUUCUUGUCCUUCAAUUGCUUUGCACUAGUGACCAAUUUAUGGAUGUGCGCUGGGGGAGUCAAAACUGGCUCUAAGCCAAGGUGCUAUCACGCCCCGACCCUCAAGCGCAAACUCAUCCCUCAAUAAUCGAUUAAAUUUGCGAUUUCUCAAGCCGAACCGUCGACCCUUUCAUUUUACUGCACAUGCGAGAGCGAAUAAAUAUCCCCUGACAAUAAACAGUUUGAGAUAGGAAAGUAAGCAACAAUUCACAAUAAAAAAAAGCCUUUUAUAAACACACAAGGUUUAUAUACACAGCACUAGACUAACUACAAAAGUCCGGCUCAACAAAAAGAGAACUAUCGUAUGACCAACUAGUCAGACACGUUCACCAAUCCUCCGGGGCUUUGGGUCCUCUACGACUGUUAUCUAAGAACUUGAAAAUGGUUAUACAAUAAUAAGUGAAACGAUGUCUCAGCAAAUUCACCCCUUAAACUCUGACUAUAAAGAAAAUACGCCCCAAGAGCUACCUAAGCACCAACACAAGUCAAAGGACUUACCUUUACCUCGGAUCCUUCCUGCAAGUCAAUAUAAUCAAAUACCCGACCAAACAAUUCAACUCAAUUCAACCAUCAAUCAAUCGACUCAUUCGACUUCAUACCAUCGAUACCAUCUAUAACUCUAUCGAUUCAAACACUGCUCUCCUAAACUGAAAUAGAUAUAACCAUAUAUCAUUGCUCCCAAAAGCUUAUGUCUAAAAUUUACUCACCGAAGCUGCUAGAUCAAUUAUUGUUCACCGAAGCUGCUAAUAACAUUUGCUCACCGAAGUUGCUAAAUAACUAUAAUGAUCGCUGAAGCUAAUAUCUAAAGUGCUCACCGAAGCUGCUAAAGUAUUAUUGCUCACUGAAGCUGCUAUAAACUUAUAAUGGUGUUGAUGCUCCCCGAAGCUGCUAUAGAUCUAUCUUGCUCACCUAAGCUGAUUUGGUGCUUAAAGACCACUUUUGGUGUCAAUACCCGACACCCAAUAUUUUCCAAUUAAAAUACCAAUAUUUCACAACCAUCACUCAAUUUCACAAAUAUAACAAUCAAUUGAACAAACUAACCACACUACUGCGUUCAGUGCCAAAUUCUAACAAACGACUCUCCCAGUAUAAUUUUCGAAAAAUAUUUAUUAAUUAAUAAUUAAAUAAAUUCCGAAAAUUAAUUUAAUUUAAAUAUAAAAUAAAAUAAUUAAAUAAUAUUUAAUUUAAAUGAAUAAUUAAUUAAAUGCAAUAAUUAGUUAAAAUUCUAAUUAAGAUUACACUAAUCUAAUUACAUAAUUAGACUAAUUAAUUCAUCCACUAAUCUAAUCAUGCACAUAAUAUAAUCAACAUUUAAUUAAACUAAUCUAACAACCUAAACAUACUUAGCAUAAUCUAAACACCACAUAAGAAUAAUUAACUCCCUAAGCAGAGUUUAGCCGGUAAACUCACCGGAUUAACGAGCCGGUGAGUCCACAGCGACCGCGGCGCGACCGCGGCCGAUUAGCUCCAAAGCGGCGAUGACAAACAGAGACCAGGCCGGGCCAAAAACGGCCACGAAACUUGCUGGAUUUUCUUUGCGGCUGUUGGGCUCGGCUUCAAACUUCGGUGGGCUCGGGAACAAGGAGAAGACACGGGCUGCUGACUGGAUUCUUGCGGGCUGAAGGCACGGCUUCGAUGGAGGCGCUGCGGACGAAGACGCGGCUGGCUGAUCGUGGGCCGCUUCAUGAAGACCAACGGCAAAGGAGCAGCUGCUUCGGUGUCUUGCGGCUUCGGAAGAUGUGGCUGCUGGAGUCAACAGGAUGGGAUUUCGGUGGGGGUGUUGACCGAACAAGGAGGAAGCUCGGACGCGUGGGGCAAAAUGGAGGGGGAUACGGUCUGUGGGCUUCUUUGGCUGUGAGAGAGAGAGAGUGAGUGGAGGAGAGAUGAUGAUGGAUGGAUGAGGAACGUGGAUGAGGGAAAAAUGAGCGAGCGGUGGGAUGGCUGAUCGAAGGAAAAAAAAAAAAUGAAAGCAAAACAGAAGCUAAAAAGGAGAUGGGGUUGAUCGAGCGAAGAGGGUGACGGUGGGGGGAAGAAAGCGUGCAAGAGGAGCUAGCUAAGAGGAGAAUAAAAGUCAACCACUAAGAUUUGCCCAAAUGGUCAUCCUUCUAACUUGGAAGGGAAAAGUUGGGGGUUCGAAUCCCCACAUUCUCAGGGGAAUUGGGGUGGGGACGAUUUAAUUUUAAAAGUUGGUUUCGACUCCCACGCCUUAUAAUGAGGCAAAACAAAAGUCUGAGAGUAGAAUCGACAAAAAAAAAAAUAGGAGGAUAAAAGUCAAUAACCUUAACCAACUAAUUGAAUGCUUGGUCCCCUUAAAGUCCACACACCUAUCUCUAAUGUCCCCCGAUUAUUUCUUGUACAAUAAAUCCGCUAAUAAUCCCAAUUAAAGCAAAAAAUGCAGCCCCCAUAAUAGCAUACGAAUUUCUUCAAUUUUGGGCUUCCAUUCUUUAUCAAAUUCCUCAAAUUUGAUGUCCAAUUUCGUUGAAGAAAAUGCCCAUACCAUUUCUUAAGUCCCUAACACCAAAUAGCUCAGCUUGAAAGUCAAAACUCCCCUCAAUUCGGUCAAUCCGAAUUUCUAUUCGUUUUCUGAAUCGUCUGUAUCGAUUUUUAGUAAAAAUCUCGAAUUCUCCGAAAAUUCUUCGAAGGAUGAGUCGAUGUUCCUAAAAUAAAUCGUGACAUGACAGAACUUUUAAUUUCUGAAAUCGGGUUUAAAUUCGCUGUUAAUUUCAAUCUGACGUGAUUUUAGCGUAACCUAACCUACCAAGUAGAUUUCAAGAAUUUUUGGUGCAAUUGACCCGUGAUUGAUUCAUCUCGAGUCACAACCUACAUCUUCGACCCAUUAGCAGCUUUCGAUUGUCGUGAAAAUCUCAAGAUUUCAAUUACGGGCACAGGUACCAAAAUGACAGAAAAAUCGGUUUAGUGCCAAUCGACGAGAAUUUUGCAAUUUGGUGGAAUUACCCACACUCAAUCACACACCUCAGUCGAAUCAACCUAUCUCCAGUCCCUAAUAGAUUUUUGACUGUGUCAUAAUGACCCUUGUAGACCAGCACGGUCGAGCAGUCAAUUCAUACUCAAAUUCUCAAGUCUAUAACAUUAAAAUCCCCUAAUGGCUUCCCUAGAUAGUCUAAUUAUCUUAUAAGUGAUCAGCUCAGAGAAUAAUACUAUAAGCGCGUCGAUGAAACGUCCGGUUUAUUCAAUGGAAAAUAGAAUUGAAAAUUCAGGUUGUCACAGGUGCUCACGGCUUCAUUUCUCAAGUGAUCGACGUGGAGAGGAAACCCUAAUCUCUGAAAUCAUGUUUCGGACAAUUGAUUUAAUUUUCCAUAAAGCUUCUAACACCGGAUGAAAUCAUAUAAGUCAUACAUAUGGACCCUCCAUUCGACCUUUUCUCUUACUUUAUAUGCCAUUUGGUAAUGCUAGUUGACAAGAUUGAUUGUUUAGCAAGGUGAUAAAUUGUAAGGGUGUGUUAUCAGUGAGUCAGGUCGAAGCCCUCGACAGAAAUCUAUCACAUAGGCUCAAUGAAUUAAUCUUCAAAGCCAGUCAUGGCAGCUAUAGCAUCGUAUACACGUGUAAGUAUGUCAAUCAAUGUAAACGCAUUUCUUCAAAAGAAACAAGAACUCAAACAAUACAAGAAGUUAGCAUUUUAUGUGUGGAAAACGUUUACAAUAAAUAUGGGUCUGCAGCAUCACCAUAGACCAAAGGUUCACGAUGCUGAGGUAGAGCUAGACAUGAUCAGUGGGUAGGCUCAGGCUAAGCUCACUCGACCCCUCCUAAUAUUUUUCAUUUUGGUGGCAAAUUCGAUGAAUGAACCUAAAAUCCUUCUUGAGCCCACCCAAGCCCACUUACUUGUGUAAAAAUCUUGGGCUUAAGAGGGCCUGAAAGGCAGUCCAUGAAAUUGUCCAUCUAGCAGUCUAUCUAGUUUCUGCAUAGAAACAAUUUUUUCUUCUUCUUUUUUUAAUUUAAUCUGGAAUGAUAUGCUGCAAGGGUGAGCAUCAGUCCACGGUCAACUUUGGAUUGACUCUAAACCGACCCAACCCGAUCGGUCCUAGUCUAAUUUCCAGAAGGACUGGUCAAUCAUUUGUCCUAGGAGCUUAAAGUUAGUCUAACCUAGACCAACCCUAUAUCUAAUAUAUAUUAUGUAUCUAAUAUAUUACAUAUUAUAUGAUUUUAUCUACUCUAAAUUCUAGCACCUCCUCCUUUGUUCUCUUCACGGUUCAGUUUGUUGUGUAAAUCAUAAAGUAAAAAGAAAUACAUACCUAAUUCGACCAAAAAGAAAAAAGCCUCUUCACUCACCUUGGUUUGGCUUGCUUGCCUUGGCCUCGCUUGCUUUGUCACUCACUACUCACCUUUAUUCCAUUGUCUCGUGCGUUUGCUUUUAUGGUUUGUUGCUUUUAGGAAGUGUAAAUUUCCGUUAUUACCUCAUUUUAUAUUUAUAUUUAAUAUAUAUUAAUAUUUAUAGUUUACUUAUUCAAUAUCGCAUUACCGAUAGAUAUAUAAUUAUAAAUAAUAUGCUUUAAGAAAUAUAAAAAAAUAAAAAUAAAAAUUAAUCGGUUAGUCUCAAAUUGACUUUGGGACCGGCCAUUCCUUAGUCAUAGGCUCAACAAGGUCGGUCCUUAAUCUCAAAAAGUGAGAAUCAAUACUAUAUGGGUUAAUAUCCAAAUUAGGUGCUAAACUGGUUACCAUGUUCUCGUACACUUGACUAAAAGUGGAAGUGAUCAAGUAGCAAUUCUCACACAAUCAUUUUCAUGAUUUGCCGACAAGUGCAGUGGUUGGAUUUGGACAUUUUGAUGUCCAUACCCUCAAUUUAUCUCAGCGGCUAUUUUGCGAUUUGUUUUAAAGCAUGUACGGAUCGACAGAGCCCUAGUCAUCUGUUUAGGUACAAGCAUUGAGGCUAGAUAAAACAAAUAAAUAAAAAUUGAAGUGAUGUUUUGCAAAUCCCAUUUAGAGUGAUUCACGUUAUGCAAAAUAUAAAUUCGAAUAAUGUCGAAUAUACUGAAAUUACUCUAUAAAACCAACAAGCUAAAGUAAUGUGGCAAGUUUUUAUCAUCUCAUUUUAUGUUCUUCUACGCCAUACGGAAGAUAAUUUCAUCGCAAUACUCCAUUUGUAUUUCACUUCAUGUACAAGACAUUUUCCUAUUACCAUGCACUUCAGCUUGCCAAGGGCCCUCAAGUUACGGUACCCUACAUAGUAAAUUUGACAAUAGAAAAUAUGUACCCAUAUAUUGUUAUCAACUUAUAGUGUCAGUAGAUAUAUGAUUUAUGAACAUUGCAAAUUAAAAUUAUCUCAACUGUUGAAGCGGGUUUUACCAUUGAACUUACAUACUUAGUCAGUAGGUGACAUGGAUCCAUAUGACACCUUCUUGUGGCAUUCCGUAAUCAAGAUCUAUUAAAAAUAACUUUACCAUUUUAUUGUCUACUUCUUUUGAAUCUUACAAUUUAUACAUUGUCAUUUUUUUAUAUACAAUAUAAAAUAUGUUUGGAAUGAUAAACAUGUAGGUUUACAUAUAAUGCUUUGAUUAUUUAUUAAAUUUGAACAGUAUUUUGAAUUUUGACAGAAAAAUUAAAGUAUUACUUUAGAUUGAUGUUUAGUAUUCUUUAGAUUGAUGUCCAAGCAGACCAUUUCUCUUUUCCCAUGCAUAUUUUUGUUUUCUUGUUUCUCUCUUUUCUUUUUUCUUUUUUCUUUUUUUCUUUUUAAACUCCGGCUUAGUACCUGCACGGCUACCCAACACCGUCAGCGCAGCACAAUGCAAUGUCAGCAAAUGCAGAGUCUUGCUCGUGCACCUUAUCUGUCACGCAUCAGUCUCAUCAAACCACAUAUAACACACAUCACAAAAGGCCAAAAUGAAAAUGAAAAUAUAUAUAUAUAUAUAUAUAUAUAUAUAUAUAUAUAUAUGAGCGUUUCUAUUGACUAAUAAAUUCAUGUGAUACUAGACAUUACUUUGAGGGAAAUAUUUUCAAAAUUAUUUAUUCUCAUGAAAUAAAUAGAAUCUUUAUGGCACAGUGGAAGGCCUCGAGCAGUUGCAAUAAAAUUUGAAGAGGAAAUUGAUCACGAUAAUGAACUUGUUCUUUCUACAUUGAAACAAGAGUCCAGCAUUUGAAAUUUAGAAUCAAUUUGAUUCCACUUAUCAGGGAUUGGCCCGCUCCCAGCCAGUUUUGAUUUUUGAUAUUUUUUAGCACGAAACGAUGGAAUUAUGCCAACAAAGAAAGCUUCCAACGAAGAAUUUAAGCUACAAUUCUUAUACCAAAAAUUAAUGAUUUAGAAAAAAAAAUUCUUAAAAAUUGUCCUUUUAUAUCAACUAAAAUAAUUAAUCAAUGAAUUUUUAUUAUUAUCAACAAAAAUUUACGUCUAAAAGUUUUCGUGAACAAUGAAAAUAUUUUUCGUUUAUUCAUUUUGUUAAAUGAUAUGAGCAAUUAUUUUUAGGAAUUUUUUUGCCAAAUCAUUCAUUUUCCAUGAGAUAAAUUGUAGUAGCAACCACGCAAUUUGCUAUGCCCAAUGUAGUGAUCACAUAGAUGGGAUAAUAAAACAAAGAAAAAAAGACACAAAUGAUAUCUAAACUAUUACUUUAUUUAAUAUAAUCCCUGAAUUUUUUAUAUUUAUCCAAUUUAAUCUUCGGACUAUAUAAAAAUAUUCAAUGUUGUCAGUGAUUCUAAAUUAAAGAAAUGAUAACAUUAGAUAUUUUUAUAUAAUUUAAGGAUUAGAUUAUUUACCAAAACUUAGAGAUCAUAUUAAACAAAUUAAAAAUUCGAAGCUAACAUUCAUAGAUCAUAUUGAAUAAAUUAAAAAUUCAGAGAUAAUAUCAUAUAUUAAGUUAAAAUUCAAGAAUCAUUUGUAUAAUUAUUUCUUUUCACGACCCUCUCAUUAAAAAUGUUCGGCAGGGCCGCUCACACUGGCAAAGCUUAUAAAAAGCUGAAAUUACGAAUCAUUUGUAUAAUAUCCACCUUUUCACUUAUAAAAAGAGAAGGAAAAUCUCUAGGGCUUUGUAUUAUUUUUCUUCCUUUUUGCUAAAAUAUCCCGAGUUUCAUAAUUUCAGGAUGCAUCGGGUCCUUCAUGACAGUGGGGGCCGGUUCUUGGAUUUUGGAGGGUUUGGGGCGGUGGGGGGGAACUGGCAAAGCUGAAAUUACGCCGGCGGAAACUGCAGAAGCAUCGGCCACACUGACCAGCACCUCUCGCUUUCACUGAUGGCGACCGCCAAUUAUUUUCCCAUCAAUAAUUGGACCAACAUCGGCUCCUGCGUGCAGCAGCAACCGCACUGUGCUCAAAGCCAUCGAAUCCGAUUUCUCCUCUUUUGGCCCUUCACGAGAUACCUUUAUGCUUUCGACAUCCAAUGCCUCGACUUCUCUCACCAUGGAUAUGUAAACAAAAAUUUGAUUUAUUUUGCAAAAAUAAAUAAUUUAUAAUAUGUUUUUCUCAAAAAUAGUCGUCCCUAUUGCUUACAAAUAAAUGAAAGAAAACUAUUUUUAUCGUUCUUGAAAAUAUUUAGUUAUAAAUCUUUAUCGAUGAUAAAAACAAUCUUCACUAGCUAGUUAUAUCAAGGUUCCGCUUGUUUAGUGAAAAAUAAAUGAUUUGGGAAGUAUUUAUCCUGGAAGGAGCACUUGUAUUGUUUAAAAAAUAAAUGAGCAAAAAAUGUUUCCAUGGUCUAUGAAAAUAUCUGGACAUAAAUUGCUAUUGAUGAUAAAGACAUUUUUCAUUAAUUAAUUAUUUUCAAAUAAAAAUCAUUUAUGUUUAUGAAAAUGUUUUGAAAUUAUACAUUUUUCGUGAAAUAAAUGAAGUCUUAUGGUGUGUUUGUUUCGUGAGAAAUGAGUGAUUUGGAAAACAUUUUUCCAAAAAACAAUUGCUUAUGCAGUUUAGAAAAAUUAGUCAAUAGAAAAAAAAUUUCAUCGAUAUUAAUCCAUACUUAACUAUUCUCGUGGGUGAUGAAAAAAAAAAUCUCAUUUAUUUAUUUUAAUAGAGGAUAUAAGCGAUCAUUUUUUGAAAAAAAAAAUCAAAUCACUCAUUUGUCGCAAAACAAAUGCACCAAAGUACUAAAGUUGUAUAGUGAGGACAAGCAGUAAGUGUUUAUUUCUCAUUUCUAUUCUAGCAAUAAAGAAACAUAAAUUAUUCUUACCCUUUACCAAAAAAAAAUAAAGAAAUAUAAAAAUUUUACUUCUCAUUUUUUUUCCUAACCUACUUCUUGACUAAAAAUUUAUUCUUAAAAUAGAAAAAUGAAAUUAUAUUACAAAACGGGCUUCUUUUCCAAACCUAUUAUUGAGAAUAGAAAAUAGUUCUGGUUAGAAAUAGAAUGAUUAUCAUGUGCAUUCUAAGUUACCCUAAACAGCACCAUGCGAUUGUUCUAGUUUUAGGAAAUGAAAUGGCAAUGUUAGGCUUUUGGACAAGAUGCAUUGGAGCUUUUAUUUUUAUUUUUUUACUAAUAAAUGUAUUAGAAGUCCUAAAACUUGUCAUGGAUGUACAAUUGAGUUUUAAAAUUUUCAAAAGAUACACUAAAAUCCUCAAAUUUAUUACAAAAGUGCAAUUGAGUUAUAAAACUUUAAAAAAUUGUAAUCAAAUCUUUCAAUUACCCUCGUCCAACUUGACAAAUAGAAAAUAUUAACAAGUUCUAGGAUUUGAUAGCACCGAUUUGAUAAUUUUUAUGACUUGAUUGCAUUUUUUAAAAUGUUUUAGAACUCAAUUGUACUUUAUGAUAAGUUUUAUAACUUUCAAUGUACUUAUCCCAUUUUUUUUAGGUCUUUAUGUACAAUUUGUCACCCGUGAACAUGUAUUGCAUUGAGAGCAGACUUUGGGCCAUAAGAGUUAGUUCUAAAUGUGAGGUGGGGGCUAACCGAUUGAGUGACUUGAUUAUUUUUUUGGAAUUGGCAGGUCGAUUCAAUAUAUUGUUACUCGCUUCUCACAUCUUUAGCUUUUAGUAAAAGAAAAUUUUUAUAUAGACACUUUGUCAUACGAAGGUGAUGGAAGUAAUCCUCACAUUGUGAUUGAAUGUGCUGAUCAUGUGGGCUCGGACUUAUAUUGAGCUAGAUGGAUUGAACAAUUAAGAUGGCACGAUUCCAAGGGAAGGAAUCCAAAAGAAGUGUAGUAAAAUCACGUAACAUAGCACGUUACACCUUAUAACAGUACAUAGCCAAAAAAAAAAAAUCAAUGCACUUUAGAUUCGUAGCCCAAAGUAGAUGUCGAUCAGGUCAAGUACAAGACCGUAGGUAACAAAACUUGGUGGAAAAUCACUUCAAGGAGUGCCAAUGAGAACAAGAAAAAUCUGACAAAAGGGUUUUAAAAAAACACAAAUUGAUUGACAGCUGGCGACGAGGUGGGCCUGAAAGUGGGCCCACUGAGCCUCCCAACUUUACGCAACGCCAGGCCCGUAUGAAUGGAGUGGGCCACGGCUGGCGAGUACAAGCAUCACAUCGAGGCCCACCCACCAGAUCAGCAAUUGUCCAACCGCACAUCGCGUGGUCCUGAGUCCUGACCGACGAUUUGAUAAAGUUGAAUCCAUAAGUCGUCCUGUAUCUCACCUGUGCGUACCAGUUCCCAUACGACGACGCGUCUCAUCGCUGCAAAUCGAUCACAUGAGGGUGAAACCACACAUGGGGGGGGAGCGGAAUGAGCGGAAUGGAGUGGACCAUCUGGUUCAUUCUCAUGCGAGGACUUCGGCGGGCCCGAGGCGCGCGUCAGCCCGCCGGCCCGAUAGGCCCACCCGGCGGUCUAGGCGACAUGUUGGACCCGACCUCGGUUGCUGUUCGGGAUGGGGUACACCUACGGGCAAGUGGCAUUGAUGGUUUUGGAAAGGUACUUCUCAUGUUUUUUGGCAGGCUAUGGGCGAGGAGGGAUUUGAACCCGCGGAACAGUGGGAUCAUGCCCACGUGCUCCCAUCUAUUCUCGCGUCAAGAAGACACGAAAACGUCUCUUUUUCGUAAUAAUGGAGCUUAAGGAGGAGUGAGAUGAGAGAGAAGGGGUUUCAGAAUUUGAAUCUUGAUUUAUAUAACCUUCUUUAAAUAUGUUCUUUCUCAUGAAACAAUAGUAAUAAGAAUGACUAUUAGUAAGCUUUUUGAAUUAUCAUUUGGGCGUGAAGGCCCGACCAAGCUUGACAAAUUUAUAAGUAAUUUUUUUGAGAUUUUUCGAAUCUUAGAUGAGAUUGACAAGACUUCUUGGUCCAAUUAAUCUCAGAUCUGCACAACCAUGGAGCCAAUAACUAUUCCAUCGAUCAUACUUUUGGUUCAAAAUGAACAGGUCUGUAGUGAGGUCACGGGGCGUUUGACAAUCGGCCAAAAAGUAAAAAUUUAUAUUAUUUUCUUAUCAGGAAUAGAUUUGAGAAAAAAAUCCAUUUGGUAAAAUUUUUAUUCCUAAGAUCAAAUUUGUUCUUAGAAAUAGAUUUGGAACUAAAUCAGAAAGUGAAAAAAAAAAUUAAUUCUUUGCUUUCAAGAACAAUUCUAAAAUCAAAGCCAACCCACUUUUUGUUUUUUAUCUUUUAUCUUUUUUCUUGUUGUUCUUCUUCCCUCUCUCUUCUUCUUCCACUACUACCAUCGUUAGUCGCCAUUGGUUGUCACCAGACCAUCAUGAGGGUUUGCCUGGCCUUGUUGAGGUUGACCCUAGCCCAACCACCAGGGAAGCUCGGCCUUGACAAGGGCCGAUGAUGCUCUAACAAGGUCGUCAGCCCUCAUUUAGUUGGUCACUAGCAACAGCCAGGUUGGCAACCGGCCAAAGGAAGAUAGACUUCUUAAUUUUAUUCAAAAUUUAUUCUCGGGAACAAAAAUAUUAUCAAACAGAUUUCUAUUAUUUUUGUUCAGAGGAACGCAAAAAAAAAAAAAAAAAUAGAAUCAAACAUUGUUUAGUCGAUUAGCAAACAUACCCUUAUUUUGGCUUAUCCUUGGAGUUUGAUUUCUGAGGUUCUAGAGGUGUUUGCAUGUUAUGAAUAUUGCUCUUCAUCACCAUAAAGAGAUAACAAUUCUCUAUGUACUGGCAAUCUCAAUAACAUAAAAGGAGUAACAGUCCUUUACAGGCUAGAGUCUCGGCCACGAUCGGGGGCCAAGAAGCCAGCAGCAAGGGGUGGGAGUUGAAAGAAAAAAGGCCAUCAUCACCUAGGCUAACGGGUGAUGACGGCGAGGGCCAAGCGGCAGCCGCCGGUGAAUUCAGGCAGAAAAGACCGGGUGGAAGAGAGAAACUCUUUUUCACACCAGAAAAAAGUUCUUUUUCUAGGGCUCGUGAUAUUACGCAGCCGGGUAGCACAAAUGUAUAAGUAAAAACAAAAAGCUUGCCGACGGUGAAUGUGUAAAUCCGAAGAAGUGCAGCUUUUAUGUAGCAGGACAGACGACAAAACAUUCAUUUUUGUAUAAUGUCCGUCCCCCACCCCCUCUAUAAAAAUCAGCCGGAGUCGAUUUAUUUCAUCACACGAUGAAGGGGUCCUUCAAACUCUCUCCUCCCUCCCUCCCUCCCUCUCUCUCUCUCUCUCUCUCUCUCUCUCUCUCUCUCUCUCUCUCUCUCUCUCUCUCACGUACACACAGAGAGAGGAAAGAAGCUGGUCGUUGGAAAGCGAAGUAUGCACUGAUGAUCUGUACGAGAUCGUCGAGGGUGAAGGCGGAGACGUUUAAGUCCUGUCAUGCUUUUCCACAGCUUUCUUGAACUUCCUCGAUCGUGGAGAUAUUACAGACUACGAAGCUCAAGAAAGCUGUGGGACGACAUGGCGAUUCAGGAUUUCUCACAAUCUCAGUUGCUCUGCAGAAUAAUUUUCACCGGCUCUGAAUUCGCUAGCAUACGAUUCAGGUAAAUCUCGAUGACUCUGUGUGUUUCUCUUGAUUUUUUUUGGUUGGUCAUAGAAAUGCAAGAAGAGAGGCCAAGGCAACGACUUUUUUCCUGCUCCUUGUACUUUGAAAAAUGUUCAAUUUAAGCCCGUGUGUUUAUUUGGUGAUUGUCAAAAGUCCUUGCGCCGUUCUUCUGUGAUUAUCUAAAGCACUUAUGUCACAUUUGGGUCCAAAAUUUGACAUGAGAUAUCGGGUCCACACCGGCCAUUACCGGGGGAAUUUCUUACCUGGACCUAGGUUUCGGUGGAAAGGAUUAGAACAAUCAUUGAUCCCCUUGGGGACCAUAUAUGGGCACACAAGAUUGAUGACUGUGAUCGCACUCGAUCCAAUGAUCUGGGUUCGAGCAAAAACUUCCCCUAUGAUCGGUAGCUACAAGAAACUAUACUUUUGGCCACAUACUUUUAGGAUGUUCAAUGUUAAUCUCUCCACCUUUUUAUGUCACAUUUAUAUCCAAAAUGCGAUGAAAAUGUGGAGGGGAGGGAGACGGGUAGAGCCUAAUUUACAGUAUAAUUUUCUUUUAUUAUAUGAGAGUUUGUUUAAAGAGAUUACAUGAACAGGCAUUGCUUUUAGUGAGCAACGCUCAACUCAAAGCCUUUCGUUUGAGUUUAAAAUGGUGGCAGAAAGAUGCGGUUGAAAGUUGAAACGAGAUGACAAACGAGUGAAAGAAAUGUUUGUUGGGCCUUAGGAGCGUGCGUUAAGUUCCUCAUAACGAGUGAAAGAAGCAACAUUCAGCCUCCGAGAUGAUGCAAAGCAUAGGGUAGUCUCGACUACUCACGGCACCACUCGACUAAGUCAAUUUCCUUCUAGCAAAGCCCAGGCCCCCAGAUAUCGCUAACUCGACAUCUUCUACUAGCUUUUCCGGUUAGAGAUGGUGAAAGUACUUGAACUGUCAUACAGGGAUGGUACGCAAAUUGUUAUGGAGGAAUCAUUCGUAGUGUCGUCAAGAAAAUAUCGCAAGGACCACACCCAUAGUGCGCUUCAUAGGAGCAACGUCCUCUUUUUCUUCCCUGAUCACCUUAGAAGCUGUCACAGAUCACAUCACAUCUCUGAGAAGCUUAAGAUAACUCAUCAUCACGUGAUCACAUUAGUCAGACCACGCUUCUUGCCGAGAAAAACCCUAGUGACCUGGUACAUGUAGCCCCACGCUGCAUUAUUGCAGGAUCCAUUAAGUUUUCGCUCGAAAGGAACCGCUCAUGUGGGGAAGACGCAAGGAAACAAAAACAAAAGGAUGGGAAAAUUCUCAUUGGGCAGGAGUUGGAUCUCAUCUCAAGCUUUUUGUCAGUGGAAUUAGGGUUUGGUCACCCCUCCAAUCAAGCUCGUGAACUGGAGAGAGAUACCCGGAAGCUGCCGUCGCUGAGAAGAUUCCCCUCGUUGCCCUUUUAGCACCAGUAAUAAUUGCAGCUCCUCUUGUUGGCUUUCUUUUGUGGUCCUGAAGUGUCCGGUUGCGAUCUCCUAAGUUUCAGUGAAAAAACAGGGGAGUUUACCUUUGUCACUAGGUGACCGCAGGGUGCGUUUUUUUUUCUUUUUUAUCUUUACCCCUCAUUGGUGGUGACUGGUUUUUGUUCGAUUGCCUGAAUUGUCGAAGCUGAAGAUUCAGUUCGAUCCCGACCGAACUUUCCCUUUUCAGUGGAAUUGGGAUUCAUGCAUGUACAUCGAAGUCAUAUGACAAAGUGAAUGACAUAUUUGUACUCUAUACAGAGUAGAUUGGAUGAAUCCGAGCCGUCAUAUCUUGUGAGUUAUGUCUUUCUAUGCCAUCUCCGACUAAUUUCAUAUGAACCCGGCACUAGGAAGAGCUUUUCUGUAUCGUGGUCAUUUUGUCAGCCUAAUCGAAAAUUUGAUGAGAAUCGAAACUAUUUACGGGGACAUCUAUAUUUUGGUUAGAUGAAUUUUGAAAGUGGGAUUAAUGUUGGAUUAGCAUUGCAACAUUAGUUAGUAUUAUGGAUGACAAUUCUUGAUGUAACACAGGAGCACGGACGAAUGGCUCAUUGACAAAAAUUUCAUAUGUUUUGGCCAAUUAAAAAAAUCCACUCAUAGUUACGUUGAGAAAUUUAGUUAAUGUCAGAACAUAAAAAAAUUAGAUGAUACUAAUAUGAUGGAACAACAUGAAUUAACAGCUUGAUUAACAUGAAAAAGAUUCAAGUAUUAGAUAAUCUACAAUGUGUCAGACGUAUACCGUGAUGUGCAUUAUCCCAAAAAAUAUGGACUACAUUUUUUUUUUUUUACCUCAACUUGAGUUACACCUCAGCAAUCUAUUUCCAUAUCUAUAUAAGCACAAUAUUACAUAAUUAUCCAAACAACUUUCUAAGUUGUUGCCGUGGGAAGUCAUGAUGUUUGAGUAUACUAUCUCUAUCUCGCAAGACACUACUAAUCCUUACUUUUGAAUAGUUUUAGGAGAAUAUUACCUAUAUAUGGUAACAUCUUCAUAUGCAAUAUUUCCUCAUUAGCUAGAUUAUCCAAAAUUUUGCGGCAAAAUGAUUUUUCUACUAAUGUUCAGUAAGUUUGCUUGUGAAGAUUGAAUUCAAGGAGAGCAUAAAUUCUUUCGAUGGCAAUAUUUUGCAAUAUAUUCAAUUGGCAACUUUAAUUAUUAAAAUUAAUAUCUUUAUUAGAGAAAAAUGUAACUUUGAAAUUAUUUGGCUUCUCUACCCUUUUUACAAGUAUUUUAACUCGAUCCACGCAAUCGUAUUAGGGUUUUCAUCUUGAUUCAAACUCUAGCUAGGUUGUUUUGGAUAUUGGUUGGCGCAACAAAAUAGGUACAAUAUAUGUUUACACAGGACAGGGACAAGGAAUGUAUUCCCAAUCCCCACUCUACCCCGUGCCCAUCGCUAAUCAAUUUAAAUGUGUCAACGAGCAAAUUAGAUAGUUAUGCCUGUGAACAUUUUUGGAAAAUCUUGCGAUCAUCAAUUAAGUAAUAUCGGUACUAUGAAGCAGCACAAUUUCCUAGGUGAUACAUCGAUGCACGAUAUUACAAAUGAAGAAAGCAUUUCUCAAAGGUUGUGACCGAAUUAUGGAAUUUUAAUUGAUCGUAGACCUCGUAAAUUUAUUUGCACUCUUUCUCAACCCAUUCCCUGACGCUAAAUAAUAAAUAUCUUUUGGAUUCUAGCUUUUCUUAAUGCGUAGGAGUUGCAUCCCUUUCUCAAGCUUCUGGACCAUGUAUGCAAUAAAUUGAAUAUUUUCCAAUUCAAAUUUGGCAUUAGUGUACCAUACAGAAUGCUUAGCAUAAGUAAGAAAAUUUCCAACUGUGUCUAGCUAGGCUAUAGUGACCUUGACCAAUAAUCUCAGCAUCUGCAGUAGGGCUCUGACCAUAUGGCAAAGACUUUAAUUAGCCGGACUUACCAAAAUAAUUCACUCCUCAGCCCUAAAGAUUAUUUUAUGUGGAACCCAAUUAUAUUCUGACAAAUUAAAGGCAGGAGAGUAAAAGAGAAACGCAUCAUAUGCCGUCCAAACUCUCUUUAAGCUGCUUUCAAUACCGCGUCUGCUUUUCCAGCUUCUUUUGGAAUUAUGUCAUGCACGAAUACAUUGAACUUUGGAGUUUUAGGUUUUCAUCACAUGGUCUAAGCUAUUUCAAGGACAUGUAAUACUUCGACCAAAAAACAAAGGACAUGUAAUACUUAUAUUGGCAGAGUCUUGGCAUUUCUUGAAAUAGCUAGUCAUCAUUACUUACAAGCUGGACAUUAAAUCUUUGGACCACGGAAUAUCUACGUUUAUAAUCUAAUCGGCAGCACCUAUCAAAUCAUGUUAGCGAGCGAUCAAGUAACGUAUUGCAAAUCCCUUGGUAAAAUGGAUAAUGACUAGUUUUCAUCAGGUCAAGUUUCGAGCUUGGAAAUGCGAUCCGAUAGAUUGUUUAUAACUUUGAUGCCCUAAGUCCAUUUGCCAAAUGAAUAAUGUUGAGCUCACUUCUGCCUCGAAUCCACUUCUUAUGUGGGUUUCGAUCCAUUUCAUUUCUUAAAAGAAUUUGGCCUUCUAAAGUAUACACUCUGAGCCCAUUUGCUGCGAUUUUUUUAAUUAUUUCCAAAUUUUGUUUCUGUUUGGAGCUUUUCCCUUCAUAUUGAUUAGGAUUUACUGGGGCUUAUAAUGUAUUUUGCGUGCUGGCGGUUUAAUUAGCACUAACCUCUCUAAUUUUAUUUUAUUAUGGUUAUCUUAUAAACCGUUAUUACUUAAAAGGUUGUUUUUUGGUUUAUUAAGUAUUUUUGGAAAUUAGAAAAAUUCGGAAUUUUAUUAUUAAUUUUUUUAUUUUUAUUAUUCUGAAUUUUUUAUAUGUGUCUUUUCAAGACAAUCUUUGGAAAUUAUACUUGUUCAAUUUGUAACCUUUCCCAAAGAGUUACAUUUGUUUAUUUUGUAACUUCUUCCGAAGAGAUACCUUUGUUCACUUUACAAUAUUUUGCGAAGAGUUGCCUAUAUUCUUUAAGACCGAUGUGUGUGUGUGUGUGUGUGUGUGUGUUUUUGGCAUUAACGAGAACGAAAUCAUUUUUCGAGUACGAAAUCAUUUUUCGAGUAUUCUUUCCAAAAUUACAACUAUCUUUUCAAUUGUUUCCUAAGAGAUCUAAUAUUCUCAUCUGAGACUUUUUUGUAUCCCAAAUGAUAUUUGCCGGUGACAAUUAAUAAAAUUGUUGGGCUCAAAAUUCGACUUGAUUGCUUUGUUGAUUCGAAACAAUAUUUUCCCAACAAAUACAUCUACGAGUACAUAUUCAUAUCCUCCAAUAAAUGCCUUUCUCAAGCAACGAUAACGCAAUGUGUGUGUGUGUAUCUACAAGUACAUAGUCGUAUGUUACGUGACCCAAAAACUCCCUUUUUCUUGAAAUAGAAUCGUAAACUUGCAAAAUUUGGAUUGUUAUGAAUUUUAGCUCCUCUUUUUCGUUUCAAUGCCCUUUCGGUUUUGGCUAAUUGAACUCCUUUUCUACCCAUCCACGGCUAAUGAAGCCGAAAAAUUUACCCAAUUAGUCUUAAAAUAUAAAUAAAAAUUCAGUACUAAAUAUUCUAAUUUUGUCAAUUUACUAAUAAAUCUUUAUGUGAAAUUCCAAUGUAAUAAUCCCAACUGAUUUUCCCUAAGAAGAGCUGACAUGGUAGUCUAGUCAUCACUAAUUGUGUAAUAUGGCACAUUGUUACAUCAGCAAUUUCUAACAAAAAUUUGCUAGAAUGGCUACAUUAAAAUUUCGUGCAAAUGCAUAAGACUAAAUAAGUGAAAUUGGUUGUUUGUUUCUAGCACAUCACCGCGUUAGUCAUUUUUGAUAAAAUUGAUCGAAAGAAGUACAUUGAAAUUUGGCGCAACAUUAUAGAAUUAAAUUGACAAAUAGGACUAAUUUCCCCUUACUUCCUGGUCGGGGAUGCUUGAAGUACAUAUCUUAUUCAAAAUCACCACUUACUGUGAGGCACUAUUCAAUUUUAUUGACCAAUAAAUAAGCCGAAACAAGGAAACAUGGGGUCAUCAAAAUUGAAGUGACAUUACGGAAGUGAGUAGGUGGGUGUACUCUCAAGAGGAAUCUUUGCCAAAUACAAGGCUACAAAGUUUCAUCAUGAGAGCAUUAAUUGAUUGAUGAAAUGUUGUUGAGGUCCACUAGAGAGAUUAGCUUAUAAAGUAGGCACAAGAUGAGGAUAGGCUGUUCUUUGCGAUGUAAUGAUAAUGUAUAGCCUGUCUUUAUCAACUUGUUACUCGAAAUAUAGUACGCUCCGGGCAUUAAGUGGCAUGCUUAUACGAUAUAUCCCCACCAAUGUUGUUUUCACAUUGUUUUGCCAUAACUUUUUUUCUUAGCGAUCUGCUUUCAAAUUUCGAAAUGCCGCUGGUGGGAAACUCUUCCGCGUAGCGGAGCAUGGGUGGAAUAUGGCUACAAUGAACUAUAAUGAGGAGGAGGACGGACCCAAUCACAAUCUACUAAGAAAAAAAAAUUAGCUUGAUGGGUUAGAACCUAAUUUCAUAAGAGCAUAAGAAUAGCCUGCGCAAAGAAGCCUAGUUAGUGAUAAUCUUCCCCAUACCGUAUUAGGGCUACGCAACCUCCUUCUUUAAUAACUAUAAAGGUUAAGGACAAAGAUUAGGUGUCAUUGACAUUACUUUUUUCUUGGCUAAAUUACAUUUUGCAUAAUUGCCCUAAUUUUGACUUAUAUGAGAUUCGUAAAAACCGCGUCAUUUUGAAGAAAUUAUAGUAUUCCAUGUUCAAUCAUUACAUAAAAUAUUUCAUGGCAAGUGGAGUAACAUGAGAUGAUUAAGGUAUCGUGAACUUAUCAAGCUAGUAAUACGACGUACAUUUAUGACGGUGAUGUUUGUAGCUAGCUAUCUCAUUUAUAUAAAACAUAUGCCAAUUAUUCAUGACACCACAUCCCCGUAUAGUAGACUUGGGUAUGGCAUAAUGAUAUUUCCAAAGGAAAGCACAGAAAUCUCAUGCACACAUAUUUCAAGAUCAUAUGCCUUCAUUAAUGUCCGCCAAAAGUCUUGUUUCAUUAAUUGCAACGCCUCUCUCUUGUUCUUUUUUGGAUUGAUUAAUCGAAAAGUGCUAGAAUUCUUCCUUCUGGUAAUGGAAAAGGCGACCGUGAGCGGUUGGGAACCGAAAGCUAGCAUUGAAGAAAGCAUUUGAAGUUCAACCUUGGUGGAGAAUUUAAGUAAAUAAAAUAGAUAACAAUUUAAGUGAAUGUGAAGGUAGCUGUUGAAUGAAUUAGCCAAUUACUUUAAGUUAUCGAACCUUUGAUCGCGGAUAUAAUGGAGAUGGAGCAAGGUCACUAGCAUAGGUCAAAAGCCUAGGCUUAACCGUUCAUGGGUUUGUUGGGUGGGUGUUUUAUAGGUUUCCAAGUAAUCAGGGCCUAUGCUCGCUCCUUGGUUAGUAAAAAAAAAAUAAAGGAUGGAAGAAAACUUGGUUGAGCAUCUAGUAGAAUGACUUAUCCAAUAAUUCAUUUUCUCAUUGCGCCAGAACUCUAACCCAUGUAAAUUGUAUGGAGUUAGCUUAGUAGUUAAAGGGCGGACUCGCAUGGAUUCGGGACAUGUCACAAAUUCGACUUCUCAAAUCUGUAAUGAAGCGCUGCUUUCGGGUUGUACUGCCUUUCCUAUUUAAAUAUACCUACCUUUCCGACCAAAAAAAAAAAAAAAACCACUAUUUGCAUACAGUUACAUAUAUGAGCCAUUCAACGUGACUUUAACUCCCUUCUAGGCCCCACACUUUACCUACCCAAGAUGAUUUCCUCAUCAAUCAGCAAAAAGUAAGUAAAUAAAAUUGCGUCAUAAGCAUCCCUAAGAGCUGAUCAUACCAGUUGGACACUAUACUUGAAGAGAGCACGUAGGUCGGGAAAUCAACUCAAAACCAGAUGCGACAGCUAUAACUUACUGAGUACACAAAGGAAAAUUACUUGAUCACACCAUUUUUAUGAUAGAAAGUUUAUCAUGCCGUUACUCCAUCGACAUACGAAGGACAAAAAAGAAGAAGUUCUAGGCAAAGAGUAUAAUUUGUGUUAUGUGUUGAUUUUAUGUUUCAUUUGUUUUACGAAAAAUGAACGAUAUGGAAAACAUUUUUCUAAAAGCAAUUGCUUGUACUGUUUAUAAAAAUGAAUGAACACAAAAUAAUUUUAUCAUAUACGAAAAUGUACAGACAUUGUUGUUGAUAAUGAAAACAUUUUCAAUUGAUUAAUUAUUUAUAUAAAUGACUAUUUUUUAAAAAAAAAAUUAUUUUAAAAUUAUUCAUCUUUUGCGAAACAAAUAGAGUCUUAAUUCCAGAUAACACAAAUGCCAAAUCAUAAAGGAUAAUUCUGACGCAUCGGCUUGAUCCCAUGAGUUCACCUCUUAUGAAAGUGCCCUUAUAUCCUCAUAUAACUCUAUCAUCUUCCAAUCAUUUUCAAAAGAGAAAAGUUCUCAUUAACUCAAAGAAUGGGAAAGAUUAAGUAUAUUAACUAGUUUACGACCUUCCUUAAUUUACCCUAACAGAAAAUUAGAAGCCCAAAAGAUGCCUUCAACUUCAAGAAUCAAAUAAGGGUUUUUGUGGGAAGUUGGGAACUUAUUUGAAGUUUCGUAUGAUGAACAUGCACUACGGAGAUCGUGGGUUAUUUUGAAAGGGAAAUGGCGGAGAGAAGCAACAAAUCAAUAAUGGCGUCCCCCCUUUUUUUCGUUGGCCAAGGAAAGGGAGAUGUGUCCCGUCGCUAUUCACCUAUUUAUAUCCCUCCAACCCAUUCGGACAUUUGCAAUGGCAACCACCUCAUCACUUGAAAGCUACCAAAAAAAAAGGGCUGAACGCGAUUGGCUCCGAUUCAUCGGCCAUCCUUCCUUGAGGCGAAUGUGCAAUCGUACUGAUUGGAUGAAGCCAUUUCAAAAGAAGAUUUUCUUGAUUUGCAAAUUCCUUAUAAAGUUGCCAUUUUUCCUCGUAUAAUUCCCUUUCCUCUUUCAUGAUAAUUCGUUAAAUUUGGACAAGCCAGGGUGAUCAAGAUGAGCAACAUUCCCAUCUAUGUCUGCCCUAGAAGAUCCACUAUGUUUUGCUAAUUGGAAUUGCGUACAAGAUGUCACGGUUCUUAGGGUUGUACCUUCCUAAUUUCGGUCCCAAUGUUAGUAAUUCGAUAUAUUGCUGAGCUGUUGGACCUUCAAUUUGAGAGAAGCCGAGGUUUUAUUUAUAAAGUGGGAGAUUGACCAAUCAUAUAUAAGCUUCUAUAUUGUAUUAGGAAAACAUUUAGCAAUGUGUCUGUUCUUCCAAUAUGGUGCGGAAUAUAUAAAAUUAAGCAAUAGAUUAUUGACAUAUCGCCGCAAGUUCAAGAUGCAUGUACUAAACGAGAGAGAAAAGGGAAGGCUUCCAUAGAUGUGUGUAGUCUUGAAAGGAUUUUUCCUAGGGUUUUGAGGUAAACAAACAGGAGAUUAUUGAAAAAUUUGGCUAAUCAACUAGACUAGUUGGUUAAGAGAAGUUAUAGUUUGACUUUAGACUGGUAGGCUUGAAUCAAAUACCAAAGACCUAAAACGUGCAAGACAUAGAUAGCUCUCAUGUGUGCCAUUCAUAGUUUCACAUGUUGUUUUCGCAUACAUAGAUUGUCUUAAAUUCAAAGAUAAAUUGACAACAACAUGUGAGGUCUACAUGAUCUACAGUUCUCGCGCAUCUAGUUGCACCCAACUUUCAUUCGUCACUGGCCGGACUAACUGGUUUGCCAUGGAAUUCAUUGAUCUUAUAAUUUUAGUUUCUCAUGUAUCAUUAUUGGAGGAGAAAAAUGAUAUAGAAAGUAAUCGGUUGGUAAUAAUGUUUGUCUGUCUUUAUCAUAUCAUAACAAAAGAAUAGAGAUUAGAUUCAAUUUUUCUGAAUCUCAUCAUCUUUCCUUAUGAAAUGAAAGCAUUACAAAUAGAAUCGCAUAAAGAAAAAGCCACUGUCGUGACUUGUUUAUUGGAGUGCUGUCUUUCUGUUCUUUCUUUAUGGAGAGUGCAUAAAUUAAACAUUGAGCAAAGGACAGACACUAUAGUUAACAAACAACGACACAAAUUGUCCAAUUGAUGUGUAAUCGAUUGUGCAAAUGACUUAUUUAUUAUCUCUUUUGCCAACGGAAUCAGCAGAAAUGAGGUUGGAUCCUUGUGAGAGAAUAUUUUGAGAUAUAAAGAGGGAGCACCAAAAGGAGAAAUAAAGUAAAGUCCAUUGAUCAUCUCUGGUGAGUGUAAAAAAUACUGCAAUUUACAAAAAGAUGAGUGAUUCCAGCAAUCUUAAGCCAAAUUAAGCAAGUAAAGUAAAGCAAAGCGUGUGUAUUAUUGAAGCAGCCACAUUAGAUUUGCAGUCUCUAUUAUCUAAUAAUCAAUUCCCCAAAUGAAAUAUAAAAAAAGAUCCGCGCAAAAUAAUCUGCAUAAUCUUAAGCCAGACCCUUCAUUAGAUCUGAUCUAAAUUUUAAAAUGCAGCAACAAUUUGCAUAAGCUCGGGCAUUGGAAAUUAAUGAUACAUUUCAUCUGGCUUAUGGUUUUGAGUUUUGAAAGAAGAACUUCAUAUUAAAGAAACUUUAAUAUUCAUUUCCUCAAAAGGAGAGGCCGGCAAGAACAUGAGAAUCUUAUCGAAGGCACAUCAGGAGGCACAUCCGUUCUAACAAAGACAAAACAAUGUUUCUUUUGUCAUUUGCAAAGUCAUAUAUAGGAGGGGACCUUUCUUGCCUCUCUCUUGUCUUUAACUCCACAUACAAAAGGAAACCCUAAUUUCCUUUUCGCAUUAGAAUUUCCUUUUCAUGGGGUUUCAUGGGGUCCCGGGAAAAAAAGGCCAUUUUUUGCAAGUUGGUUGAUGUAUGUCUUUGGUUUCUUGUUUCAUAAUCAAGAUUUCAUCUACCCAAUUAUCCUCAAGAUUAAUUGCCCCAAAACCCUCCAUACGUUUGUUUGAGUGGGUAUUUCAACUUAGAUGAAAGUAAGAGAUUCAUUGCAAUUGAACUUUGACUUUCUAUAAAAAGCAAAGAUAUAACUAGCUUUAUUCUCAGGACAUUAUCGAUGUAAUGCAAGCAAUACUAUAACGUACUAAUGACGCGUACGUAUAAACAAGCAAUCCAUCUAACCUCUUCAAAUGCACAUUUUAGUACCUAAAUCAGGCAUGGCUUGCAUGAUUAACCUUUUUGUUAAAUACCUAGGAAGCAAACUGAGAGAAAUGCGUGACUUUGCAGACGUGCAGGUGAACAUCAUCAAGAAUGUUACGAAGGUAUAGUAGAGAAAUGCAGAACAAAUGACAUGAUAUAAGAAAAUUCCCUCUCUGGUGAAAACCGUGACCAAUCCCGAAGGCAAAUGAUGAUGCGCGAGGCCAGAAUCCAGAUAUGACUCAAAAGUACAGAAACAUAAGAAACCCCACAGUCCAAAGUACAGAUCGAAUAGAUCAGCAACAGGUUCCUUACAAUAAAAUACAAAGUGAUGGCUUUUAGAUCUGCGUUGAUCGGCCAUGAGCUUUUUAUCUUUUAUUGAUCUAUAACAGACGCCCCCACAUGGGGGCGACUCUCCGAAGCAAGAAAGAAGUAUCUCACACAUUGCUCUGGCUUAAAAAAUAACAAAUUUCGCCAGAUCCACGUCUAAAGAACUACUCAGAGAGAGAGAGAGAGAGAGAGAGAGAGAGAGAGAGAGAGAGAGCGAGCGGGAGAGGGAGAGAGGGAGAGAGGGAGAGAGGGAGAGGGAGAGAGAGAGUACAACUCCUUUUCACUAUCAAUGAGGAGAUCAAUCAAGAACGUAAAAGGAGUACAACUAAACACCGAUGAAUUAACCAAGAAUUCCAAGAACAAGAGAAAAACCGAGGACGAAAAAAAAUCAAAACUUUAAGAGCAUUUGCACUUGAAAAUGAUGAAAUCCUUCACUUUUCAAGAACACCAAUGAGAGAGACUCCUGUUCUAGCGCAACAAGAAUCAGAUUUGCAGAGGACAUCGUCAAGAACGGCACCUUUAGCCUUUACAUACCCAACAGAAGCAAAAUCAAUACUAACCGCGCAAAAUUCUGAACACUUACCAUUCGCGGGGAUGAUUUGGGCGGAGAAUUUUUCGCUUGACCCUAUUUGUAUCUUCCCACAGCUAGCUUGAACCGCAAUUGAAACAAGGACUAGUUGAAAGAGUGUGAGUGCGUGUACGUGUACUUGCUUCAAAAAGAUCCCCAUUAAUAUAUGCAGUUCAAGAAAGCUGUGGAAGAAUACAAGGAGGACCAUUCACUGGACACCCUUAGAAACCCUAAAAGCAAAAGAGUUUGAUAGAGGGGAAGAAGUAGGUGAAGGUUAGGCAGAGAAAAGGGUCUAGCAUAGGGGUGGUAUUUAUAGAAGAAUUGAGUCCCUUUUUUGCUCCACCACCAAUCCCUAGAAGAAUAUUGGGCUGAGAGAUUGCUGAAUCCACCAUUUUCUUUUCUGGAACUGUUUCCCUUAUUAAAAUACUUUGUGUCUACACUAAAGUCUUAAAAGCACUCGAGGCAGCUCAGCAUAAACUCUUGUUUUGUAUUUUUUUUUUGUUUAAUGUAAAUCUUAUAGUAGACAUAUUUUGACUUCUUUAGUUAUAAAAAUAACCGAAACUUUUAUGGUAUAUAAAUAUUGACACGUAAAUUUACUUACAAUUUUUUAUUAUUAUUUUCUAAAAUUUGCAUAGGAAUACAAAAAAAAAAAAGUACUUUUGACCUAAACUUAAUGUUAAACAAACAAAUCUUAAGGCUUGACCGGAAACUAAGGAAAUUGGGGGGAAUGCAAGCACUUGUGAACUAUAUGGAAUUUUUUUCAAAUUUUUUUGAGAGAGAGCAGAGAUGUAGAGAAAAUUCUAAUUUUAUUGAUAUUUUCAUUGCCCCCCUCCCAAUAUUUUUUUCCAUAUCCAAGGUUCCCAAACUAACUUGAUUUUUUUUUAAAGUAUUAACCCCAUACACCGUAUAAAGUCAAUAGCUAGCAAAAUUAAUAUUAUUUUCCUCAUCCUGUCCUGAGGCAUUUUUUUUCUCAUAUAUUAGUGUUUGAAAAGGCCGACACCGUUCGAUCCCACUCCCGGUAACCCAGAAAGCUGAUCACAAGAAAAGCCAUCAAAAAACGUGCGGCUACGAUGCAAGUUGCCGCAUCUGACGGUGAUCGAAACCCUAGAUGGGGCACACAAAUGGCGGGGCCCACCUCAGAUCUGUCCUCUUCUCUUUUGGAGGAGGAAAAGCGUAGAUGGCCAACCCACGCGCCCCGACGCCGGUUGUUGACAUUCGCCGAACAAUUAAAACCUAGCUCAUGGCAUAAAUCUAUGAAUACAAUAUAAUACAUAGUAUGACCUCGUUUAUCGAUGAUUUUUAAUUUUUCAAUAAUUAUUUAGUGAAAAUAAGAUUUUCGGCAAAGAAAUUUGAAAGAGCGAUAUUUCUAUUGUUAGAUAUCACAUGUACUCGGUUUUCUAAUUUGAUAGGAAGUCUAGCCUUAAGUUCGAUGCUAAUGUAUCGUGUUGCGUAUGUUAUUGUACGAAAUUCAAGUUAUUAGUCCUUUUCUUAAGUGUUGAUAUUGAUAGCCACUAAGGUAACAAAUUAAAGGUCACUUUAACCCAAAGUGAGGUGGGGAGAAAGAGAAAGGGGGGGAGGGGGGAGCCUAUGAAGGAACAAGUCUCCCUUAAACCUGAAGUCCGCAUUUGAAUCUCACUGUCCCCUUUCACUAUUCGAUCAAAUAUAAAACUUCGAAAAGAUUAUUCGGUGGGGAGCGAAAGAAAAGCAAAGUUAGUCUCCGAUCUGAAAUAAAUUGACGAGAAAAAGACAAACGAGUGCCGUUAGCAAUCAUAUAAGAAAAGGAUUACAGCGAGCGAACAAAAUGCGCUAGUAAAAAAUUCGCUUGAAUAUGCUUGAAAAGACAUCAGCAAAGCGAUUGACGGGCCGGCUACAAAUUUUCAAUUCAAUUUAUCCAAUAUUUCCCCCAACCAAAGGAUUGCAUUUGGUAGAGAUUAACAGAUUGACAAGAAAAGUCAAAUGAGUGCUGUCAGCAUUCAUAGAAAAAUAGGAUCUUAUUGUACAAACAAAAUGCGCUGGUCAAUAAUUCAUCUGAAAUGUACUCAUAACAGCGGAGCGAUCGAUGGGCCGGCUAUAAAUUUUCGAUUCGAUUCGAAUCAUCUGCACUGGUGAUGAAAGGGAUUAAUGCAAGGUGGGGGGUGGGGGGAAGUAAAGCAAGAGAAAGAAAGGGAAAAAAAAAGGAGAAGGGGGAUUAAGAGGAAAUUAUAGAGUAAUUUGGGGGGGCAAAAAGGAAAUAAAUGGGAAGUUCACAUGGAGGCAUGUGAGGGGGGUGACCCACCCGUGGGGAGGUGUGUGCGUGGGAGUCGGGACACUGCGUACACCCCCGUUUUUCCCGGGACGGAGGUCUCUUUGUCGGGGCGCUUGGCCCCUGGACUCUUCCCCUUUGUACAUUUCCAUCUCCAUCUCUCUCUCUCUCUCUCUCUCUCUUUUGAAUAUUAUUCCACUUCAAUUUUUUUUUUAUAUUUCUUUUUGUAUUUUUUUUUUAUACCUUCUUCUUUUUGCAGGCUGGUGCUGGUGUCGUUGGCGACUCCCAAAAGCUCGAGCCCCUAGAAAAUAUUAUUAUUGAUUUGACUUUGACCUCCGGAAGCACGAAUUUACCCGUUUCCCCUCCCCUUCCCUUCUCGUAUUCAAAAUUUGUGCCAAAAAAUCAAACCCGUGCGUGUCCCUCUCUCUUUCUACUUAGUGCGAAAAGGGAGCCGAGUUGCCGGCGAGUUUCCGGCCAGUAGCUCGGAUUCGAUUCGAUGGUACUGAUCGGACUUGACUCAGCUCGAAUGAGCCCAACUUGGGGUUCGUGCCAUGCAAGCAAGCAAGUGCCGUGAUAGAUUGAACUUAAGCUUGUAAUUUAUUGGAACCCUAAUUGAGUCAAGUGCCUAGAUCUUGUAAAAUUUCAACACCAGAGGUAUUGAGACUGUACAUCAUACCUCGACAGUGUGUUACUAAGCCUGGCUGAGCAAAGCUUGAGUUUCUCAACUACAUUUGGAGUCAGGCUUGAGCAGGAUGAGCAAUGCUCGAUCGAGCUUGAGUUUCAAGCACUACCAUUGAGAUAAGUCGAGUUCAGACCUUUUGGUGUAUCAACUUGACUUGGCUUGGUUACAUCCCUACAUUCCGUUAAUCAUUAUGGAUAGAUGCGAAUCCAAACAAUCACGAAAUUUUACUACCAGUAUAUAAUUUGUAAUAUAUAAUAUAUUUUGUAAUAAGCAUGAUGUGCGCACGUUAAUGCACUUUAUUUUAUUUUAUUUUAUUUUUGCUAUUGGGUUGGAGUUUAGUGGGAAGGUGCAUUGUCUUAAGUUAGCUGGCAAUCACUUGAUUAAAAUUUUAUGCCAAUCUUGUCAAUGACCCUCGACCCUCGACCCACCCCCACAUCAUGCCUCUCUGUUUUUUCUAUUUUUUUCAAAGGGUUGAUUUGAUUUGUGAGUAAUUAAAACAGGUUUCUAUUCCAAUGUCCAUCGUGUCUCUUGCUUUCUUAAAUGCAACGUGCGGGUGUUUGGCGCUUUGGUGCUACUCGAUGGAUCGGAGCCCACGUUGCAAGAAAGCGACGUUUAGUGAUUGCGCAUUAGGUAGGAGCGGAGUUUGCCCCCCAUCCAAGGAAAUGCAAGUUUUUAUUUUACCAUGAUGAUACAUGAAUUUCAAUUAAGAUGUGUUUGUUUAAGCAAAUUUUUAUUUUUAUUUUUUAUGAAUGAGUACUCUAGACCAUCACGCAUUUGAUUUGCCAAAAAUGAUCAGUUAACUAAAAACCAUUUAUAGUUAAAGAAAAUAUACAUAUUUAAAAUUAGGAAAAUUAAUUGCUUAAUUCGAAAAAGAAAAACCGUUUUCUUGAAAUAUGAUUUUCCGCAAUACUUUUUUCUUUAUCAUAAAAUUUUCCUUGAAGCAAACAUAUUUUUAAUUUCAAUUUGCGUCAUACCAUUAUUAACAAGAAAAAUGACUGAUGAGCUCUUUACCAAGUUACUUAUAAGUUAAUUAACUACACUUUCUUAAUUGACCAAUUUUUUUUAAUUCACAAAUUGUCGUUUUUUCUUAUAAAUAAUCAAGACUUCCAUUUUUUUUUUCAACUGUUCUAUAAAAUGACCUCACUAAAUUAAAGUGAUUUGUCAACUUUUGUUAGAAUAAAUUACUAACUAGGUUUGAAUUACCAACUCUCAUUUUAGCUACUUGCUGAAGUUUAAUUUUUUUUUUUUUUUAAUUUACAGAUUGUCCUACUGAUUUCCAACUUUUAUCUACCUUGCAGUUGUCAACCCUUUAUAUUUACUAAAUUUUCUUAAAGAUUACCAACAUAAUUAAUGUGACUUACAAACUUUCUCCAUUAUAUUUAUACCUAAUAUUGGGCUAUUAACUCUUAUUUGAGUUACUUAUUAUUUUUUACUAAUUUUCUUUGUUUGAGAACUUUUCUUAUCACUUACAAACUUGUAAUUUCAUUUCUUAGCAACGUGUAUUACAAACUCUUCUCUAAAACGAAUGACUUUAAUUAUAGCACAUUACUAACUUUUUUCCCAUGAAGUUAACAACUGGUUUUGGGUUAUUAACUCUAAUUUGAGUUACUUAUCAAGAUAUUUUUCUUUUAAUUUUUCAAAUUUUUUACCAACAUUGUUUAUAUUAUGCCUUAAUUUCAUCAACUUUUAUAUGAAAUUGCUAAUUUUAACUUACACGAUUACCAACUCUUCUCCAAGCGAGAUACCAAAUACUUCUCGGUUAUCAACUCUCAUUAGUGAGUUACCAACUUCAAUAUAAUUAUUUUUAGUUAUCGACUUUUAAAUUGGAUUACUUGAUUGAGAAAAAAAGUUGAUUAGUCACUUGAAUAAAGAAUGGUAGUUUCAUACAAUAAUUGUUAUAAUUGAGGGAUUGGUAAGAAAAUACUUUAUUCGUCGAAUGUAAGAGAAGUUCAUAAUUUAAAAGAAUCAAAUAAACCUUGGUAUUUAGCUCAAAUAAGAACAAAUAAUACAAAACUGAUGAUAAUUCAAUUAUAAAAUGAUGGGUAAGUAAAGCAAAUUAUAGUGUUAACUCAAUAGAAAAGUUAAUUACUUUAUUAUUAAGUAUAAAUAAAUAUCCGCUGGUGGAAAACUCAAAUAAGAGUUAGCAAUUCAAAAAAGGUUGGUAAAUUAGUUGGUAAGAAAGGUAUAUUAAAGAUGGUAAAUGACAACGGACGUUUUUUUUUUCCUGGUCAUAGAUAAGAUAACUUAGCAAUUUAAAAUAAAAAUAAAUAAAUGUUGGUAACUAACUCAAAUAAGAGUUUGAAUGCGAAAUUAGUUGGUAAUUUUAUAGGUGAAAAGUUAAAAGCGACUCUAACUGAGAUUGGUAAUUUAUAAAAAGUACAAGUUGGCAAGGCAACUCAAAACCAGUUGGUAAUGUAAGACAUAAAUGUUGGUCGACAGCUCAAAAUCAGUCUUUGGUAAGUCAUAUAGAUGAGAGUUAGCAACCUAAAAUGGGAAUUGACAAUUCAAAAUGAAAGUCAGUAAUCCAAAACUAACUGAUAACGUUCAUCCUAUUGCAAUCACAAAAGUUGCAACCUCCAAGCUCAUCAACAGUAGUUGUCAUCCUAACAAAGGCCAAGGCGAGGCUUGAUGAUACCGGAUAUGGUGUCAAGAGUCUUCACCAACUUGUGACGAGUCUAACGUAGAGGAAGAGAGAGAGAGAGAGAGAGAGAGAGAGAGAGAGAGAUUGGUGUUAGGAUUUCGCAAUUAGCCGACAGUGAGUGUGGCGAGGUCACACCAAAGGUUUAGCAAAGUCAUUUGGUGGAGAUCGCAGAUCGGAUUAGGUUAUGCUUUAUCUUCUGUUGAACACCAAAAUAGGCCUGUGGGGGCACGAGCCAAAUAGAAAGGAGGAAAAUAGGGAAGGAAGGAAAAAGAAGAAAGAGAAGAAGAAGAAAAAGAAAAAAAGGGAUAAGGGUCUUAAACCAAUUUAUUGCAUGUCUUGACCACAUCUAGAAAUUUGAACAUCUAAGUUUAAAGUCGAAAAUCAUCAUCAUACUUGAUUAAUUGCUCUUUGAUAGGGAUGCUCAUAAUUCACAUGUGGGAUUUUUAAUUUUAAUUCCCACAUAAGUUGACAGGUAUAUAGCAAAAAGGUGGGAAUUUCCCCGAUCAAAUAAGUAUUGAAAUGGCUAAGAAAUCAAAUUUGUGAUAAUGGAAAAAUCAAGAUACGUCCUUAUAAUAGUAUUGCUCUUUUUAGGCAUUAAAAUGUAGUAUGUACAUAUGCGUUAAUAGCCCAAAAAUUCACUGCUCAAUUAUAUAUAUAUCAACAACAAUAUAUCCAGAAAUAUUCUGUCAUGACAGGAGUUUUUGUCCGUGGGGUUGUAUUCUUUCACUGUGAGAUUACAAAGCAAUCGCAUGCUCUUCGGUCUCCCCUAUCUUCAUUGCUUUCCCUCUUCCAUCUUUCCAUUCGACCACCCACAUGAUAUUGCUUUCCCUUCCUCUCUCCCGAAUCACUAAGCUCAUUCUACACGACUAAGUCAUUUUUUUUUUCUUUUCCCCACUUCAAGGGCUCUGGCUUUUGUAAUUGACCCUCCUUUUUCUCUUCCCAACAUAGUACUUUCACACAUUUUCGCGGGGACUGUACAACGAAAGUUGAGCUAAGUUAUUAGCCACUAAACUAUUUGGGGAUUUUCACUUGGACUAACUUGUAGGUUCGGAGUGGAGACCGCACGAGCUGAUAGCCCUUGUCAAUGCCCAUGCAGGAAGACAGUUUCAGGAAGGUUCUGUGGGUGGCAAUACGUGUACGAGAACGGGGACAAGUGCAUGGAAAUGCAUGCACCCUUUUGUCACUUUUACCGCUUGACUUCCUGAUCUGAUCAGUCUUUCAAACACACAUCCCAUGCCCGACACUGCUGUGAGGUUGGCCUGUCUCUUCGAUCCAACCCAUAAAUUUGUCUAGCCUUUUCCCCAUUAACUGAGCAGCGUCUCUCUCUCUCUCUCUCUCUCUCUCUCUCUCUCUCUCUCUCUCUCUUCCAUGUUCCUUCGGUUUAAUUUAUUUUAAGAACCCCAGAUAAAUAAUGGGUUUCCAUAUUAUUUAUUUUUUUGGUCAGCGAGAACUUUACUAUUUUGUUUAUUACGCACAACAAUACAAGGGAGAAACACUCACGUCGAUCUUUACUCGAUGGCACAUGAUCAUCUCCCUCGAAUGUGCCCUAGANNNNNNNNNNNNNNNNNNNNNNNNNNNNNNNNNNNNNNNNNNNNNNNNNNNNNNNNNNNNNNNNNNNNNNNNNNNNNNNNNNNNNNNNNNNNNNNNNNNNGGGGGGUCAAACAAAAACAUUUGAAAAUUUGGAAAUUUUUUAAAAUUUUUUGUAAAACCAACCCCCUCCGCUUCCCUUUUCCCCCCCCCCCCCCCCCCCCCCCCAAAAAAAAAAAAAAAAAAAAAGGGAGUUUUAUGUGAAGCUCAAAAGAAAUCAAAGCAAUGAAUUAGUUGGUGAUUUUACAUGAAGUAUAGGAAUUGCGAACCACAAAGACGAGUUCUUUGUGAGGUGGAACCUAAAACACAAAAUUUUUACAUGAUCUUAGUUGAUAUGGGUUAGGUUUACACGCAUCAAGUGCAGGCAAUAACUUCUUUUGAAAGUUCUCCGCCUCUCCUUUCUCGGCUCGUCGCUCUUUCCCUGUCACAUUUCGUGUUGUUCCAUCCUCAUGUCCCUCGCUUUCACUUGUUGUCAUUAAUGAAAAUUGAGCUACCUACGGUUGCAUCGGAGCUCAGCUUGGCCGAGAAGAGGUGAAGCUCGACCUGGGGUCUCGCAAAUAUACAAAUAUCUGGGACACAAUGUGAGUUCUACCUGAACCAGCCUUUCAGGUUUCAGGUUCUCGGGUAGAAUGAGUUGGGUCAUGAUGUAGAGUCGGAAAAUUGAAUCAGUCAAAGCUCGUUUCUAGUUUUAAGAACUGGAAACCAAACCGGUCCCCCUAUGAAUCGGCUGAGUAAGGUAGGUUUGGACAACUUCUGGAGUUGAACCAUUUGGUUGCUUAAUCCUAUUCGACCCCACUUGGGUCUAAUUUGUUGCCAAAGCUCGCCCGUCUCAUAAAAUUAAUAUUUUAUGAAUUUUCAGGUCGGAUUAGGUUGAAUCUAGGCCAAAGAUGGCCUGAUAGGCCUUUUUCAUGUUAAACCAUUGCCUAAGCACACCCAUUUACUUAUUGGACUUAGGUGUGCCAAGAGAGCUGGCUGUCCAUUGAUCAUCUCUACUAGACAAGACAAACAGUACAAAAGGUUUUGUUGUUGAAAUUAUUGCGAUGGCAGAAGAAAAUCAUGUGUUUAGCACAAUUUUUUCCGCAAUUACCAUAGUUUUGAAAUUGGGUUCAAAAUGUUUGGUAAAAAUAUCAUAGUUGUCACACGCUCGUUGUUGAAAUACAUUCACAAUAGCUUCCACAAAGCUACUGAGUAGCUUGGGGGAUGAUUAUCCAAAAAGUGUUUAAUCUAUCGUUUGAUAGUCAACCCAAUCCUAAACAUUUAGAAUAUGCAAAUUUAGUACUAAACCUUCUAACAACUUGCCAAUUUAGUCAUAAAUAUUUCAAUUUUACCGAUUCAGUUUUAAAUAUUUUAUGAUAUGUCAAUUUAAUCCUAAACCUUAUAAUGACUUAUCAAUCUAGUACUUCCGACUGGAAAUUGCUGAUGUGGGGGAAGAUUGAAGAAGUGUGGGUUUCGUAUAAUAUGCAAGCAACGAGAGGAUGAUCUGAGGGUUGUGAUCUCGCACUAUCUGCCAAUAGAAACAUAUUAGUCUUCGGAGGAAGAUGAUCGGAUAGACGUCGAGGAAGAAGAUAGUUCAAGCGAAACGGAUGAUGAAAUUGUCAAAGCAGACGAGUGGGACCUGCCCAAUCGAGGAAAUCGGCGGGGGGAUAGAAGCGAACUGUCGAAUUGGUCUCCAUUUGGCUUUGAUUGUUNNNNNNNNNNNNNNNNNNNNNNNNNNNNNNNNNNNNNNNNNNNNNNNNNNNNNNNNNNNNNNNNNNNNNNNNNNNNNNNNNNNNNNNNNNNNNNNNNNNNGAAGAAGUCGUGAGGUGAAAAUUUGUCAGUGUCAAUUUGUUCAAGAAAAUGGAGGGAGUGGAAAGGAGAACCGGAAGUUGCGAACCUAAUUGAAAAAUAAAUAGUAAGUAACGAAUGUGUUGGUAUUUUCCUGUCGAUUUUAUUCAAACUUAUAUACUAAGAAAGACGAUAUGCGCCAGCUUUGUAUAUAUUUUAAUUUGAUUGCUUAAUAAUUUCUUUUGAUUGUUAUCUAAGUUUGGCCAAUUCCACCUGGUUGAAAGGUUGCAACGUGAUUUGAAGAUUUAAUAGAUCUUACACAUAAGGCAAUAUUUAUUAGAAUUAUUGAUUUUUGACGUGCUAGAGCUUGAAGUCCAAGAUGCAUCGACCUUUCCCAGAGACAGUAACUAAGUUAUUCAGUAUCAACCACCGAAUGAUGAUUUUUCAUAAAUAGCAUAGCCGGGGACCUCUUUCAUUUUCUUCCUCUGGUAUAGCAACAAUCAUUCCCGUUCCCUUUGGAUCCUAGCAGCAUCUGAGGGAGACAGCACAGAACUCACAUGCAUUGGGGGGGGGGGGGGGGGGGUGGAGCAAAAUCUUGAUUCCAAUGCCUCUUGCUUUUCUCUUACCUUAUAUACGCAGCACGACAAGUCUUUUUUACAAAUUAUAAAUCACACCUCUAAGUGUUUUUUUUUAUAGAGUUGCUUGCACAAUUUAUCUCUUGACUAUGCCUUCACUUUAAGUAUAGGCACCUUUUUUUUGCGCGUUACGAAUGGGUUUCUCACUUUUGUUAACACUUAGUAAAAACACUCUAAUGGGUAUUGCAAACUUAUAAAGAGACAAAAUCAAGAAUAUGUAACGAAUACCUAUUUCGUUAUCAUUCUAUCAUGCGGGCAAUGCAUAAUGAGAGGAGGAUCACUAGACAACACAAGGGAAGAAGAAAGUUGGACUCAUGUUACAUAGGAAAUAAGAAACCAUUCAUGGUGAAAAUCAGAAAGCUUCCGGUUUAUGAUGAUUCCGCACUCAUCAUCCUCUAGACGAGAGGCGAAUGGUAAUCGCAUGCUUCAAACGAUCCCGCCAAUUCUCAAGCUGGGGUUAUAUUGUAUUGAUUAGCACCAUGAGGUCAUCGAGAAAAGCCAAAUUGGCUAAAUUGGCCACGUUGAGGCCACAAUUCGAGCUGCUAUACAAAUAGAGAAGAAACUACAGGUCAAUAAGCAAAAAAGAAAGAGGGAAAGAGGAGGAAAGGCUUUUGUCUUCUCGAUUUUACCAAGAGAAUUUUCAAUUGGAUGGUUUGUAGCUACUAUGAUAACAACAAAGUUACUGUAGAAAGAGAUCGACGUGCGUGUUCAUGAGUAAUUCAUGAAUGGUCUUAUCUCUUCCUCAUAUUCGUCGAUUUUCCGAAAGGCUCUCGCAUCAACUAAUAUCCUACGGCCUUCUAUCUUGCCUACCUCUGUAAAGUCAUGUGAAAUCGUAAAACGAAGAUUUGUCCGAAAAAAUUCAUUUUGCUCCAUGAAAAAUUCCCCUUCGAUAUUUUGCCUUAUAAAACCUCCUAUGGUAGGAAAAUUAUUGAGACAAAUGUGUUCAAAAAUCUUUAUUUUCAUAUUAUUUAAUAUAGACGAGAUUACAACACCCGUAAAAUCAUGUGAAAUUAGAAAACAAAGAUUUGUCCGAAAAAAUUCUUUUUACCCCAGUAACUCACCUUAGGGUGACAUUUGAGAGAAGGCCUUAUUCCAAAUUCAUUAAUAUAUUCAAUUGAAGUCAAAUCCAUUCAUAAGUUUAAAUCAAUGAAUCAUAAUCUUGUUUUAACUCAUAAUCAUGCCCAUCUUUAUGCUUUCCUAAGUUUCAUCCCAUAAAAAACCUCAAACUUAUAUAUUUGUGACAAAUUUACCCUAGAUUGACCACAAAAAAUUCUAAAUUGAUACACUUGUAACAAAUUUACCCAAAUCGGAUUCCUCUUGUCUAUACCAGUUCUGAGUUGACUAUUUGACGCCUAAGACUCAUAACCAUCUCUGCUUNNNNNNNNNNNNNNNNNNNNNNNNNNNNNNNNNNNNNNNNNNNNNNNNNNNNNNNNNNNNNNNNNNNNNNNNNNNNNNNNNNNNNNNNNNNNNNNNNNNNAUUAGAGAGCCAAAAAUCAGAAUUUUAACAUUCAUUAGGAUUAGGAGGUUGCACACAAGGCGAUGUUUGAUCAAAUGUUAAAAUCAAUUAUGCAUCGGAGGAUAAAUCACGAUCAAAACUUUCCUUAAUUAAGCAAUUACCAUCAAAAUUUCAUGGCUUACAAAACCAGCAAAAGAGACAUCGCAAGGAAUAGUCUGUGAGACAAUAUUUGUCAAAAUCUAUAAAAUCCACAAAGAGGGGAGGAUAGGCAAGCCACUAUGAAGACCCUUAAUUUGGUCCUGACUAGUAGGCUAAGGAUUGAUAUGCCGAUGGUGGGAAUAGGUCAUGAAUCGACCCUAGAAUCAGUUAUGGGCCAUGGAUUGUGGCGAAGGAUCUUGGAAUGGCCACAGAACUGGCCUGGGACUUAUUGGCAGGCCCGAAGACUGGACCUUGGAGCCACUGGAGAUGAACUAACGACCGGUCUUCUUGAUCCUGACCACAACUUGGUCGGGGAUAGACUCAAGACCAGUUUGGAUCAGAUCCGGUGGCUGUGAAGUCAUCAUCGCACAAACUAGCUUGAAGGAUCUAACUAAGCAAUCACAGAAAAAAACCUAUAACAGAAAGUUUUAGACUAAGCACGCAGGGAUUUGAUGAACUUGGUUUUGGAGAAAGGGCACAACAAAGUGCCGGUUUUCUAUGAGCAGCCCGCCAACAUAAUUGGAUUGAUUAUGGUAUCUACAAGAAACUUUUAGUUUCAUGUUUCUUUCUUUAUAUAUGAAUAACUUAAAUGAUAACUCUAGCGCCAGGUUCUAAGCGUGAUACCAAGUCCUUUAGGAGGCUUGAGCCCGAACGUUUCGCUUUAAUUCCUCACAUUCGCGAGCAAGGGCCACCAAAGAAUCUUGGACUCGGUAGACGUCUCGAGUUAAGACGCCAUCGAAAUCCGACAAAUUGUCCUAAUGAGCGCUCUAUUGGCGGCCAUGUUUCAAUGGCCAUAGGGUGGAUUUCAAUCCACAAAUAAUGGCUAACAAGUUCAUCCUAUAUAAUAUUUUUGAUUGCGAAACUUUUACAUUAUAUUCUACGGCAGCUGGAAUGACUACGUUGGUAAAUUAUUAAAAGAUUUAUGAUUAAAUAGGCAAAGCAUCAAAAAGUUUAGGACUAAUUUGACAUAGUUAAAAAGUUUAAAGACUAAAUUGGCAAAUCAUCAAAGGUUUGAGAUGCCGACUGAUCCCUAGUCAUCUUAUGUGGGUUGGCCAAUGCUGGACAAACUUUUCAUUUUUCUAAUUCUUCUUCCUUUUUAUUUCUCUUUGGCUUGUAGCUGGUACUCGACCAUGGCUGGCGAAGGUGUCGCGGCCUUUGCCAAAUUUGGCGAGGGCUCAACCCUCGUGACUUGGGCAAGAGUGGAGGCAAGGGCAACCCUCGCCUAUGCCAAUCGCCAGCCAUGGCCAAGUACCAGCCAUAGGCCAAAGGGAAAGAAAAGGAAAAAAACACAAAAUUUGUUUACCUUAAUAUUGGCCAUGCUACGUAGGAUGCAUGACACUCAUGUUAGCGAUUUUUCACCAAAAUUAGUCGAAACUAAAUUGGCAAGUAGUCACAAGGCUUAGGAUUAAAUUGGAAAGUCAUUAAAAGGUUUAAGAUUAAAUUGGUAUGUUGUCCAAAUAUUUAGAACUAAAUUGACACAAUUAAAAAAUAUAGAACUGAAUUGGCCGUCUUAUAAUAGACUUAGAAAUUUUCCAAUAGCUUUGACAUCUAAUUUUUCCUCUUAUCAUCUAAUGUGUUUCUAAUUGUGUCCAUAUUUUUUUUUUUGCAACCCUACAAAAUAAGAAAAAAAGAAACUUGGUCAUGGCCACCCCCAAUCUUUUUUGUUCCAAGUUUUAAUUUCAAUUUUUCACCAUCCUUCAACCAUGUGACUCAACGGCAUCGUCACUUCCAUCCCUCUUCAUCAAAGCUAUGAUUUUUUUUUAAAGAAAAAUAUAAAACUGAAAAUUAAUUAUAGUAAUGAUACUGAUAAUGAUCGUAAUUCUAUUGUUAUUAUUGUUUAUUUCAAUUUUUCAAUAAUAUUUACCCAUAGAAGGAAAGUUAUAGCAACGUUUCUAUAAAAAAAAUUGAAAAAAUAAUAAAUAACAAUAUAUAUAUAUAUAUAUGUCUCGAUUUUAUAAUAGCAAUAAUAAUAAUAAUAAAACAUAUGAAAUAUAAUUAUGAUAAUGACAACAUUAACAUCAUCAUUAUAAUUAUUAUAUGGUGAAUAUGGUGUAUUGCAAAAGUUCUAGUAAUACGAACAUAAACAUUAGUACAAGAGUAACCACCGGCCGCGGUAGCUCCGCUGGAUAAGGCCCUGCCGAUCCUCAACCCAGAGGUGAAGGGUUCAAAACCCAGGGAAGGCGCUAGGUAUAUUAAGUGUUACUCAGGGGUGGUGGGUUCUCCUGCUUAAGUGUCACCUGGGGGUUUAUGGCGCGGCUGUCGGCUGCAAGCCGGUUCCUCCAGCACAAAAAAAAAACAUUAGUACCAAAGUAUGGAGUGAAGAGAGUAGAGAAAUAGAAGAGGCAUUAAGGAAGACAGGAGAGAUGCUGGGGAGGGAGGUGAAGGAUGUGAGAAAUUAGUACGUCCCCCAGCCGAGAAUGGUUAGGUAGAAAAUGGGGUAUUGCAAUAGUUUUAAUAAUAUAGACAUAAACAUGGAUAUCGGAAUAUGGAGCAAUGGGAAUUCUCAUUCAUAAAGGAGAGGAGAGAAAUGGAAGAGGCAAUGAGGAAGGGAAGGAGAGAUAUUGAGGUGAGCAUGUACUCAAGUCGAGAAUGUCUAAGGCAUAUGAAUGCAGGGAAAAUGAUCAAAAAGUCCUAAACCAAUCGUAUGGUUGUCAAUUUAGUCAUAAAAUUUUCAAUUGUAUUAAUUUAAUUCUAAAUAUUUUGGUAAAUUGUCAAUUUAGUCAUACACCUUUUAACGAUUUCUCAAUUUAGUCUAUUUAGGCAAUUUUGGCAAGAAAUCAGUGACAUAGCAUAAACGACAUGAUAUGGUCACCAGUUGUUCUAUAUAGUAUGAUUGACGCUGACAUAAACAAAUUUAAUAAUAAUUACAAUAUGUUCGGAACUUUUUAAAUAAUUUUUCCUCAUAUAGCACCUUCAAAAGAUGUAUUGUAAGAUGCAUGUAUUCACAGCUGUAGCUACAGCUGUGCCAACCAGACUCGAAGAAAAUAAAGAAAUCGUCCUUGAUGGUGCUAUGAGUUCCCUCGACUUUUAAUUUGAUGCGUUGAAGUCGAUCCUUAUUGAUGGAUGAAUUUAUUUCCGCAUCAAUAGAAAUAAUGUGACAUAGUGGAUUUGAGGAUGCUACGUGGCUUGUUUUUUUAAAGAUUAACAGAUCCUACAUGGCAACUAAUUCGGGGUAGACAGUGACCAAAAUAAUGUGGUUUUUGAUUUAUAUUUCACCUGAGUCAAGCAGAAUUCUUACUCGAGUCAAUUCGCUGGUUCUUACUUGAACGAAUGAUUAUGGAAAGUUUGGACAUCAAAGAAGGCAUUCGUAAGUUAUUUGCAAAAAGUUGGACACCGUAUAACAAUAUUGUCGCUGGUAGCGUCCUUAUUCUUAAGAAUUUCUGAGGAGUAAAGUAUCUAAAUACUAAUUUUUAAGCAUGGUGAAUGAUCGAAACCCCUAUUGGCAUUUGUAAACCGUAGGCCUAUUCCCUUUUCUUGGCAUAUUGAUUGUAUCUAGCAUGAAGAUCCAUUGUUUUCAGGAGUACUAUUUGCGAAUCGUAUCUGCUAUAUGGACUAGUGUUUUUUUUUUUUAAUAUGGACUAGUGCUUACGGAAUGAUAAAAUAUCUGUUGAUUGAAAUGUUUUUUCUUGUUUCUUAAAAUCUCUAUUUCUAAGCAAGAAAGGAGGAGCACAAAUUAUGGACUCUAUGAUCAUGUACUAAAAAGCUUGGCAAUAAUUUUUUGAAAGGCACCCUAAUUGAAUUAUUCAAGAUACCAAACUCAUACGAAUAUAUUUUCAUUCAUUUAAAUUAUAAUCCAACAUGAUAUUUUUAAGGAAGAAAAGGAAAAUUACUCCCUUAACCGUCAUUCUAUCUAAAAGACUUUUUCAAAAUCAAUAUAUAUAAAGAGGACCCAAGGUCUUGAAGAUAGAGAUGAAGAGAAAAUGGGGCGGGAAAACCCGAUCCCCUCUUCGUCAUUCGGAAGGUUUGAAGUUAGGCCAACGAAAAGGCGACGACUACCCACUUCCCUAAUUUUUCUUUUCACCAAAUCUUUCCUCACUAUAUAUCUCUGCAAUCAAAAUUAGUUCCUUAGUAGCAUGUUCUAGUUAGGCUGAUCAGACCCAGCUAAAAGUUAAAAAGAAAAUCCAAAACCCAAGUGGGCCCCUAAAUUGGAGCGUUAGGCUAUAUUCAGUGGGCCAAAAAUUGACUGGCCUCUGCCCAUACACACUUCAAAAUGCCCUCUCUCUCUCUCUCUCUCUCUCUCUACAUAAACAAAUACAUAGAAAUAAGUAGCCAAAUAAAAGUGAGGUUGGGCUUUUUCUUGGCGGUCCAAUUCCCAAAAAUUCUGGUCCCAAGGGAGGGGAAGGACCGGAAAGGAAUCGAAUUUCACAAAGCAUCUGGACCUCAAAACCAUCGAGAGUCCAGUUGCCCAAAACCACAACACCAAAGAAACCCCGAGUCGAAACGAAGCGAACCAAUCCCCCCCGCACGUUUUCGUCCUCCCAAACCCCGCACCCACACCCACACCCACACCCAAAAAGUCCCACUCCAACAUCUUAUCGUUUUUCCUCCCAUUCGAACGGUCCAAUUACAGACUUCCUUCUCGGGUCUCAAGCCCAAUCUCGCUUUCCCCCUUCUCUCUCUUCUCUCCCGGACCUGCUCGCGCCCCGACGAACCUGCUCGCGCCCCGACGAAACCCUAGAUCUGAGGCCCAGCUGAUCGGCGACGGACGGACCCGAUCCGAUCGCCGCCCCGCCCCGCCCCGCCGUGGAUCGCGCUCCCUUUCGUUCUCCCGCAGCGGUAAUGAUGCCGACGUCCGGGCUCCCCUCUCUCCCUCUCUCUCUCUCUGUGGCUUCUUUGGUUUCGCGUUUUGAUUGCGUCGCGGUGUUGUUCUUGUUAUGGUUGGGUCUUGUUACCCGAUGGCGAUCGGUCGUUGUUUUCUUUUUCUUUCUUUCUUGUUUUGACUCUGUUGAUGGACUGCUUUCGAGGUUCGUUUCGUGCGUCCGCGUUCGAUUCCGAUUCGUUCUGGGUUUUAGUCGAGUCCCGGCUCGUUUCGGCUUCGGGCGUCCAGAUCUGCGAUCGUUCGACCCGGUUUUCUUUUUGUUCCGUUCUUCGCGUUUUGUGAAGCCCAGAGAGGCUACAGGAAAGUACGGUACAUAAGCUUUCGUUUCCGGUUGUUUUUGAAUUUUCGUUAAAAAGAGUCCAGGCUCGAUUCGAGCGCCUUAGAUCUGUUUCUCCAUCUCGGCGGUCUGUGAUUUAUUCUGCCCCCAAAAGCUUUUCGAGCCCGAAGGCGACGAUGAAAACUUAAAAAGGACAGGCCUUUGCGUAGACCUUUUGCUCCUGACCAUGGGAGGAGGGAGCGAGCGACCGAAUUGAGCUGGAGAGGAGGAGGGUCCUGCGUGGUUGGUGUGGAGGACUACUAGGCGAUCGGGCCGGGCUUAUUAGGCUUUGCUUGGGCCCAAAAGGUCCUAACUUAGCUUCGUUGUGUUCCGCUGGGUAUGUCCCCCCUUCUUUUAUCUGGAAGUGGGAGGUGGGAACUGGGUGAUGGUACGAGUGGGUGUGGUUGGCUUUUCGUUGCUGGCUGGCUGGCUGACUCGCCCAAGGGUUUUGUUUUUUAGAUGCUUGUGCCCGCGGUAGGGCCUGUUGGCCUGAAACCUGGUGGAGCCAGCGACCCUUUUUAUGGAGGAGGGCGGCUAUGGUGGGCUGAGGGGAGGAAUGUGUGGCCCAACUUUUUUUAACGUUUAGCUAAGCGAAGGAAAAAAAGAAAAAACUGAUGCGGAAGAAAAGGGAAGAAGACGGUAGUUCAGUUAGCUUGUCAGGACAUAAUGUCUAAAGAUGUGUUGAUUUCUUUCUUUCCUUCCUUCUUUCUUUCUUCUGAGAAAUAACCAUCUGAGGAUGUAGGCUUAGAGGAACCGGGUGUGGUGUAUUUCGAGCUAUGCAUGUGUUUUGUGUGGUUUAAACGGACAAGGAGGGGCAAUUUCAGUCUGUAUGGUUUGUUUUCGUUUGGUAGCUAAUUUAGUUUAUGAGAAGAUCGAUGCUGGGAAUGUGGGUACACAAGGAGGAAUGGAUGAACACGUCGUACUCGAAAUUAUUAUAGAAAUUACAGUAUGUUUUGUUUUUGAUGGAAUCACUGUAUGUUUCGGUUUCUGUUGUCUGAAAGUUGGUAGCUUGUCUACUCUGUGUGGUGAAACAUAACUACAUGUCCCACUGACACGAGAUAUGAUGUCUCAAAGAAUGAAUGAACGCUAGGCUACUUGUUGACCUCUAAGCUGUAGGAGGGUGUGACACGAAGAUUGCAUGUUGUCUACUACCGUCACUUGUUAAUUAUUCAAACUGCCAAGGACUAAGGCAGUUAUCAAGAUUUAUAUGAGGUAGGAGUGGGAGAUAUGAUCAACGUGAACGGGACUCAUUGAAUUUGAAAAAAGAUGUAGUGGAGAGGGUUAGUUUCUUGCUUUGCUUGCUGGCAAACUUUUUAAAGGAUCAUCUCUGGCAAAUUCUGAAAUUUUUCAAUUGACUGAAAAGUGGUGUGUGCAAGUUCAAUACCAACACAUGCCUUCAAGUUUGUACUUCUAUUUCAUCGACUAAGAAAGGCAUUAGCGAUCACUGUAGUUUCGCUUCUGUCAUUGGUACUCUGUAAUUGGGAUAUGCUUGGAGUUUUCCUUUGUUCAAUAUGUAGAGUUUCUACCUCCUUGGAUGCUGUUUUGUGUUUAAUAUAUCUAGGAGACUAGGAUGAUUUGUGUAGUUCCCUUUCUUGUCAUUCUCAUGUAAGUUCUUUGGCUUCGCUUGUUUGAUAUAUCUAGGGGACUAAGAUGAUUUGUCUAAGUUCUUUGGCUGCUCUUUUUUAUGAGAAGUCAAAUUAGCUUGUGAAAAAGAUUCAUUAGCCUACUGUUGUUUGCACUUUUCAGCCAGAUCGAGGGUUAGAAUUUUAUAACUAAGAGGCUGACGCAAGUUGGUUCUUUCUUGACACAUAGAUCACCAACCACCAACCAAGAUAACUCCUGUUGCAUCUGUGAGAUGAGGUAUCAAAUGUUAAAGCUACUACUCUGAAUACGCCUUUGUGUUUUUGGAGUGCUUCUGGUGUGGACUUUAUGCAGGAACAUUCACUAUAGUGGAUACCUGACCUACAUAAUGCAAUAUGAAGCAGAAAAUGAUGUUUUGCUGCUAGCUUGACUUGUCUAAACUCUCCUCAUCAUAUUGAAAGCUAAUUCAUCAAUCGUACCUUAUGAUUGGCCACCAUUGUGUCAACUAUUUUCCAAGCCUUUUAGUCCUUGUACAGUUCUUCUGUUCAUAUCUUACUCUAAUUUUGGUUCAAGCCCAUUCAUCAGUGAUUUAUGUAAUAUAUCUGCCUUAUGCUGCCAAUAUUCCAUAUCUCGUUCUCUUCCGUACCUUUCAUUUUUCUUUUCUUGUUUUGUCUCUGACUUUAUUGGGCAGGAAUUUGUUUUUAGAUAGAAGAUGGCAACCCCAGAAGAAAACAACAACGUGAAAACUCCCGAAACACAGCCCAACAAGCGGAGAAAAAAGAAGUCCAUCGUCUGGGAACACUUCACAAUAGAAACCGUGGGUCCUGGAUGUAGAAGGGCAUGCUGUAAGCAGUGCAAGCAAAGUUUUGCUUAUAGCACUGGCUCAAAGGUCGCUGGCACCAGCCACCUCAAACGUCAUAUUGCGAAGGGCACCUGUCCUGCUAUUCUACGUAACCAAGACAAGAAUCAGAUCACACCAUACUCUGCACCUGGAAGAAUGGGUUCCGAUCCUCCUAAACGUCGCUAUAGAACUUCUGCUGUCUCCCUCAUACCUUUCGACCAGGAUCGGUGUCGCCAUGAGAUUGCUAAGAUGAUUAUAAUGCAUGACUACCCACUUCACAUGGUUGAGCAUCCUGGGUUUGUGACUUUUGUCCAGAACCUUCAACCACGGUUCGAUCUGGUCUCUUUUAAUGCCGUACAAGGUGACUGUAUAGCAACUUAUCUAUGUGAAAAGCAAGGUGUGAUGAAGUUCAUCGAGGGAAUGCCAGGACGAGUCUGCCUCACUGUCGAUAUUUGGACUUCUAGUCAAAGUUUGGGUUAUCUAUUUCUGACUGGCCAUUUCAUGGAUAGCGACUGGAAGAUGCAUCGCAGGCUUCUCAAUAUUGUAAUGGAGCCGUUUUCGGCGUUAAGUCAUGCAGUUGCUACCUGUCUUGCUGAUUGGAAUCUGGAGAGUAAAUUGUUUUCUGUUACUUUUAAUCAGCCAAUGACUGAAGCAGCACGUGAAAAUCUCAAACCUUUUCUUGCUAUCAAGAACCCUAAUAUUCUUAAUGGUCAAUUGUUGAUCAGCAAUUGUGUUGCACGUACCUUGACUGCUGUGGCGAAGGAUGUACUUGGGGCAGGGGAAGCAAUUAUAAAGAAGAUACGGAACAGUGUAAAAUAUGUGAAGACAUCGGAGUCACACGAGGAAAAGUUCAUUGAUCUCAAGCAACAGCUGCAAGUUCCAAGCGAGAGGAGCCUUUCUUUAGAUGAUCAAACUCAGUGGAACACAACAUAUGAAAUGCUAGUGGCUGCUUCAGAACUGAAGGAAGUUUUCUCUUGCUUGGAUACCUCAGAUCCGGAUUACAAGCAAGCCCCGACCUUGGAAGAGUGGAAGCAGGUGGAAACCCUCUGUACCUACUUAAAACCUGUUUAUGAAGCAGCAAGUACUCUUACAACUCCUUCCGGCCCUACUGCAAUUACAUUCUUUCAUGAAGUGUGGAAGAUUCAAGCAGAUCUUGCUCGUGCAGUCACGAGCGAGGAUCCCUUCAUCGCUGAUCUUACCAAGCCGAUGCUUGAGAAGAUCGAUAAAUACUGGAAGGACUGCAGCCUGGUUUUGGCCAUGGCUGUGGUCAUGGAUCCUCGGUUCAAGAUGAAGCUUGUUGAGUUCAGUUUCACUAAAGUGUUUGGUGAAGAUGCUCCGAAUUAUGUGAAGAUAGUUGAUGAAGGCAUUCACGAGCUGUUUCUCGAAUAUGUUUCACUUCCAUUGCCUCUGACGCCCACUUAUGCAGAAGAGGGGCAAAAUGGAAACAAGAUGGAGGAAUCACCUCAAGGAGGGCAUCUUCUGACAGACCAUGGUCUGACUGAUUUCGAUAUGUACAUCAUGGAAACUAGUGGCCAGCAGAUGAAGUCGGAACUGGACCAGUAUCUGGAUGAAACUUUAUUGCCCCGAGUGCAAGAGUUUGAUGUGUUGGGGUGGUGGAAGCUGAACAAGCUGAAAUACCCAACCCUCUCUAAAAUGGCUCGUGACAUCCUGUCUAUCCCAGUGUCUACUGUUCUUCCUGAUUCUGUAUUUGAUACUGCACCUAAGGAGAUGGAUAAGUACCGGUGUUCCCUGCGACCCGACACAGUGGAAGCCCUUUUGUGCACUAAGGACUGGCUACAGUACGGCUCGUCCCAGAUAUCAAACGCCCUUGUGAAAGUGGAAAUGUAGGUUUAGGUCUCAUCUCAUUCUGGACUUGUGCUAAAAUCUAGGUUUGAUAGGUUGUAAUUUGGCUCCCGGAAUACCACUUUGCCAUUGAGUGGAUUGUUUAGAAUUUAGAUGCUUGAUCGUUGAACCUCGGUUAGUUCACCUUACACUCUUUAACUCAAUACUUUCUGCAACUGGAGAUGCCUCUCAGGUGUAAACUUUCUUACCAUUGAUUUGCAGUAGAUUGAGUCUUAGCUUGAAAGCAUGCACUUAAAGCACAGGAGAUAUCAGUUGUGUACUUUCAGCUUUGAACUAAUGCAUUCCCUGAGUCUUAUUGGGUGCUCCGGUGCAUGUAAGCCUAGUUCACCGUAGUCUUCAGAUAUCGUCGAUCUCGCAUUGGACUCACUAAAAUAAAAACUUGCGUUUCUCUAGGCUCACAUCUCUGUUUGAAGGUGUAUUUAUAUCAUGAAAAAUAAAUGACUUGGAAAAUAUUUUUUCUGAAAUUGAUUGCUUAUAUCGCAUAUAAAGUUUAGUAAUCAAGAGAUAUUUUUUAUUAUUUUAUUUAAUACAAACGAUCAUUUUAAAGGAAAAUAAUUUUUUAAAUUAUUUUGUUCACGAAACUAAUGAAUCAAACUAUGGAGUUGAUCAUUUUAAGUACUGAGAUAAAGAUAAAAUGUUACUUGAUAAUAGUCGAAGGUUGUGCAUUGAAUAGUAAUCUUUCCUACUAAAUAUAGAAUUGUAAGCACAUCUGAUUAGUUUUUAGCAACGCAAUAGGCAACACCUUAUUUCCUAUGGAUAUUUUUUCUAUUGAAUGAAUUCAGUCAUCUUUUGACUUUAUUGAAUCUUUUUAGUCGAAAUAAGUAAUUGUUAUCAAACGUGCUUAAUUCUGUUAAGUGCAGAUAUCAAACCCGCUCUACUAAAAAAUUCUAAGUUGACGUUCUAAAAAUUUGAAGAAAAUGUAACUUGAAAGUAAAAAUCUUAUCAAUUAUCAAAUCUUGUCAACAACUAUGCUGAGCAGUUAUCAAAUUUUAUCAGGAUUCGUGCGGUAGACGUAGGAUAACUCAAGUUUCAUACCAACUUUUAUCGGGUAGUACAAUAGUGAUGGGUUCCAUAAAUGAGUAUAGUUAUGACUUGAACCGAAUAUUUGACUAUAGGUGUAGAAUUCGAUAAAAUGCCUAGGGGGAUCGUCGAUAUGGGUCACCUCUUCUCGCCUUUCCUUUUAGUAAAAAUAAAAUUAAAUGAGAAAUUAAAAUGCUAUUUCUUUUGUGAUGUUCCUUGUUCGAAAUAUCCAUUGUUUUGGGACAAGUACGAAUCAAGUCCACCAUAUCUUAGCUGUAUUGUGAUUAUCAACAAGUAAUUGGAGACUAGGAGAUAGAAAACUGCUUUGACAAGGUUGCUAAAAAAGGUUGGUUAAAUUGGGGGAGGAGUCGUUACUUAUACAUUACAUAAAAUAAUAUCGGCCUGAGGUCUUGAUAUUAAUUGUGGCCAGUAAUUGUCGUGAACUUUUUAUUUUUUUAAUUAAUAAAAAGAAUGGAAUGAGCGGAUUAAUGCAAGCAACUGCUCCUAGCACUACCGUAAGAGUUUCAUACUUGCAAUAGUAAUGUUCAUAUAGAACCAUUAUUAUUAUUCAUCUAGAGUGGCCCCGUCCAUCAUCGUACCAUCGAAUGCAAGUUGUGAUUCGUUCCGACAUUAUCCCAUACUUGAUGCACAGAUCGAUCCUACCUCUCAAAUACUUACCAUAGUUAAAUCUAGGUUGUUGAUCUUACAAAUAUGGCAAGUGUUCGAUGUUGUACUUAGAUGAACAUUAAAUUUCAAAGGGAAAUUAACACAAAUGAUCUCUGAAUUUUAACUUAAUAUGUAAUAUGAUCCAUGAAUUUUAAUUUGUUCAAUGUGACCAUUGAAUUUAACCCAACAUAUAAUGUCCUCCCCAAACUUUCAAUUCGUAAUAAGGUUCAAGAAUCUCUAAUUUAUUCAAUGUGAUUCAUGAACCUUUAAUACAUAUUCAAUCUAGUCCUUAUUCUAUAUAAAAACAUCCAUUAUUAUUUAUAAAUUUAAUUAAAUAAAAUGACGACAUUAAAUAUUUUUCAUGAAAUUUAGGGAUUAAUGACGAAAUUAUAUAUUAUAUUAAAUUCAAAAAUCACAUUAAAUAAAGUAAAUAUUUGUAGACUAUAUUAUAUAUUUAGUUAAAAUUUAUGAACUAUUUAUAUUAUUUCUCAAUUCCAAAAAAAAUACUACACGAGGUGGAUGACAUAAGCCUGUGUUUAUUUUUUAUUUAUUGUUUUAUUUCAUCGUCACGCCUGUCGCGACGAAACGAGGCGAGAAAACGAGAAAACCCGACCCGCUCAAAUUCGCCCCCCAACGGAGCUCCGCCGCCUCCCUCCGCCGGCGAGCCGCUCGCCCGCCGCUACCGGAAUCGUCUCCCCGAGGCCGCUGGAGCCUCUUCGGCGGCGUAGCUCCCGUGAAGGCUCCUCACCGACAGAAGCGCGGGCAGCCGUCGCCGCGCUCGCCGGCGCAAGAGCGCUCGUCGCUGUUCCGGCCCCGUCGAAGACCCGGCCGGCAUCUGACCCGCGAUGGAUCUCUCCCCGUUCAAGCAGGACGUCGACGAGCUCAUCAACGAGUUCGCGCAGGUAAAUACUUCGGUUCCAGGAGCGGCUGUUCUGGUCUAAGCGUCCGUGAGGUGACGUGGGUUUUUACGUGCAGGGCGGAUCGAGGGCUUUAGCCGAUAUGAAGCGCAUAUGGAUGUCCAGGAAGUUCUCUUACAUCUACGAGGCGCGUCCUUCGUCCAACUUGACCUUCUUCAUGCAGACGCUCUAUUCUCAGUCAAUUGGUGAGAGAGUGAUCCUUAACUGACUCGAAAGCUUUCGCGGUUUUGGCUUGUGGGGGCGGGUGCGUCGACUUGUUUGGGGCGUCCAGCAUUGAGUCGAGGAAUGCUGCUUUGCCUGAUUGUAAUUUGCUUGAAUUCAAUUUAGCCAAAAAUAGAAAUAAAAAUCGAGACUUGGAUAUAAAUGGGGUGUUGAAAAGGCUUGCCUUUAAGCAAGUUGAUGACUCUAUUUGAGCAGUUUUACAUUGGAAGUGAUUGCUCUCUUUUGGGUGAAAAGAACUUUGUUUAGCGCCUUGGUGGUUUACAUGUAUGUGCCAUCUAAGUGACUUGAAAAAUUUAAGAACUACUAGCAUCUCUUGCAAGUUUACUUUAUAUUCACAAGACCAUGACUGUGGAUGGGGUCUUUGCAGGUCACAUGGUCAACUUGGAGUCCCUAUCUCGCCGGUUAGGUGGGCUGUAUUGCCUUUACUGUCUUUAUGAAACUCAACCAUUCAAACCUCCUUUCAGAAUCUAUCUCUCUCUGGGUAAGAUAUUCUGUUUCCGAUCACAUUGAUUUUACUUUUGGUGUAUCUUAGAGAAUUGUUUUCCGCGCUCAGUCCCUGCUAUUGUUUCAAGAUUCUGUUCUUACUUUGCAGAGGAAAAACGUAAACCUUUUCUUAGAACUUGUCUGUGUACUGAUGGCCAAGCUACUUCAUUAGUCUGGCUGAGCUGCUCUGUUUGACAAGCUUUUCAGUGUUAGUCUGUUAUGUUCUCCCCACUUUAGCCUUCGUAACUGAGCUUAGCAGAGUUCUAUAGGCGAUAAAGAACGAUAACCUGAAAGUAUAUGCACUCUGCACCACCAUAAAUUUAAGAUGUCCUUGAAAGAUUUUCAUUGACUUUUCCUAGUCAAUAUCAAUUAAAAUAGAACAGAAAAAUCCUUAUUCGUGGGACCUUAUGAAUUUUCAGCUUAAUACAUGUUAGCUAUGGCUUCUAAACUGAUCUAGGGAUCUUCACCUUCUUCUAUCCUGAACAAUGGAAGUGGGAGCUAGAUUUACUUUUAGUAUUAAAAUAGAUUUUCUCCUUACAAAUGGGGAUUUUAAUUGAAACAAUGAGUCAGAAACAAACAGUACUUUUGUCUCUUAGUAGCUUCAAUUUGAUUGUCCUCUUUGUGAUUGACUUUUUUUAUAGGUAAUUUUGUUUGUGAAUAUCCAUGUUGCGUCUGUUAAUAAUCUUUCUGGAAGGUAGGAUACGUCUAGCCCUAGGCAUGUUCUGUUCUUGAAAUCAUACAACUAGAGGGUUCAAAAUUCUUACCUUUUUUAACAUGUUCCUAGCUCACCAUCCAAGGAGUUAAGCAGCAUACAUGGUAUAGAUUUGAGCUCUUGUCAAUUGAUUUAUGGCAGUAAUCUUUGCUUCAGCUUGCUCUUCUUGCUACUUAAAGAUGUUCUACUAUCAUAUAGUGAAAUUCUAUUCGCUAGUCUUGUGUAGUCUCUUGCUCAUCAAUUUCUUGGAUACUCAUCAUCUCCAGAAGAAGCUGAUCUUGGAUUUUGAUUGAAUUGUCAAUUGAGUUGUUGUUUGGCUCUACCAAACCACCCCUACAAAAUUUCUGAAAUUGGAUUUUGAGUAGACCCCCCCGAAAGAAAUUACAUCGGACCCCAACCCUUCCUCCAAAAUGAAUAAUACUGGUCUUUAUGCUUCUGCUGUCGCGUCAGAUUUCCUAACAGAGUUUUAUUGGCAUUGGAGCUGCUCCACUGUCACGCCACAGUAUGAUGGAUAUUAGAAUGUGUUUAACCAUUAUCUCAAAUGGUUCAUUGCCUUCUUGGAUUAGGCCUAGGUUUCAAGUGUUUUUAGGAUAUUGAAUCCUACCAAGAAUUUAGGAAAUCGUAUCAUUGGGGGUUGGUUUGAUACUAAUAAUUAUUUCUAAGCUGGUGCACAAGGACAAAUCACUUAAGUAACCUUUGAUGCUUGAGUGCAAAAGAUUAGAUUGUGUCUGUUACCCAUCUUUGUGUCUGUCAAGAUGUCACUGAUGUUGGUCAGUGAAAGCUGUUUCACAUGGUCAUUGGUUUGAAAUUUCUCUUUCUUGAUACUACAUUCUUUCCUCUCUUGUAUUAUGAAUCUGUGUCAAUUGGCUUAGGCUUUGAAUGAUCAAGCAACUGUCUCUUCUCAGGCCAUAAAUUUGCUUAUCAUUCAUUUGCCACCACCUUACCUUUUUUUAAACUUUGUCGUAUGCUUAUGUAUGUUUCCUUCUAUCAGGAGAGCUGAAGAAUCUUAAGCAACUUGUUGCUAGUGCAAAAGUUGAAGGAAUAACAGUGGUAUCGCCUCUGGUUAAGAAAAUGCUAGAAAAUAACAUGUUUCUAUUUGGGGCUGUUGAAAUCAAUGAAGGCUCUAUUACAGAAAGAGUAAACCAACUUAUGGAACUACAGAAUGCACGUGUUCAAGUAGCUUAUAAGAAGUAAAUUACCUCACAGCUUCUUCUUUUUUUCAUUGUUAGUGAUUUUGUAAAAAGAUAAGAGCAUCCUCUGACUAUUAGUUGCAUAUCUUUAUACUGCUUCUGCAGGUUAUUUGCUAAUACAAGGAUUGAGCAUUUUCUCCACAUGGAUUUGGUAGCUAUAACUCCCUUUUCCUAACAAAAAGAAAAUUGAUGUCUUUAUUCCACGUCUAUGAUGUUAAAAAGGUGCACCCCUUUUGUUUUCAUAAAUGGCAGGGCACGGAAAUUGAUAUGGAUAUGAUCAAGAAUAUGUCAAACGAAUAUGCUGAGGCCAAGAAAAGAGCCAUUAAAGGUUCUCUCUCUCUCUCUCUCUCUCUCUCAUAUUCAUGAUUUUUCAAAACAUAAUAUUUUUAUUCAGAACCUUGUUUGGAGUAUACAUAUUGUAAAUCACUUAAAUAGGACGUUAUCCCCCGCGGAGUUCUAUUAGAUUAUGAGAGGAAGAAUUGGCUAGAAAGUAAAAUUUCCAGCAUGUCAUGUUAGUUUUACUAACUAUUCUAUUUCGAAAUAUAUCUAAAUUAAGAAAUUAGACAGAUUAGUUUGAGGUUAUACAUUUGAUUCUAGCUAAAAGACCGAGGAAGGUAUAUAUUUAAGUUAAAAGCCAAUGUCACUAUGUCUGGGGUACUUUAGUCUUCUUUUUUGUCCUAAUUAAUGAAUUAUCUGGUUACAUGGCUGUACAACAAACUUUCUUGUGGUUAUGUGGCUGUACUACAUCCUUUUGUGGUGGACAUGUAUAUUUCAAUUGGUAGAGCAUAGGGCUUUUAGUCUAGUGGUCGCCGUUUCAAGUCCUGCUAUACUAAAAUUUACCUAACUGAUAUUGCGUGUAGUAGCAUUCAAAGAUCACUCUCUGGCCUUUAUGUUUACUUUGGUGGGUGGGAGAGUAGCAGAAAUUUUCUAGGUGAAAAUCAAUCCCUAGUGCAUGACACCUGAUAAGCGAUGAAGGAUUUCUUCUUUCCCCCAAGCACUUUUCUUUCACUUAGUCAUCGAGCUUAGUUUAAAGGUCUGGGAAGAAGCUACUUGCCCCAAUACGAAAAUACUUCCUGGAUAGCGUGUGAUUCAUAGUACAUGUGACUGCCCUUUUUCCGCUCCUCUUGCUACAAGAACCUUAAAGUCUCAUUCUAUCAACUUUUCUAUAUGUAUAUUGGAUUAAUUAUCAUUCAACUACAAUGUGAGUUUGUUGCCUUUAUCUCCCUUUGAUCAAUUUUUUUGUGUCCUACUUAUUUUCUUGUUAUAGAGGCUAGCGAGGUGAUCGAUGUUCAGAACAUAGAACAUAUAGCUUUCGACAAGAAACCAAUUGGAGAUGAACUGACGAAGAUUGAGGAUAACUGGACUGCGCAGAGAGACAUGCUUUACCGCCAGAUAGGUUUCAAUCAGCAUGGUGGUGAAAAACAGCAACAUCAGCAAUUGCAAUUAGUACCGCAUCAGCUGGAGGAGGAACCAGAUGAAGCAGAAGAUGUAGACUUUGAGCAAGAGCUGGAACAGCUUCUAUCUCGACCUUAAUUGUAUAAUUAGGAGGAAUAGAUUCGUUCAAGGCACAGAAUUUGUGAAGUUGGAUGCUGGCCCUUCCAGCUUCCUAGAACUGCUUGAAGCGGUAUGUUCCGUUUGUGCUCGGUUUUCAAUUGACAACAUUUCAGCUUUCUAUGUUUUGUGAAUAGUAGGACCGAUUUCUUUAAUCCUGGAGGUCCUAAAUGUCACAUGCCAAUAUCUCAUUCUAAUGGUGAUUAAUAGCAGUAAAUAAGCUGUCAAAGUAUAAAAAUCGCUGUGAGAUAUAACUAUCCUUAAAUUUUUGUUAAGUACAUUUACUGUGCUUCAAACUUAUAGCAUCAAUGUCUGUUACCUCAGCCGUGACUGAAGUGCUCUGCAGUUUGCUAUGCCAGCAUGGGGUGGCGGAGGCUAGUACCAAAACGUGACUGUGUUGAAGUGUUUCUGAAGAUUUGAAGGUACAUUAGAACUUUGGCAGUGGAAGAGUAGAGCUUUAUCUUAAGAUUCUUUCAUGGUUGCUUGUGGUUUAUAUUCGUCCCAUUCCAUCUCAGACAACCUUCCAAAUAUCAACAAAUGAUUAAACAAGGUUGGAGGGUUAGGAACGUGUAGUAUUUGCAAUUUCAGAUAGUUGAAAAGAUCAGUAUCAUAGUUUUGUUUCAAGUUCUCUCAGAUUUGCAUCAAUUUUUUGUCCAGCUUUUUAUAAUUGCAACAAUAUGAGAUCGAUUGAAUUAUUUUGUUGCUAGAAAUGAGUUGCAUACGGAAGUACUUGUCUUCCAGACAUAGCCCUGUAAAAGCUUUCUAAUGCCUCAUUUAUGUGCUAGUGAACUUCAGAAGUUGCUCUAGAUACUUGGGUUAAAGGAAGAAAAGAAAAACUAACUAAAGUUUUGUUUAUGAUUUGGUUCAUUAACUGUCGCACACAGCAAGAGAAUCUAUCAACUAUAUGGGGAGGGGUUUUGUCUUGUGAUUUUUCGCUUUAGGAAAGAGUUUUUUUUUUUUUUUUUUUUUUUUGGUAAAAAAAAUAUUUUAAGGAUUGUUGAGAGUGGGAUUUGAACCCACGCCCUUUCGGACCAGAACCUUAAUCUGGCGCCUUAGACCAACUCGGCCAUCUCAACUUGUUGCUUUAGGAAAGAGUUAGUCUUGCACACAACUAAUAACUGUGGAUGUGGCAAUCCUAUCGGGCUUCAAUGCUUGGCGACAACCAUAGAUAACUGGGAGGAUCAAAUCUUUCCGAAAAAUGGCCAGGGGAUGGAAGUGGGUUGCAUACGGAGAGAGAAUUGCAAUUGGUAUCUGUAUGCCAGGGCAUCAAAGUAAGUGCUUUACCGAUAGACUCUAUGGUGAUUGUGCUACUAUUUACACUUCCCUUCUAGGGUUUGAGUCUCACGAACUCAUCACAUUUUGUUGUUGUCAUUCUUGAUGCUCCGAGCAAGUAAAGACUCACACUCAGUUGGGGAGAUGCGAGGGACUGAUUGUGCUGGUUAUCAUCACGAUCUGUUGCAUUGCCGGAUUAGCUGAAUCUGCUAGUUACACAAACCAAGACGCCGAAAAAAGCGGUACUUAAGGGUGCGCACAUGACAAAAUUUCUAGCAUAGAAAUUGAUUUCUGGCUAAAAAUUGAUUUCUCAAUUUCUAUUUCAGAAACUGAGAAGUUAAAAAUUUUAGCUUCUGAUUUUUUCUUCAAAUCUAUUUCUGGAAUAGAAAUCUGUUUCAGAAAUAGAGAAAUCAAAUUGCGUUACCAAACGGAUUUCUGUUCCAAACCUAUUCCGGGGAACAGAGAAAUCAAGAAACAUAAAUUUUAUCAUGCGCAGCCAAGUGAUCUUCCUGAGCAUGUUUCUCCUAGUGUAUCAUUUGACAUUCUCUCUUCAGCACACUACGAAACAACUCGUGUCAUGGUGCUAGGCACACUUGACAGGAGAUCACAGUUCACAAAAGCAAUUUGGGAGACGAUGGAAUGGGAAAAACAAAUCAUUAAUCUAGAAAAGAGCUGCGAAUCAAAAGAGAAGAAUUAGGUGAUAAUCUUUUCCACCUGUCUUUUUGUCGACGGCAUUAUUAAAGCAAGCAAGCGUGGGCCGCCUUUUCUUAUACAAACAUAAAUAGCCUUAGUGCCUAAAAAUAUUGCAGUUUUGAGUGUACUGGUUAUCUUCAUGAUAUGUAUGAUCAGUCUAUUAAUUCGAUAUUCCUCCAUUAACUAUGUUUAAUAAGUGCCCUAGAGUGUACUUUUUAAUAAGACCUUUUCUUUAUUUUACUUAACACAAAUCAUCCCCUCAUUCUUGCCGAUUGCUACUCUUGCUACUACUAUUGCUACUCUCCGUGCAGACUUAAUUUUUUACCAUGUUGUGCUGAGCUUCAUGUGAACUUUUUCGGUUCUAAUCAAAUAGUCGAUAGACUUCCAGUUGUUUUGGCUACCUUCCUCAACGUACAGACUCAAAUAUACGAUUCAAUAAGAACUUGGAGUUGAACCUCGUUUUGUCUAUUAUUAUAUCCAUUAUAGCUGGUCAACAAUAAGUUGGAAAAGCUUUUCAAGUUUAUUUAAGGCUCCAGGAGAAGUUCUUGUCAAUAAAUAUUUUGCUUUUUUUGGGGCGUUUGGAUUGUUUGAGAAAAUGAUUUAACGAAAAAUCUUUUCAUAAUCAACAAAAAAUUUAUAUUUAGAUUUAGGAAUAUGACAUUUUUGGUUGUUGUAAAAUUCAGAAAUUAAUUUUCAAAUACAACUAAAUAUUGAUACUUAGGUACGGGCACCCGACACCUUAGCCUUGGUCCUUGACGAUUAGGCUUGGGAAUGGCAGCCAUGCUUAGAUUCCCGCUCGACCAAGCUUGGUUCCAUCGAGGUCAGGUCUGGCUCUAAAAUGGGUUAGCCUCAAUCUUUUGAAAUUGAGCCGAAGGUCUCAAUGCUUGUGCAUGGGUCUUAAGGGCCGUGUCUAUGUACUCGGCUCCUGCACUCGAGUUACCAAAUCUUGGGACAUCAAUGCUUGUGCCCAACCAACGGCUGUGCCCAACCCUCAUGUCCAAGUCACCAAUGCCUGGGCUUGGGUCCAAUGAGGCUGAGUUUGGUUCCUUGCCAAGCUUCACAAGGCUGGGUCUUGUUCCUCGAGGUCGAAGCUAAGACUCCAAUCUUGUUACAGGCCUUGAGGGUAGUGCUCGUGUACUUGACUCCAACACUCAAGUUGUUGAAGCCUAGGCUAUCGGUGCCUUUGCUCAGAUCUUGGCAACCAUGCUCAGCCUCCACGCCCAAGUCACCAUCCUUGGGCCUAGGUCCAUCAAGUUUGAGCCUAGAUCCUCAAAGGCCAAGCUUGAGUCCAUGAAAGCUAUAGUGCUAGUUACCUUGAGGUCGGGCCUUAUAUCUAGUAGUCAUUCUUGGAUCCCAACAGUCAUGUUUGGUACCCAAUUCCUACACUCGAGUCAUCCGCGCCUGAGCACAAUUCCAUCAAGAUUAGGUUGGGUUCCUCAACGACCAAGCUUGGAUUCAUAAAGGCUAGGCCAAGUCCCUCGAGGUUUGACUCCAAUGCUAGUCUCUCUCCAAUGUUAGUCUCUAAGGGCUUGUUUGGCAACUUGCCAAACAAUGAUAAUUUAUGUUCUUUUGUUCUUGGAAGUAAAUUUGGAACAGAAAGCCAUUUAGUAAAAUUUUUGAACAAAUUUCUAUUUUUUUUGUUCUCGAAAAUAGAUUUAGAACAUAAUCAACAAAUAAAAAAUACUUGAUUCUUUGUUCCCAGAAAUAAUUAUAGAAUCAAGCAACCUAUUUUAUCUCUUUUCUUUUCUUUUCUUUUCUUUUUUCUUGUUCUUCUUCUUCAUCUGCCGCCACCGCCGCCAUUACCAUCUGCCACCCACUGCCGCUGGUUAUUGGCAACCAAUUCAAUGAGCUCAUCGAUGGCCAAGUGGGCCUUGCUCGGGCCUCCCUCGGCCAUCGGCAAGGCUCGCCCAACCCCACCAAGGGUUGGCGAUGCUUUGGUGAGGUCGUGGACCCUCGUCUGGCCGGUUGCCAGUUAGGCCAACGAUCGGCAACUUGAAGAAGAAGAAGAAGAGAAAGAAAGGAAAAGAAGAAAAAAGAAAAAAAAGGAAAGAGGUAAUAAAAUUAUUUGAAAUAUAAAUUUUGAGCACGGUGUUAAAUGUAAUUCUGUUCCGGGAAUUGAAAUUUUAGACAAUUAUCAAACGGCUUAAAAUGUUUAAAAAUUAUUCCCGGGAACAUAAACAUUUUCAAAUGUGCCAUAAGUACCUAGCUUUUGCACCCAAGUCACAAGCGUAGCAGUUGGGCCUAGGUCCACAAAGGUUAGGCCUAAGACCCUAGUACUCAUGCUUGGGUUGCCAAUUGCUUGAGUGUCCAACUAUUGCACCUAAGUCACCAACACUCAAGUUCAAUCCAUCAUUGUCAAGCCCAAGACCUAGGUUGUGCCCAAAUCACUACUCCCUAGGACCUUGACAGUAAAGCUUGAUCCCUUGUGGCUAAGUCCAGGUUUUGGGCACCCAAGCCCAACUACCCCAAGGCUAGCCCAAGAUCUAAGCAUCCAAGGUCGAGUUUUGUAAGAGGAAAAAAAAUUGUUUGCAAUAUAUAGGAGGUAUUUGUAUUAUGAAAAAUCAACUCGGGAAAAAUAAUCUAAUAUUUAAUGAUAUACUAAACGUAGCACCUAUAUCACAUGAAAAGUACAUGUCUCUUUACGAAAAUAAAUGCAAAUUUUCCUUACUAGAUAACAUAAAAGAAUUUUCAAUUUAUUUUUAAACUUCAACCAAACAUUGAAAGAUAGUCAUAUUCCUAGAAAUAAUUAUUUGAAAACAUUUUUUAGAAAUGUCAAAUUUUCCGUGAAAUAAAGAGAACAUAAGAAUUAAACUAUUUCCAGUUAUUUAUUUCAUUCUUACUUAUUGAAAAUGAAUCGGCCAUCAUGUUCAAUGGCUGAGGAAGCAUUAGUACCCUAAGAGGCCUAAUUAAAAGAACCACUAUUUAGUCAUCCAAAACAAUUGAAAGAAAAUACUCUUCCAAGGAAUUGACAAUACUGGCAAUGAUAAAUUUCUUUUUUGGUCGAAUGGGAAUGAUAAUUCACUCAGGGGAUUUUUUUUUUUUUUUUUUGCCAGUGGAAACCAAAGGAGACCUAAAAAAAAGUUCGAUGGUACUCGUUUCAAUAAUUUAAUAACAAUUAUUUUCAACCUUUCGUGAAAACAAUUGAAAAAAGAAAGAAGUUAUUUUCGAAGUUUUUAUCCCGAAUGAAGGAUCUGGUUGAACCUAUUAUUAAAGCGAAAACAUGCCUUUUAAUUUUGAAUUCACCAAAUCAAACGUGUUCUCAUAAUUCUAUAUUUCGAAUAAAUUGCUUUUUGAGAAAACAAGGCUAGAAUGAGCAAAACAAAUUUCAAAGGUUUUUCCUUUUCUUUUUAUGAUUAAUACCAUAAAAAAUCCUAUAUUGAUACACAUAUAACAAAUUUACUCAAAUCUAAUUUAUUUGACAAGCCAAAAUCCAAAAUCAAUAUGAUAAAUUUACCAUUCGUUAAUUUCCGUUAAAUUAGAUUAAAUCGCGAAAAAUUAUAAAUUAAUACACUUUCACAAGUUGAGGGCAAAACUCUAAAAUAGCACAUUCAUUAACUAUUGCGUAUAAUAAUUUAAUGAUAAAAUAUAACAGAAACUAACUAAGGGUAAAUGUACCAAUUAGUUUGGGUUAACAGGUGUAUCAAUUUAACAUUUUUCGUGACAUAAACUUUUUCUUUUCCCCUCUCCCCAAAAAAUGGAAAAUUGCAAAUAAUAAAAGAAAACGAAUUAAAAGGAAAAAAAAAAAAAAAACCACUAAAGUGCAUAAAAACCCAACCUUUCAUGCUCCCGCCAACCCCCAUCUCUGUCCCUGCUUGGCGCUAAAAAUUGCACCCCGCAUCUUCCCUCCAUCGUCGAACCAGCCGCAGCUCCGUCUCUUCGCGAAAUCCGCAAUCUUUCGAUCCUUCUCCGCCGUGACGAUGUCCGAUCCCUCCGCUGAGCUCGAAGAGCUCGCCCGGAUCCUCGCCUCCCCGGACGCCGGAGCCGGCAAGUCGCUCGCCUACUCCGCUCUCUUGCGUCUCCAAGAACGGUCGGUUUCCGACCCCGACGCGAUUCGAGCCCUCGCCGGUCGUUCUCGCAGUCUAGUCUCGCUGCUCGUCGGCGACGUCCGCGACGAAGACGAAGAAAUGUGGGUUUUCUUUUUCUUUAUCUCAGCUCGUCGUUUUCGUCAAUUUUUGCAAAAAUCACUGCACUGCAAAUACCCGGCUGGAUCGAGCUUCAAAUUUGCUGCUUUCUCUCUCUCUCUCUUUGAAAUCAAGCGCCGUUUAAGGAGAAAGAUUGAAGUACUAAAGUUAUUGGUUUGGUCACGGUGUAUUUGUUUUCACAAUGUCUGAGAGCGAAUGAGGAAAUAUAAAGGUCUUUUUUUGGCUGGUGAAAUGUCUCGUUUCUAACUUUUCUUCGUUUUUUUUUUUAACUGUAGAGCUGUCCAGGCCAUGAAGUGCUUGGGUUUCAUGAUACAUCAUCCUGCGAUUCUUGCUUCCAUCCCAGGUGACUCUUCUUCAAUCUCCCUUUCUCUUUUUUUUUUUUGGAUGCUGUCUGGGAUGGAAUUAGAAUUUGUUUCUUGAAUGGAGAAAAAUGGCAUUUCUUGGUAUUGCAGUGGGCGUUGGUGGUGGAGUCUUGGAGUCGCUGGCUAAUGUCAUCAUCACUGCUAAAAUGAAGGUAGAUUGUGCUGUAACUCACAUAUUUAUAAUCGAAUUCUUCCCUCUCAAAGUUUUAAGAGUAAUUUCUCUUUCAUUGGCAUGCAGUCAGUAUGCAACCUUGGCAUGUGGUGUAUAUCUAUGCAGCAGUUUGAUGGGUCUCUGCUGAAUGCCCAUUUCCAGUCUUUGUUGAAAGCCAUCGUUCAUGCACUCGACAACCCUUUUGGGUCACUUUCAACGACUUUUGAGGCUAUUCAGGUAAAGUUUCUUGGGGCAAUUCAUCUUCACAGGGGAAGUUCUAUUGUGGAUUGUAUGAAAUCCACCAUCAUGUUUGUUCUACUCAACUGGUAUGCUUUAAUGAUAAACUGAAACUCAAUUACUUCUGUAGUUCCUUCUCCUAAGAAAAAUGGUUUCGCCAACCAUCACCAGCAAAAAGAAAAAGGGCCUCAACAGACAGAGCCAUCUCAAAUUGUCUCUUAGUCAACUACUUUUUUUUUCCCAGCCAAAUGGUCAACUACUCUUUUUGCCACCUAUAUUGGGCUCUGAAGUUAUUCUUAUUUCUAAGCACAGUAUGAGUGACUUAGGCAUUUUCAAUUAUUUCCUAGUUGCUCCUUCUAUCUCUCUUGCAUUUUAAAGGGAAUGAAAAGAACGUUGAGCUGAAACACACUUCAGCUUAAAUUGUUGCCACGUGGUGAGAAGUGGUCAAAACUCUUUUUCACUGAUAUUGGUUCUAAACAAGUAGAGCAUUUGAAUUUUUUAUGCACCUUUUGUGACUCCAUUGAUGUGUGCACACUGAUAGCGCUGCAUUUCUCACACUUCUCAGCAUGAUAAACACUAAUGAUUGAAGUAAAUGUUGCUGUACCUAAUAAACAACUAGAUAUAUAACCGACAUAGCAUAGCUCAUUGCAGUUUGGUUUUGAGAUCGUAAUGCAUAUAUUUCAUUGAAAAUAAAUAAAUUGUACAACCAGUUUUCCUAAUUAACUAAAUCAAACAAUGUAUUUAUGAGAACAUCAUUUCUUUCAUGCUAAUAAGUUUGAAGUUCCUUUAUAAGACGCCAGAUUUAUGCUAUACUGAUGUUACAAAUAAUUUGCAUUCUCUCUUUCAGGCUGUAAUGAAAAUAGCAUCUCAGCUUGGAGAAAUGAUGAGAGCCUCAUCACAUAUAUGGAUCCCUCCCUUGUACAGAAGACUUCUAAGCACUGACAAGAGAGAAAGGGAUAUGACAGAACGGUGCCUCCUGAAGAUAAAGUCUAUAAUGCUUCCACCUCCACCUACUCUAUCCAAGGUACUUUCUGCAGCUCUCCAGAGUUGUCAAGUCUCUUCCUCUUUCAAUGUAUCACUUUGACACAGUAUGCUGAUGGUAAAAUGGACAAUUCAUAAAGUUAUUGCCAGUGUUUAUUCAACUGCAAUAUUAGAUGAAAGUACGAACAAAUCAGCAACUCAACACAUACGAAGCUAAUUUCAUUCAAUCUAGCAUUUCUCUUAACUCAGUGCAUUUGAUAGCUUUAACUAAGGUUGGACGUGAAAUGGAAAACUAAAAUAGGGCCAAUAUAAUCUGGUGGUCCUGUUUAUAAAAAAAUGUGACCUGGCACAUGUAAUUGCUGUGAGAAGGAAGACAUGAGAUGCGAUGAUUUCAAUUUCUCAUCACAUGCAGAUCAAUAUAGGUAUAAGGUCUGAGUCUCAGAGCCAAUACGAUAAGGUCUCUAUAUUUAUAAUGUUACUCCCUUGAACAGAGCGGACUGAGUGAUAGACUGACAGUCCACUCUGUUUGCCGGAGACAAAUAUGUGCAGUUAGUCUUCUUUAUCCAACAUUAUUAUUUCAGAAUUCUGUAUCGAAGAUAGUAUUGCUUGAUUGUUACCAUAAAAUUGUUCUUCAUACACACAAAAUGUGCUUAGUGUGACAAUUGCAAUAUUAAGAAUGUUGAAAUUUUACUUGACUUAUCAACAUGUGGACAAGGGAAUGCUCUGAACAGUAAUACAUGACAGAGAUCUCUCUCUUUCUCCAAGUUUACUUUGAUGAAGUUUCAAGGCACAAUGUGCUGUUAUGACAACCUGCAGCUUGACAUGAAGCUUGUAUGCUUUGUUCUUGUAUACUUUCAAACUAGGUUCUUGCCUUAGAUAUGAAAGAAAGAUUGCUUGUAAGUAUGAAGGAUAUGCUAGAGCAAGGUUUCAAGGUCCAAACUGUACGAGCAUGGGGCUGGUUCAUUCGUUUAUUGGGGGAUCGUGCUCUUAGGAAGCGUUGUUUGCUAAAUGAUAUGCUGAAAAUUCCUGAAUUGACCUUUUCCGAUCAGGACGUGCGAGUUCAGAUUGCUUCACAGGUACUUCCCACUACUGUAAUUCAUUCUCUUGUACUAGCUAUUUUAGUUACUGUAACCUCAUACAGAUCACUUAGAAUAUUCAGGGAAGUUCUAUGGCUUAGUAUGGAAAAACACGGAAACGUUCUCGUUCAAUAUGAGCCGUUAAAUUAAGAGAGCAUCAGUUUUGGCCCUGGGAUGGUUUUGAAAAGAUAAUAGUUUAUGAGCAUUUAAAGAAAAAUUAUUCAUUAUAGGAUUGUUGAUGAUAUUGUUGAUCAAGGAAGAAUAGAAACACAUGGGGGAACUUACUUAUAGAUAAGGGCCCUUGAACUUAUGAAUUGUAAAGGAGUGUUAUGCAUAUUGGGGCGAGUUGUUAUAUUAGGAAUAAAAAUUGUGAGCAAUUCAGCUUGUUUGCAAUUUUUGAAGGAAAGUUGCAAUCACUAGGUUAUUCAACCUUUUGAGACUUUGAGGUAAAUUUCUCCAUUUGAAGGAUGGUUACUAAUUUAGCAUCUACGUGGACUUCCAGGAAAAUUAUCAUUAUUGAGGACAAAGUACCGGUGCCAUCACUUUAUGACAAUUUUAGGUGUAUAACUAUCUGUUGAUUAAUUACUAAGUGAUCAUGCUGGGAACUCUAUAUUCAAAUCACCAUCUAUAAAAACAAAUUAUUAGUUAUAAAUGCAACAUAGUUAUAACGAUUAUAAAGUUCAAUUACUUCUUGUCCAUGUGACUUGGGAUGAUUUGGGUAAAUUGCAACAAAAUUAGGAAAACUACUGCUAAAAAUAGAUCUGAUCCCUGUCUAUGCCUAUGGGACCUUAGAAGCACCUGAAUAUUUAACUUCAUGAAGAGUGAACCAAACAGUUUUCCUGCAAGAUAUUAUCCUCAUCCAUUAGAUAGUGUGAUCUUAAAAAUACUCUGAAGGCAGUCCUUUGUUAUUGAUUAUUUUAAAUGAUACCACAUUACUUAAUAUAAAGAGAGAAGUUCAUCUAGUUUUAGUAUGUAUGCUGUAUCGGUAUUAUCACAAAGCUGAUUAGAGAUCUCACAACAAAUAGCAAGAGAGAAAGAAGGAAGAGAGAAGGAAUAGAGAGGAGGAGAAGGAGAACGUAAAAGAAAGAAACAAAGAGGGGGUUGUAGAUUUCUGUAGUAACAGAAACCCUACACCUAUUGUGUUUAUAUUAAAUAUAAAUUGUAUAUGACCAUAAUACCCUUAUGUAAAUAAAAAAGAAAUAAAACUUUGAAAAUAAAAAGAAACUCAAUUAAAGUAACUUUAACACUCCCCCUCAAGCUGGAGCAUAUAGGUCACCCAUGCCCAAUUUGGAAUAACCAGCAACAAAAGCAGGAUAAAAUAAUGCUUUGGUGAACAUAUCAGCGAACUGAUUUCUAGAGGCAAAGUAAAGAGUAGCAACCAACUUCUGCUUUACAGCUUUACGAACAAAAUGACAGUUAACUUUUAUAUGCUUAGUUCGCUCUUGAAAAACAGGAUUCCCAGCAAUAUAAAUAGUUGCUUGAUUAUCAUGCAUCAUAUCAUAGUUGAUUAAUUGAAAAUCCAAGCUCCUGAAGAAGAGAUAAUUGAAAAUCCAAGCUCCUGGAGAAGAGAUUUCAAUUACAACAAUUCAGCCACAGUAUGUGCCAAGGCAUGAUAUUUAGCCUCCGCACUAGACCUGGCAAUGGUAGUCUGUUUCUUGCUUCUCCAAGGAACCAAAUUACCACCAAUAAAGGUGCAAUACCCAGUCGUAAAUUGUCGAUCAUAUGUUGACCCAAUCCAAUUAGCAUCAUAAUAGCCAACCAGAGUGGAAGAACUGUUAGGUUUAUAAAUUAGUCCCUUACCAGGAGAGCUUGGGACCAUAACAUAAUGGAGGAUCCAUCAAAUAGACCUUCGGCAUUAAUAUAGACCUUCACAGCUUGGGUCCAUAACAAGUAAUUGGAGGAUCCAUUUAAUUUAAUAGUGGUAAUUUAAACAUUGACACUAUCUGUAGGAGCCUUAGUAUCACUCAUGACGAUAAUCUCAAUAUAAAUAUAUCUACCACUAAUCAAGAAGGCUGAGACUUUAAUGCAAGAAACAAAACAACAACACUAAUGUAUAAUCAGAUGUAAUUGAUUCCAUCAAUUAACCAAAGGGAUGCCAAACUCAUAAAUAUAGACUGAUGUAUAGAAGAAAAUAUAUGACUAAAAAUCUCGAUUUAAAUAAUUAUAUGUUUGACGGAAACCAAGCAAGACCAGUCAACCAUAAUGACAACCAUAAUGAACGAAGUACUCUGAUUCUUGAAUCCGCUGAUCAAUAAGUGUUGUAAUCCAUGUUCACAAACUGAACCUGAUGAAUAUGAUAUCUUCUUAUCUCAUAUGUAUCAAGACUUGAAGAAAAAAACAGAUAAAAAUUGCAGCUUUAGGUGGCUGCGCACCAGAGAAGAAGUAGGGUUACUAGAGGACUCUCAAACCAGCAAUAGGAUCAAGUAAUCAGGUAAUUAAACCAGGCUCUGAUACCAUGUCACAAAGUUGAUUAGAGAUCCGCAGCAAAUAGCAAGAGAGAAAGAAGGAAGAGAGAAGGAAUAGAGAGGAGGAGAAGAAGGAGAACGUAAAAGAAAGAAACAAAGAGGGGGCUGUAGAUUUCUGUAGUAACAUAAACCCUACACCCAUUGUGUUUAUAUUAAAUAUAAAUUGUAUAUGACCGUAAUACCUUUAUGUAAGUAAAAAAGAAAUAAAACUCUGAAGACAAAAAGAAACUCAAUUAAAGUAACUUUAACAGGUAUAGGUCCAGAUGUAAUCUGGAUUUAAACCACUGUGUUGCAGCCUCAAUGGGUCCUGAUAUUGCAGUCAUAAAACUUAACGUUAUUGUUAGUUCCUAUUGAUAGGUGACCACUAAACAGGUAAGAUCGGCUCUCCAAUUCCAUCUUCAUCAUUCAUAUCAGGGCAUUGUAGGCUCAUUAUCAUGAGAAGCUUAUUCUUCCCUGAUAAAUGCGGAUCACAUUCUUUUUUCCCUCUCAGUUUGCAUGGGAAGGUAUCAUUGAUGCUCUUAUUCAACCUACAGUUCAAGCUCAAAGAUCCAACACUACCAAGGAGAAACAAAUGCAACGUACCAACAAGUCUAGAUUUGAUACUGAUGACUCCCUGUCAAGUGGAUUUUUAAAGAGCAUAAAGCUUAUAAUGACUCCCCUAAUUGGCAUCUUUUCAAGCAAAAGCGAUCUUUCUGUCCAUUCAUCUUGCUUUAACACUUGGUGUUAUUUGCUACAUAAACUUGACAUUUACGUCAAUCAUCCAUUAGUCAGAAAUCUGGUAUUGGACCCUGUCUUUGAAGCUGCUUUUCACAGUGGACCCUUGAUUAUGAGAACAUGGUUUUGCAAUUUGUGUCUGGAUCUACUUGAUGAUUCUAUAUCUGCAAAGUUGGGAAUUGAUGAGAAGGAUUCAGAUGAUCAGGUAGGCCAAAAUAUGAGUAAGACACCAAACCAGGGAAAUUUGAUAUCAGGCAGAUUCUCGUGGAAUCAAUACCCAAUAAAAUGGCUGCCUUGGGAUCCUUGUCAGUUGGAUUUUUAUAUACAAGUGAUUCAGACAAUCUGUGAAGUGUCAAUAGCAUCUGUCGCCCAAUCCAAUGAAGAUCGAAGUUUGACUUGUGAUGCUGCUUUAAGGAUGUUCAGAUCAGUUUUGAAAUUAGUUCAAAUGGAGUUCAGGAGUCCAUCGACUAAUUAUGAUGAUAUUAUGUGGAUUUUGAAGCAAAUACUAAUGUUUGUGAAGAAGAUAUGUGAAGACGCUAACUUAGGGUGCGGGGACAGAAAAGGGACCAGGUCAUAUCAUACUUCCUUCCUGUUUAUACAGGCUAUAUUCGAGCAGCUGCAACCUUCUAUUCUUGGAUCUCCUCUUUACAAGAUCCCGUUGGACUUGAAGUAUGUUGAAAAUUGGGAAUCAGUUGAUGACUUUAGACGACCUCUUGAUAUGAGAGAUAUAACUUACAUGGAUAUGGUUUCUCCAGUAGUUUAUUUGAUUGUUCUAUACCAUGUGGUGAUUCAGUCUCAUCUAGAUAAGUCCAAAGCAGAGGCAACUCCAUGGGGGUCAUGCAAAUAUAUGGAGAUAGUAUUGUCUUCUGAUGAUCCAUCAGAGAAUCUUGCUCUUAUUAAUGCUUUAUUGUAUAAACAUGCAAAUUUUAGCUGCUUAGAAUUAUGGUCAGCUGUAGCAGGUGGUCUGAAAGAUCACAUGAAUGCUGCAAAUGACCCUUCAUUGGUACAGAAGGCUUUUAAUUUUUCAACAAUUAUACAUCUCCUGUCCUAUCCAUUUUAUGUCUAUUCCCAUCAAAAGGAAAAGAUAGUCGACACAAAUGCUGCAGACUCCUCAGGAGAAUAUCAUGUUUCAGCACUAAGAAAGCCUGAAGUUAGCCAUCUUAUUGAAGAAUGGAUCUCUCUUUAUGGUUUUGUCAGCACAAUGGAUAUUCAGCUUCCUGCUCCAAAUACUUUCCAUGGAUUAUUGUGUUCGAUUUUAAAUGAUUGUCUUCAAGGAAAUACUUCUAUGCUUGAGCAUGGCAAUGAUCUGGGAUCAAGUUCAGAUAAUCCAGUAAUCGAUUUUAUUUCUUUCUACGGCAAUCUUCUGACAUAUAUCGUGGAACAGAAUCUGAAAAGUGAAGUGCGUAUUGAUGGAAUCACAGCUGGGUCAGAUAGUGUCUUGCAUUUUGCAGCAAAGUAAGUUCAAACAUCUCUCAUUGCAUAUUAGGUUGAAUAUCGAACCAACUCUUGAUGUGGUACAUCAGAGUGGGGACCCAUUUAUGUAAGUGUUCAGUCAGCCCAACUAUCUUUCUUUGGUUCGCAUAGGUGCAGGUAUGAUGUGUCUAUUUGUGUAUGCUUCCCUUUGCAAGUUAAUUGUUGAGGAUCUACGUUCAUUGAAAGCAAGCCAAGUGUAAUUUCUUCUGGGAAAUCUACAUGGCAAUGUCUUGUCAGCUUCCUGCUAAAUUACCUAGCUGAUUGAAUCAAUGAGGAGUUCACUUUGUAACUGAAAGCUUGGCAGAUUUCUUAUUUUCUGUGAAAAAUGAUUAUCAGAGGUUUCAUCGGAUGUGUUUUAUAGUUUUUGAACAUAUUAAAUCAUGAGACUGAGGUGAUCAGACUAGGCAAGUGCCAAAGCUGGAUGUCUUGAUUGUGAAUACUGAUUGUGUUAAAGUUAAAAAUCAAUCUGACUUAUUGUGAUUUUUGUUCAUUUUGUAUAAGUCGCCCUCUAAUAGGAGAAAUAGCACAAGCAUACAUCUAGCUCUUAUGGAACAUGCGAUCUUUCUCUGAUUCAGGCCUUUUUUUCUACUUUCACUGGCAUAAAAUACUAUGACAGUUCUCAUUUAUAUAAUUGUCUUAGUGCAGUGAAUUGUGACGUUUUUGUUUUUCUUACUUUACGUCGAUGUUUUCUCCUAAAAAGAUCCUUAUUCACAUAGAAUAUGUGAUAUUGUAGAUUCAUGGAAAUGUCAAUGGCAAAGGCUGAAUCGCGAACUCUUCUUGUUGUGAACUCAAGGUAAGGACAUGCCGUAGCAUAAUUGGGAUUUUCUUUUCAUUUUACUUAUUUUAAGUGUGGCAGGGUUUUUCACUCACUGGGAGAAUUAGCCAGCUGUCUUCAUUUUAAGCAAGAUAUACUUUUGUUUGUCAAGGUUGGUAUUUUUUUCCUCCAUAUUGUCCACUAUCUUGUGACACAUGUUUGAGAUUUUAAGGAGAAUAGUUUAUAAACAUUCUUCUCUUACUUUUUUCUUGGAAUUAGUCUCUAUCUGGUCUUUCAUAGUGGAGAAGUGAUGAAUGCAAGGUUUAGUGCGGUCACUAUAGGCCAGUCAUCCCCUCAACUUGACCUGGUUUUAGUCGCACUGUCCUUCCCUUGCCUUAUGCACCAAAAAUCAAAGGCGCUAUUCCCAAGCAAUUUAAACAGUAAAUAGGAAGAAAGAAGUUAUGUGAGGGAACUGUCAUGUGUGCGUAUCAUUCCUGGACUUCACUAGGAGCAGAUGAUAUGCAGUUUUAGCAUAGUGGAAGCUUUAUGGCUGUGGUGCAAAACUCCAUUCGACACCAUUUGUUCAUUUACUUUUGCUAUUUAUCCAUCUGCAAACCUGCCGUUUUCUGUUCCUGUAAAGAUGGGUAUUUUCCUGACCUUUGCUGUUACGAUCUACGGUACCGAAUUAGUAUUUCAUUGUGUACCUUCUGCUGCAGGUCAUAUCUCCUCAACUGCUUCAAGGAUUGUCACUCAUGGAAACAGAAUGGAAAAGCAUCUCCAAUGAAGUGCAGUUCCUAUGGAUUGAGACACUUAAUUGUUCGCUGAGGAGUCGGCCACCUAUCACAUUUGAUUCCUCCCAUCUGAAAAUCCAAGCAUGCCUCCUUGAGAAAACCCUUGAUCACCUGAACCCUUCUAUUUCGAAUCCAGCCAUUAGCUAUUGGAACUCGACAUAUGGCAAGCAAAUGAAAUUGGACUACCCUCCAAGGUUGCUUCAUGUUCUGGACAGACUUUCUAGAAGUGGCAGAAUAUAUCUUCAGAACAGAAGCCUAUCAUUGCUCGAAAGGCGUAAUGCUUUAGCAGAGCCUCCGCAGCGAUACAAGGUAACGUCAACACAUAACAGGACUACAAAGAGAGUCUGGCCAGUAGAGGUUCCUGAGAAUCAGCUUGAGCACAUGAAGGAACUGUCGCCCAAGGUCAAAAGAAAACGGUCAGAACUAACUGAGCAUCAAAAGGAAGUAAGGCGAGCGCAGCGGGGAAGAGAACGGGAUUGUGGAACUCACGGCCCUGGAAUACGGACUUACACCAGCGUUGAUUUUUCACAAGGCAAUGAUGAUUCACAGGAGAGUGACAUCCAGAAUCAAGAGUCCAUCUUGGAUGUGCUACGGAGAGCUUAUUGAUUCUCUGGUGAAAGGGAUACACGUUUACUGUAAAGAAACGGAUCUCUCCUGUCCAUUCCUGCUGUAAUUAUGCUGUGUUGAACUGUGAAAAGUAAAUUAAACCUCUGUACACAGUGAAAACACAGUGCUUUCGAGUCUCUUCGAUCCGUGUCGCGACAAGGAUCGUUUGUGCAUCGGCAGUGAGCAAUCGAGCGAACCCCAUUUUGUACCAACACGCACGUCUUUCUCAUUGAUUAACAUGAUUUUAUGUAUAGCAUUCAAUCACUUGGAUCAAACUUGUUCUCCCAAUUUUCAUGAUCAACAGAAGAAACUUCGAUCAUUCUCUCCUCUUGGAUGGUGUCAUGCAAAAUUCUAGUCCUUCAUGAGUUGAAAAUAUGGAUAGAUGGUCUAGCUUUUCUAAGCAAAGUAAAGGAAGAAGAAGCAGCAGCAACAGCAGCAGCUAAAGAUCAAUUCAAAAUCGGUUCUCCUCGAGAAUUAGUUGGUUUUCGGGUAAAGACCAUUUCGUGAAACGAAUCGAACGAGGGAUGUUGGUUCCCAUCUUCAGCAUAUCUAUCUUUUCUAAGCAAAGUAAAGGAAGAAGAAGCAGCAGCAACAGCAGCUGCUAAAAAUCAAUUCAAAAUCGGUUCUCCUCGAGAAUUGGUUGGUUUUCGGGUAAAGACCAUAUCGUGAAACGAAUUGAUCAAGGGUUGUUGUUGGAUAUAUCAUUUAGGAACCUACUUGGUCUUCCAUGGACGACAUGAAACUAAUGAGAUAAGGCCUACCCGAUUCGAUUCGAUUCACUUUUCAGAUUGAACUGCCUCGAAUCGAACCAGCUUGUAGUUAAGAUGCUUACCUUACGUCUCUUUCAUUAACUCGCACUAAUCAUUCUCUCUCUCCCUUUGCGGGCAUGGCGCAAAUUCUCUUUCUUCUUCUUUUCUUUUUAAUGGGACCUACGCUCUCUUCUUUCCUGGCAGCGUGUCUUAAGUGGCAGUAGCCAAAAAGUAACGCACUUUCUGAACCUACUUCUUUUUCAUUUUCUUUUUUACUCCAAUUUCGCAAAAUUUUGCAUUAUUUCGUACGAAUACGGCGUGACAACUCUCAACUAGGUCAACUUUUUUUGAAUGUUCUCUUCUUCUCAAUAUUUCAUGAUAAUCGAUAAUUUUUUUUUAAUCAACUAAAUGCCUAGCUGAAAUAUUUUCAUUUUGUGGCUAUCAUCCCAAUAAUCAUUUCAAGAUUAAAUUAUGUCUGACAAUGUUUUAAUAUCUACGUAAUAAUUAUACAAUAAGCACCGCCACACAUCCUAUAAAAAUUAGUUAAAUUGUAUUUCAUGCCAAAUAGGACCAAAUAGCUUAAGCUAUGAAAAAAAGGGGAACAUAAUUUGCACUUACUUGUGUUAACUCGUAAGGUAUUUGGCGAAAAAAAUUCACCAGGAGUCUUGUGAUAAAUCAUUUAAUUUUCCUAAUUUUUUGCCCCGCUCAAUGUCCAUCCUAUGUCUGUCCCUGUGAAGGAUUGGACUUCUAGUUCUACACGUUUGGAAUUCAAUACUUCCGUCGAUUCCGGCAUCUCCCGACUUUAGGACUUCUGCAAUGUUGUGGUUAGUAGAUAGACAUGUUUUCACGACUACUUCGAAUAUUCUUUUUGUUGUUUCGAAAUAUUGGGCUAAUUUCGCUCGGUUUCUCAUUAGAUGGAACUACACGGUGGAACUGAUUCAAAAUUCCAUUUUCGUUUCAAGAACUUUCAGUUUUGAGAGAGUUUGAGCACCAAGUGAGGUCAAAUUCUUGAUUCCGCAGGUUUAGAAUUUUGGAAGUCAUCUAAUUUGCUUAUCCCGUUAGGCUUUUCUCAAAAUGUUUGAGAUCUAAAAAUGAGAACUAUUCCAAGAAAGUCAACCAAACAAUAAUCAGCACGAAAACUGAAAAAGAAUGGGUCAGCAAUGUCUUCAUUUAUGGAAUGCCCAGCGCAGUAUGAAUUUGCAAAGAGCAACGAAACUUGAUUUUGGAAUGGAGAGACCUUGCAAGAGGAGAGCCAUAGGGAACUAUUACAGGCAUUGUUUUGAUUGGUCAGGCGAAUUUGAUUACUCAAGAAAUGAGAUUCCAAUUUCUAAAGUUUUCCUGACCUACGUCCCCGUUGCUGAACUUGGGAUCCAAGAGGCUGGAUCCAGACCCACUCAUGAGCAGCCGCGUUGGUGUUCAUUCUCUCCUGCAACACUGUGGUCGAGAGUUCGUAUUCCCGUGUUGCUAUCGCAAUUUAAGUGGGGGCCCUAGCGAUAGGAUGCUGGGCUAGUCUCCUCGGAAGUUUUACAUCUAAAUAGCGGCUUGCGGCGAAGCCUGAUGGUGUUACUGAGCAUCGGAGGGUCGUGUGACCCUAAUUAACGUAAGCAAAAGGGGGCUCCGGCGGUUCCUGAAUCACCAAAGAGGCUAGGACCUCGGUGUCAAGGGUUGGGAUCUUGAGACUUGGAAUGGACUUUUUGUGAUGCCGAACCUAGGUAAGUUGAAACUAACACCCCGAAUCCUGAAUCUCCGCAAAGUGGGACUCGAACCUAGGACUUUGUUGCUAAACCCAAGACCUAGGAGCGUGGACUCAAAACUUUGGCUCCUGGAAUUGGGACUUUGAGAUGGAAAAGGCUAGACCCGAACCUCUUACAUAUGAAUUCAUAUCCAACAGCGACCCUGUUUGUGCCACAUCUGAGACCUAGGCGUUUGGACUCAAUACUCAUUCUUCACGUCUUUUGAGAAACUUGUGUAACGAGCAAAGUCUAGGUUUCCUUCCAAACACAAAAAUUGAGCAAUUGAAAUUCUAUUUCUUGAGUGAUCCAAUUCCACCUUAAACUAAACAAGACAGGAUUUCGUGCAAUAUGAAACCAAAGGAGGCGUAUAGUGAAUCUUGAACUCGAGAGGAUCAAAGAAUAUGAAAAAGGACCACCGGCCGUGGUGGCUCCGCUGGAUAAGGCCCUGCUGAUCAUCAGUCCAGAGGUGAAGAGUUCAAAACCUAGGGGAAGCACUAGGUGUAUUAAGUGUGACUCAGGGGUGGUGGGUUCAUAAACAGUGAGCAAAUGUGCGUAUUGAUGCAAGUUGAUUGGGGAAAAUAAAUGCUGAACAAGAAGAUCAAGAUCAAGUGGUGGCAAGUAUGUGAAUAGACGUGGUGGAAUUUCACCAAAAUCAAGUUGCUUUCAGAGUAGCUUGAGGGCCAUAUUCUACGACUAGUAAUUCAUUAGUUUUUCAAAUGGAUUCAUUUACAAUCGAUUAUUAGAUUGACUAACUCUUUGUAUAGCAAUGAAUGAGACAUAUCAAAAAAUGCUAAAUGAGUUAAAAAAGAAAAUUGCUGUGCUUUCUUUCGAUCGAUAAAUGCAAGUAUAGAAUAAAAUACGAAAAGGAUUCACUAAUGGGGUCCACUUUGAUCUAUCGUACCAUGUUUCUUUUUGUUAAAAAUAUAACGUUAUCAUUUCUUGGCCACGAGUGAAUUGACCAUGGAGGUAUGUUUUCACACUACUUUGUUUAUGAUAUUGAAGCGAGCAUUGCCAUAAAGUUGCUAUAAGGAAGUGCAAUUUUGAGACCAAUUUUUGAUUAAGUUGGACUUUAUAAAUAUAAUAAACGAUAAGAUUGGCAUCAAUAUCUAGAAGAUUGAAUAUCAUUUAAUUAAUAUCGAUUGGCUUUUGGACAAUAUUGAUCCGCAAGAAAAUAAUAUUCAAUUGGAAUGCGUAUUUUUAACUGCAAAAUAUGAUUAUUUACUCAAUGGUCCAAUACUGUUGGAUAGAGUAUGGUUAUUAAAUCGAGGAGAUCCGUGUUUUUCUUAUCACUGAGUUUUUGCCUUUCCUAUAUCGCUUACUCUAGGUAUCGCCUUAUGGUCCUUACAAAAAAGAGUUAUGGUGACUUAGUAAUGUCUUGAUUUGAUGCCCUAUUUUGGUCUAUAAAUUAUUAUUUUGUUGGUCUUGUUAGUGCAUUUCUCCUUUCCUUCAUUACUUGCUUUGAUUAGGGAUGAUCAUAUCGGAUCAACCAAAUUAGGAAUCACCUAAACCGGUCAAUUCUAGACGGUUCUUAGGAGUGUCGGUUCAGUACCCGAUUCCAUAAAAAUGGAACUAUUGAUUUUUGAUUUGUUACCACCAGGUUCGAGGGGAGGGGGGAAUCGGACCAAAUUGGAUAAACAAUAUAUAUAUAUUUUUUAUUUCUUAAAAAUAGUAAGAAAUCCUAAACAACAACAAGUAUAGUAUUUUUUGGGAAAAAUUUACCUUUAGAAUACUCAAAUGGAAUUGCCAAGCGACUAGUUCCAUUAGAUGGUUUAGUCUGAUCCCCUAUUCGAUUCCCAAUUCUUGGGUGGGAUCGGAUUGGAUCAUAAAUCGAUCACUUCUAACUUUUUGGAUCAACUCAUUUCUUCUUAUCAAUAGAAUGCCCUUAUAGACCAAUUCGACUAGCAAGUCCCACCAUCCUCGACUCCGCUCGCCAUCUCUUCUCACAACAGAUUCACCACAGAUAUAAAUAAUUCCGGUCCACAAAAACACUUUAAUCGAACGAGCCCUAAAUCUCUCCCUACAUAAACCCUUCACCAUGAGAGCAAAUCAAUCUAAUGACAUGAUGAUCUCCCCCAUCUCCCAAAUAAAAAUAAAAAAAAGCAAAAAAGCUCCAUUUGAAUUCCACACCCUCCAAAAAAUCACACCACCAAAAUUUAAAGUCUCUUUUUUCUCUCCUUUCUGGGCAAGUCAUCACUAUUAAAAUUUCAAAAUUUCAACCAAAAAAAAAAAAAAAAAGAGAGAAAAAAAAAUUGAAAAUAUAAAAGAAACUUUAAAGAACUCUCUCUCUCUCUCCAAUCCCACUCGUCCAUUCUUCCGGAUCGCUCACCCUCCGCCUCGUCUAUUCGCUCCCCCUUCAAUUUGGGUGCCUCUCUGUGUUUCUUAUUCCUAUCAGCUGGAGAUCAUCUCUCACUCAGUCUCUCCCUGCUUCCACCACUCCGUCUCCCUUCUUCUUCUUUCUUCUUUCUUCUUCCCUCCAAAACCCUGUCUAGGGUUUUGCCGGAGCUUCGGCACCCCCCGCCCCCCCCAUUCCCGACCUGAUUUCUCCGCGCCUCCGAUUCUCGCCUCCGUCUGCCGAAGCUAGGGUUUUUCGUUCCUCCCCUCCCCUCCCCUCCCCUCCCCUCCCCUCUCCUUCCCGAUUGAUCCGAGCGGGCGCGUCGCCGGAAUCGCAUUCUCCGAUUGGUCGAUCUGGAGAUGGAAUCGCGAGAUUUGUCGUCCACGGCGCCUCCCCCGGCGGCUGCGACGGCUGCGGCUGCCGCGGGUUCUGCUGCUGCGGGCGUUGGUGCGGCUGGUGCGGGUGCUGCGGCUCCUCCUCCUCCGCCGGCGGAGGACGAGGGCGUGCUGACCGUCACCGCCGCGCUGGCCAAGGAGGCGCUCUUCCGGUUCCAGUCCCGCAAGUACGGCGAGUGCGUCGAGUUCUUGCGCCAGCUCUUUCAGAAGAAGCACGACGAUCCGAAGGUCGUUUCCCGCCCCCGGAUUGUUUGAUCUCUUCCUCUCUCUCGCUGUUGCGAUGUGCGUUCGUUCUGAGUUUUUGCCUGCCCGUGCUGCUUUUUUGGCUGUUCCGUUGGUCGGAGCUUAAGCUGGGCGACGAAUGUCGGUUGAUCGGUUGGGUUUUCUGUGAAGAUGAGGGUCGAAUUCGAUGAUGCGGCUUGGAUGCCGUUGUUGUGGUUUGCCAAAUGAUUGUUACAAGCUCGUAACUGUAGAUUAGGACUUCUUCCCUCGCUGCGCCAAUUGUGUUAGCAGAUGUGUAGCGUCUCCAUUCGAGGAAAUUCAAGUGCUUGGACGGAGAAACGAACAGGGCCUUCACUCGUUAUAUUUUCUUUUUGCCUGUUUUGGUAUGAUGUUGGCAUUUAGUGGCUAGCUGUCCCAGUCUGGUAGACCUGGCAAACGGAUUCUUCUUCGAAGUUACCCUCUCCGGUUUAUUUCUAUACAACGCCCGCAGGCUCACCCUUUCAUUGUCUGGUGAGGGUUGAGCAUUUGAGCGUACUUGAUGCCCACAUAUUUAGGUUUUUCCGUGUCUCUCUGUAGAACGCACAAAUACGGUGCAUUCGGGGCUGGUUCAUGGUCCAGUUAGAUCUACGUGUUGCACAAGUACUGCGCGUUCUGGUGGCCAGAACAUGUGCGAUCAGAUUUAAUUGUUGAUUGGGCAGCCGGUGUGAUAUUGAAUGAAGCAUCUGAUCUGAGAAUCAUGGCUGUAGAACUUUUCUGUCGGCAGGAGAUGAUAUUGCAAUGAGAAUGAUGAUGAGUUGGUCCGGUUGGUUUAUUUGUGGAUUUUCAGAGGGUUCAGUGAUGGUUCUUUUAAUCUUCAUCCGCUUAAUACCAUUGCUUUGUCACUGUAUACUCGUUAAUGGCACCAUAUCUGUCUGUUUGCCUAAGUUUAUUCAGUUUACUUUAUUUGACCAGUAAACAAAUUCUAGUUUCAGCUUUGCAUGUUUAUUUAUCCUUUGGGUCUGUUGUGAGCUUUUCUUCUACGUGGUAAGCAUGCUGUAUCCUCUAUUGGUUUGAGGUUUAAUUUCUGGGUUUGAUUGGAAUUUGGACAUCCUAGCCACUUGGGCUGUUCCUGGCUGUGCAUACUUUUCCUUUUCUUUUAGAAUCUUUAUAUGGCAUUUCUUGAGUAAAGAAGUCGUUCUUUUUGUCUGACUUGCCUAAAGCACCAUGGUCUGAGCUAUUAACAUUAGUGCAAUGCAGGUCCUCCACAAUAUUGCGGUUGCCGAAUACUUUCGUGAUGGCUGUUCAGAUCCUAGGAGAUUGCUUGAAGUACUGAAUACCGUCAAGGUGUGGCACUCCUUCAAACCCACUCUCUUCAGAAUAUGUGAUCUACUCCUUAUCCAGAAGUAUCUGAAAGGAUUUUAGGUUGUUUGAUUUUUACUCUAAGCUAUUGAGUUUUGAAUCAAUCUUGAUAUGUUGUGUUGAGCACAGUGGGAGUAGGAAAGAGAGAAACACUGAUAGUUGCUUCUAAAUUAUCAUCUAGGCAUUGAUGAAAGAGGUGAAUGACUGGGAACUUUGUCUAGAAUUUUAAGAAAGGGCAAGGGCAGAGCCUUUCUUAUACAUUGUGUGCUAUUCUUUAAAUGGCUCUUCUCCAUUAAAGAGUGGUGAAACUGGUGGACUUCGGUCUUGUUUGGAGAAAAUUAGUAUAGUUUCUCAACACAUUGAGAGUGAGUCUGAUGAAGUGGAGGAAAUUCUUAGAUUGUUGUCUAGACAAUGAGGAAGGUGGUAGCCAAAUUUGAAGUUACUUUGGAAAUCCGACUGAGUGCAAGAGCUAACCCUUUUGCUUGACAUGUUCAUUUCAGUUAAAGAGUGGAGAAUUUGUUGAUUGGCAGACUUAAUUUCUGGUGAAAAUAGUGUCUUCUUUGACAAAUUAUUGUGAAAUCAAGUAAAGGGUGUAAAAUUUUUUGUGCACGGGACAUUAUCACUAUAGUCCUCCAUUGGCCAUUGAAGGCUGAAUAGUGCCUUAGCAGUCUUUGCAGAAGGUAUGAGUUGUUAGUAAAUGGAUGUUGGUCAUCAAAGAUGGUCAAGAGAAACCUGAUCAUGUGGAUUCUGUGAAAAUUGCUUUUCUCUAGUUUUUUACUGUGAGGAAAACUUGUUCAGAAUAAUACGUCAGGCCAGAAAGGUAGUAAUGGAACAUCAAGGAAGAAAGGGAGGGUAGGGAGGGUUUUGUCAUCUACAUCUAUCUCUUAAACUUGUAUCGUGUAGGGAUGUAAUCCUUACGAAGGGUCCCAUGUAUUUUCUAGUCUGAGGAAUAACUUAAGAUAAUUUUUGGUGUAACUCGUGGCUCCUUGGGUCAAGAUUUUACAAAUGCUUGCUGUCUUGAUUUUAGGGAGUUUAUCUUUGCGCAUAUGGAUCCUGACUGUGUGUUGGCACCUACGCUCCUUUAGUAGGUGUUUGGUUUUUCCAUUAGUCUAAGUGCUUCCUCUAUGUUUUUUCUUGGACAAACUAUCGUGAAGUAUGCAGUGUGAUAUAUUUAGAGCUAGAAACCUGUAACUGCAAGAGAUAACUUGGUAUACAUGGCAUUCAGAAGGUUCCACCUUGUGUAAAUUAUGCAUUUGUAGUUAACCUGCGUGAAUUAUUCGUAAAUUCUUAGAGAAAUAAAGCAUCUCCAAGUGCUUUUUUAUCAACAAAGUAAUUGUGGAAGAGAUAGGUCCAGCUUGUAAAAGGAAGAGAAGUAUUUAGCUGUUAGCUUUGCUCAGGUGCAUUUGUAGAUUUUCAUUUCAUUCCAUGGGGCGGAUCCAAUUGUUUGAUCUCUUCCCUUGUGAUAUAUGUGAUAUCUAAAUAAGGUAUGCUACUUGUUGGAAACCCAUAAUGGAAACUCUAUAAGUACCAUCAAAAGAUAUGCCAAUUUUACAUUAUUGGAUCCAAAUUUUACAUACCAUCAAACCAGAUCCAAACUCACAUGCUCAGAUCCAAAUAUGCAUGAUAAGAGAGAUCAAUUUUAUCCAUAACAUCUGGUCGUACUUUCUAUCAUGUUAUCUUUCUAAUUUUUUUAUUUGGUUGAUUUUAUUCAGAGAAAAAGUGAAGAGCUUGCCCGUGCAUCUUUGGAGCAGCGUGAGGUUGUCGGCAACAAAGCCAAUUUAGGUCCUAAGGGGAGUUCUACCAUGGCACAACAAAUGAAUUCAUUAAAUAAUGCCAGUAUUCUUUACACAGAUGAGUUUAACUCUUCUGUGGCAACAUUUAAUAUUGUACGUAUGAAGGCAUUAUUUAUUUUCAAUUUAAAUUUCUCUGUAUUUGAUGGAAGAAGGUUGAGAAAUGUCUUUAAUAUUGGUUAUAUUGUCCAACAUGUUGUCGACCCUUUUGUUUAUAGGCUGUCAUAUGGUUCCACCUCCAUGAAUAUGGCAAGGCAUUAUCCAUCCUGGAACCAUUGUAUAGCAACAUUCAACCAAUAGAUGAGGUACUAAAAUUUGCCUUCUACAGCUUUAUUCCCUCCCUCCCAUCCUCUCUCUCUCUCUCUCUCUCAAUUGUCAGCUUACCACUUUUUGUGUAUGUAUGAACACAGACUGUAGCUCUUCACAUAUGCCUUCUGUUGCUGGACGUGGCUUUAGCCUGCCAUGAUGCAGCAAAAUCUGCGGUGAGAAGCUUGUCAUGUUCUUGAUAUUGAUGCAAAGUCUCUAAUUUCUGAUGGAAUUGCUUUAUGGACAUUAAGGGGCUUCUUUUAGUUGAGGAAACAAUUUUGUCUUUCCGAUGUUUGCUAUAUAGAAGGUCCUUGCUUGGCCUUUAUUUAUGUAUAUGCAUAGGUAAUGACUUCCCACCAGCUUGUAAGUGGAUAAUAUUGUUUCGCAAGAAGAUAUAUCAAAUUAGUCUUUUUUAACCAUUUAAUCUCUUUAGAUUUUGGAACUUUUUUUAAUCCUUGACAGUGGAGCUAAAGUACCACCGCAACCAAAUUUUGUUAGCUUAUGGCCAUGGCCCAAUACUACCAAAAUUUGUUGGUUUUAUUUUUAUUUUUAAUGGAUUUAGGCUUUAUAUAUGACUGUUGUGGUAUUCUACUUCUAGGCAGUUAUUCUUAUCCUUUUUUGGGACUCAAAAUAUCAAUGUUAUGCUUUUCAUACAGUUUGUUUUUACGUAGUAGUACUGCUUGUCCAAGUGAAGUGCAUUAGCUAUUGUGACAUUGGAACUUAAAUUUAGCUGAUAUGACUAUCUUGGUGUGAGUUGCAAAAGUGCUGAGCCAUGAGAACAUGUUAACUCAAUGCUCUAGCUUAAUUGAAUCGAGAAAUUAAAAUUUUGGUUGGUAAAGUUUUUUUCUGUUUUCAUUUUAUCCCUGAGGUUUUGGCUUUUGGAGUUUAUUUUGUCACUUUUCUUCCUGUUUAUGCUUCUUAUUGUGGUGAAUUUUUAGCAGUUAAUUUAGUGUAACUUUUGAAGCCCCUGACAUAACUGCUGAAAUGAAUGAUUAAUCCCUACAAAGAAGUUUCGUGCAAUCGCUGCCCUCCCCUUACAUUGACCUUGAGGACUGCUGAAUUCUGGUAUAAAAAGCGCUAGCAAUAAGGGUUUGAGGCAUACUGAUGCAUGUUCUGAAACUGUACAGGCCAAAAUGGGGAAAAAAAGUCAAGGCUACAUUAAUAUUUAGUGCCAACUUCAAUUGCAAAAUGUUUUUUCCCUCCCCUUUGAAAUUCCUUGCAUACCAGUACAGGUAGAUUAAUAUGGAGUGCCAACUUCAAUUGCAAAGUGUGCUUUACCUCCCCUUUGAAAUUCCUUGCAUAUUAGGAUGGGGAGAUGUUCAUGGAGAUUAGUGUACUGUACUUUUGUGUAUUUAAAAUGCCUUUUGCCUUCUUAAAGUACAUGAAGAUGUUCAACUUCUAUGGCCUUAGACCAAAGUAGUUAAGAUGAUUUUUCAGUUUCAUUGCCAAAGGUGUUGAGUAAUGAUGAUCAUAUUGAAACAGAAAGUGAUUUUGUAGAUUUGUGACAUAUGUGAUUGUUUCUAGAAGUGAUGUUAGGGAGACAUUAGCUAGAAAGAUUACAACUUGUUUUCAUUAAGAUAAUUACUUCAGCUCUUGGAUUAAACACGCUCGAUCACAUUUUGGAGCUGUACCUCCAUCUAGACAGUAGAAGAGCUGCUCUUUUUUGUUUCCUUCAAGUUGCUCUUAUGUUUAUUGUUGACCAGCUUAUGAUUUGGUUAUAGAUCCCUUCCUCUUCUUCUUCUUCUUCUUCUUCUUCUUCUUCUUCUUCUUCUUCUUCUUCUUUUUUUGGGUGUCAUGGGUUUAUGAAAUCGUCUUUCAAUUUUACAGUUAGUUUAUCAAGAUUAGAAAGUGUUAAUUAGGCAACAUUUAUCCCAGUUAUGUUUGGAAUAUGUGCAAAGUGUAUGAUCCAAGAUAUAGGCCAAGGAUGUUUUGCAUAUGGUUGUUGACUAUUAUUAUUCAAGAAUGUGGUUGCUCAUUAGACUUUAGUUGAUUAGUAUCACAGACAUUCUUGAUUCGAGCUUUCCCUGUCUAUAGACUGGACAUUCCUUAUUGAAAAAAGGAUUACAGAUUACUCAUGAGUCAUUGCUCUCACUCUUUUGAGUAGGUGUUUUAAACACUUUUCUCCUCAAAGCAUGACAUCUGUGUUGCUUUUUUAUUUAUGAACUCUUCUUUUGGCUAAUCACUUGUGAACUUAUUGGUUUUUAACUUCAUCCCAAAUCAUCUGUAUAUACUUGUAUGCAAGAUUUAAAAUUGGUGCACUUUUGUCUCCUGCCAUACUUUUUAAUCAGUGUAAAAGAAAAAACUCAUGUCUUCAGUUUAUGAGCAAAAAUGUAUGUCUAGACAUGGGAUUAGCCAGGUAUUUUUGAAGCAUGACUAGAAUGUAUGUGGGCUUGGGUUUCUUGGUAUGAUUCUAGAGAUAUCCUCCAGGUGUUUCUCUAAAUUUUUCAUUUUGUGAACAGAUUUUUGGCAAGUUACAUGCUGAUAUUUUAAAAUCUGAAUUGGCGCGUAUUUAUGUAGUUGCAUGUUUAUGUGCCGCCGAGACUGUCUUAGGCUGUUUAAAUUUGAACUGUUUGUGGACUAUAACAUGCACCCUGGAACUUCACCUUGUUUAAGCAUUUAAUGGAGGUCCAAGGCAUAGAUCCGCUAAGAUGAAAGGAUAAGUUAAGAUUUAUAAAAUACUGCUUACAUACUCAUUAUUUACCUUGAGGGAUAACAGAUGCAUAUCCCCACUUUUCUUAUUGAUUGGCAUUGCAUUUUGUUAAAUGGUCUUACAAUCUUAUUUUUCUCCAUUCAUUGCUUCAUUUUUUGAUAGUCCUGCAUAUUUGGUUCUUAAUUUCAGGAUGUACUUAAUUAUUUAGAGAAAGCUUUUGGUGUUAAUCAAGGCGAGAAUGGGAGUAGCGUGCAGCAACAACCUGCUAACUUAGUGGGGAAGUCUUCUUCUGUACCUAACAGUUCAUUGAUUUCAGAUGCUUCUAAUCAAGAGUCUGUUAGUAUAAAUGCUUCGGAAAAACCUUUGUCCAGAACACUAUCAGACGAGACACUGGAAAAUAUGCUAUCAACUCUGGACAUUGGUGGACAGGAUGCAGUAAGAGCACUGGGUAUUCCAUCUUCGGUCGAUCUCUCCCGGAGUCCGAUUGAUAAGACCAUCACGGCUGUUAAUUUUAAGCUUAAGUUGCAACUAUAUAGGGUUCGGUUUUUGCUUCUAACGGGAAAUUUGAAGGCAGCAAAGCGUGAAGUCAAGGGUGCUAUGAAUGUUGCACGAGGAAGAGAUUCGUCCAUGGCUCUGCUCCUAAAAUCCCAGCUUGAGUAUGCUCGUGGCAAUUACCGUAAAGCUAUUAAGCUUUUGAUGGCUCUUGGGGUUCGGACAGAAGCUGGAAUCUCUAGCAUGUUUCUUAACAAUCUAGGAUGUGUUUAUCACCAACUGGCUAAAUAUCACUCGGCAACCAUAUUUUUCUCGAAGGCACUGUCUAGCAGUUCAUCAAUUCGGAAGGAGAAGCCUUUGAAGCUGUCUAGUAUCUCCCAAGAUAAAUCUCUUUUCAUUGCAUAUAACUGUGGCAUACAUUACUUGGCAUAUGGGAAACCAAUACUUGCUGCUCGGUGUCUCCAGAAGGCUCUUUUGGUCUUUUACAACCGGCCUCUUUUUUGGUUUCGACUUGCUGAGUGCUGUCUCAUGGCUUUGGAAAAGGGACUAUUCAAGACUGGCGAUGCUUCUGAUGAGACUAUUAAGCUUUGUGUUGUUGGCAAAGGAAAAUGGAGGCAAAUAGUUGUUAAAGAUGCACCUGAAAAUGGGCUAACAGAUCUGAUCGAGAAUGAGUGCUCUCUUGGCAGUGAUGGACAGCUUAAUCUCUCUCUGAAACUUGCUCGCUUGUGUCUUUUGAAUGCAUUGCACAUAUUAAAUGAAAGUGAACCAAGUCAAGUCAAUUCAAGUUUGCCUCCUGAUGGCUCCUUGGAUGGAUCUAAGUCAACAGAAGAAAUGAUUUCCGGAAACUCGAACCACAGAACAUUGCCUGGUGUAGAUGCCAAACCAUCAAAUGUGGGCUUAGGGCAGCUUAAUGCGAAUGGAGAUGUAAAAGACCAGAAGACAGGAACAAGUGAGGAAAUUAUGAGUGGCUCUCUCUCGAUGUAUGAAGAUAAUCGCAGAAGACAAUCGAGAUUAAUGAAGCAAGCCAUUCUUGCUAACCAGGCGUUUGUGGAGUUAGAGUUGGAAAAUCCUAUGGGGGCCCUGUCAUGCGCUUUGGCUAUCUUGCAGCUUCCAGAUUGUUCCAGAAUAUACACUUUUCUUGCCCAUAUGUAUGCAGCAGAGGCUCUUUGCUUGCUCAACAGAACCAAGGAUGCUGCAGAACAUUUGUUGUUUUACCUCUCGGAAGGAAAUCAGAUUGAAUUGCCAUACUGCGAAGAGGACUUCGAGCAAUGGCGGACAGAACGAAUCUUUGACCCUGAAGAGACAAAUGGAGGUACAGCAACUGCUAAUAAUUUUUCUUCAGAGGAGGCUCAAACUCUGAUGUUUCUUAAGCCAGAAGAAGCACGUGCCACCCUUUAUGCGAAUCUUGCGGCCAAGUCAGCCUUGCAAGGUGAGCUCGAGAUGGCUCAACAAUUAGUUGCACAAGCGUUAGCUGUGCUACCGGCUAGUCGAGAAGCCACUCUAACUGCCACAUAUAUACAUCUCAUGUUGGGGAAUUCACAGGAAGCUCUCUCCAAGUUGAAACAGUUUAAUCAUGUCAGGUUCUUACCCUUCACCUGUACUUUGGAUAAAUCUUCUUAGUGGCUGAAGUGGUGGUGGUGUUUUAUGUUCUCUGGCCAGUCCAUUGCGCCUUGCGCCUUAGUGGUUAGUUAGAAGUAGAUGGAUAAUCCUCAAGAGGAUGUGUAACAUGGUAUAGUUUGUCUUACAGAAUAAAUCUGUUUUGCUUUUAAUUUUCAAAUUUAGGCUUUAUUGUUCCAUGGUGUGGCUGUGUUUUGGUUAGUCCAGAUGCCCACCCCCUUUUCCCAUAUUUGAGGUGUAGUUCUGAUUCAGUUACUGUUUUAAUUAGUUUAGUUGCUAGUGGAGAGAUGGGGAAGUGAAUUUGCUCUUUUACUAUAAAAAGGACAUUGAAAUUUUUUUCUUUCUCCUUUUCACCAAUAUCAAUUUAAGAGCCCUUCUUUUGAGGGCUUUUCUUUUGAGUGGCUUCUAUCCAUUCACUCUGGCAGAUCGAAGGGAUGUAUAUAUGCACAUGAUGUUGGUUUUGAUUUUCUUUUUUUCGGCAUCUUCCUUUCGGGGCUUUAAUAGAAGAGUUGGUCCAUUUCUUGUAAUGAUUCAUCGGAAAGCUAAUUCUAGGUCCCAGGUAGCACGCAAUCUCUUUUAUGUUUUGUGAAAAGAUCUAGUUGGCUGUAACCAGAGUUGAAUGCAGAGAUGUAUGUGUAGGCUCUAUAUUCACUGUUCAGAUUGCCAUACGCUGCUGUAGUACUAUGACAAUGUCAAUCAUUGUUUCAUCUUUGGAAAUGUACCUGUUGAUUCUUACUUUGACCCAUCGAUAAAUGUUAGGAUUAAUUCACGUUUUUUAAGAUGGAGGAACCUUAGGUGGUUGCUUGGGGUGUUGGUUGGAUGGGGGAGGUGGUUGCUCCUUUGCUGUCAUAGAUGGAUGAGCAAUUGAAGUUUGUUUCUUAGCCAAUUUUCUAAUUGUCAAAGUAGUGCUAAUCUUAGAGCACGUGUUUGGCCAAAAAUCCAGUGAAGCAUUGUUCUUAUAUUCUUUUUUCUGUGUUUUGGCAUGUCCUAGGUUUGAUAGUCCUGAUACUUAAUUGUCCUCAUAGCAACUUCGCCUUAUCCCUAUUUUUCAUUGCGGCCUUAAGUGGCAUGUGAUGGUUACGCAGUACUGCGGGCACAUUCUUCCAUCCACCACGAAGUUCAAGCACACUGAAUUUUCCCAAGUUUUCCUCCAAAUGUCAGGCUUCUUGAUUGCUCGCACUUGAGAUUUAUCUACAAUCGCUAUAUCACCAGCAAAUAGCACGCUAAAGAAUAUUUCUCUAUAUAUACUUAGCUAGCUGGUCCAAUUACCCGGGGAAAUAGGAGAACAUCAAUCAAGUUUGUGCCUGUGUCGUUGUCCUCCACUUCAAGUAAUUUUGUUAACUAGGUGUUUAUGUGAUUUUGAUUUGAUCUGUGGUGAAUUAUCAAGAAGCCGGCUAGAGUAGGGGCAAGUGAAAAUAGGAGAAAAGUUAAACCCAAAAAAAAGAAAAAAAAAAGAGAAGAUAUAUGCGAAAAUAGUGUGCAAUGAAAGCACACGAAAGGGGAAAUUUCAGAUACUAGUUUCAUCCUAAAACUAGAAUAUGGUUUUUCAAAUGAGGCGGAAUGUUUGAGUAUUGCAGUUGGAUUAGAGAUACUUGCGAGUACUUGAGCCACUCUCCACUCUUUAAGGUCAUCAUUUGAUUUAGAGAUGGCAAUUUGCGUGGUCGCAUCAUUAUUUAUCAUGUUAAACAGAGGUCUAGUUCAGACGGACACUGUUCGUGCCGCAUUCUAGGAAAGCCACUACGGCAUGACACGUUGCAAUUAAUGAGUGUAUGUCAUAAUUUUAUUCUGUAUGCGUGAAAGAAUGUGCUAAAAUGCAUAUUAGCAUGGCUGAGUGUAUCUAAACGUAUCAUAAGCGACAUGUUAACUUGCUUUAUCGAGCGCCUCUAAUCGUGGCGUAAAUGGGUGGACAGGUUAAACCUAAACGGGCCAAAUCCUUGAACAUGAGGCCCAGUUGACCCGCAUGGAUCCGACCAGAUCAGAGCGAUGAUGGUGGAGCAUUUCGCAUUUCGCAUUUGUUUAGCACAAAGGGGCGAUCCAUGUUGGGACUGGGAGAUCGAGAUUUCUAUUAUGAGCGAUCAAGUACAAGAGGGUCCAGACAUCACUAUUUAUCUGAACGGCACCUCCCUCCCUUCCCCCCUCUCUCUCUCUCUCUCUCUCUCUCUCCUUCCCAUGUCCAGUCGCUCGAAUCUGGAGAUCCUUCCCAUGUCCAGUCGCUCAAAUCUGGAGGUGAUGAGUCUUGACCUCAGAGAGAGAGAGAGAGAGAGAGAGGGGGAAGGGGGGGGGGGGGGGGGAGGGGCGGUCAAACCCAUUGUGGUUGUACCGGCUAGGGGGGCGUCAAUGGCGGGUUGAGCUAUGAUGGCUGAGAGUUGCAGUGGGUGGGGGUGUCAAAAACCGAACCGAAAAGUUCGAUUUUUUCGGUUCAGUUUUUAUCGCUUAACCGCACUGAACUGAACCAACAAACCGAUAAGAGCUCAUUUAUUAAAAAUACAACAGAAAAAAAAUGAAAAAAAAAAAACAAAUGCAAAAACCGAAAACUAAAAGUUGAAAAUCAAAACCGAAAAAUCGAACCGAACUGAAAUUUCGGUUCAGAAGUUUUUUCUAACGGUUCGAUUCGGUUCAAUUUUCAAGAAAAAACCGUUGACACUCCUAGCAGCGGGCUACAAUUCGCCGAGGAACAAACCAUCUGAGAACAGGAAGGGAAAGGGGAAAAGGUGCAGCGGAAGAGAGGAGCAUGGAGAAACGAAAAAGGAGGAAACUCAUGUAGCCAUUGACAUAUAACACGUUAAUCCGUCUUCCUUCUGGCGAGACUAAACAAAACAAACGAUGUGGAUCUACUUUCAAAAUUUUUUUAUCCGUGCAUCUAGAGCAUCGCCCCUCCAAACUCCUUGCUUGCACUGGUCCAGUCAAGGGCUGUAGAAAUUCGAACACAGCCCCAAACGCUUCUGUAGAAGCUUAUCCACGAGAGCCACUAAAGUCCAAGGCUGUUGGAGGUAAUCCACAACAUCCGAAGGACAACAAUAUUCCACCGUGCUUUCCGGAUUCGAGCGAGGACGAACGAUGAUCACGUGACGAACGACAUGGCGUGUCCUGGUCCCCCAAUCCCCGCGAUUCGUGAGCUGACGGGGGUCCAUCCCACGUUGAUCCAUCUUUUUGUCUCUUGUCACUCGCCUGUACUCUCGCCUCUAUGGCAGCACCUGGAUUGAAAGCGGGAAUACGACCCCAAGUCUAUGAAACAUUUCUCCAGUGGAUUCUAAUAUUAGAGGGUUUUGCCGCGUAAUAGGAUGAACAUUGUGCUAGUGAAUUUAGGGAGAAAAUUCUACGAAAAGUUUUAAACCUAUUAUAUAGUGAUCAAUUUGGUUGCAAAUUUUUUGACGAUUUACCAAUUUUGGCAUAGAAUCAUUGAUGUGACGGUCUAAUCAACAAAGAUAAAGAAAAAGAAAAGGAAAAAAACUUCAGAAAUUUUUUAUACAAUUAUAAAAACUGUUAGUAUUAGCAUUAGUCAUGCUACGGAGGAUAGUCGGCAUUGACUAGACCGCGAAAUCAACAAUUUUCUACGAGGUAAAUUUGCAAAUAUUUAAAAGGUUUAAGAUUAAAUUGACAAAUAGUUUUGAUAGAAUAUACAAAUCCAUAACAAAGAUACUCUUAUGCCCGACACUUUUAUUAUAUGAACAAGGAGUUCCACAAUCAUUUGAUAUAUAUAUCGGGCACAUUCGUCGAAAGAUAUACAUCCAUCUUACAUGGAAUUGAGUUUUUCUCCUUAACUUCUUGUCUCUUCUUUGAGUUUUCAUGGAAGCCAUCCAAUCUUUCAUUUAUUUUAAGAUAUUUUAGGGAUUUUCUAAAGUAUCUCUCCUUUUUUUCUUUCUUAUGGCAUAAUUACAUUUGAAGUUUUAAAAUUUUUAAAAAGUGCAAUUAAUAACUACAACUUAUCACAAAAGUAUAAUUGAAUCUUAAAACUUGUAGAAACGGUCUAAUUAAGUCAUUCUGUUGAUUGCACUUUUUGAAAGUUUUAGGAUUUGAUUUCAUUUUUUGAAAGUUUUAGGAUUCGAUUGUACUUACGUGAUAAGUUUUAGACUUGGUUAUACUUUAUGAAAGUUUUAGGACUUAAAUACACUUUCAUGACAAAUUUUAAAACUUUUAGUUCACUUGUCCCACUCUUUUUUUGCUAAAUGAUAGAGUAAAAAGAGGGGAGAAUUACAUUUUGCCCCUAUGUACCCGGGAUUUGGCGAGUUCCCCCUGAAAUUCCAAAUUUUGCAAUUUACAGCCCUACUUUUGAAUUUGGUGGCACCCCCACGCGUUGAUUCUAGCCAAACUUUUGUCACCUAUUUGACCAAGCAACGGCACACAAUUAUUUAUGAAGGCAAAUUUGGACAUAUAUCAUUUAUAUAUGCGGAAAAAAAUUGGGACAACUAAAAAAUACUUUUAAGACUGCAUUUGAUAUUGACUCUAGUUAUAUUCUUGCCAGAACUUUAGCCAUUUACUUUGACAUGCAAUAUAAUUCCGAAUUAUUCUCCUACUCUUUUUUUUUUUUUGUAUGCAUACUUAUACGACGAAUUUGCACUCAAUAAUCAAUCAUGUAUGUGUUUGGAACUCCAAGUAAAAUUUGGUCGGACACGAUGCUUGGGGGAUACAUUGCAACUUAUUUCUAAAAUUCGAGUAACAAAUUCAAAAUUUGAUAUGCUGAGCUCAACUUACAGCAACUCUUAAAACUUGCGGUCAAUAUAUAAUUUGCUCGAUAAAAUAGAGUGCUUUUUUGAUUUAGAGAUUGAGAGAGAGUUCUCAUAUAUUUAUUGAGCGUGCAUUUCACAAAAGUGAUUUUUUUUUCUUCAACCCCCUUAAACUUUAAUAAUCUAAUAACGCAAAUUUAUAGAUAAUCCUUAGUUUAUGGAUUGGGUUGAGUUUUCCUCCAUUUUUGGUUGGUGGCAAUUUUUCCUAAUUGAAUAUCUGAUUGGUGACAUAAACAUGGACAUCAUUCGCAUGUGAUAUUAACUAAAAAUAUGGCCGUUCUAUCUUAUGCAUCCUUUUGUUUGUUGCACCAUUUUCACAUCUCCUAUAAUCAGUAGAUAGUCAGGUAUAACGUAGGACGUACGUUGAGAUAGAUGCCGAAAGAAGAGCAAUUAGAGUCUCUUUCGCCAAAAAUGUCUUCAUCGAUGUAGAAAUAGCUUUUCGUUUCUUUUUAAAAGUUGACAGCUACUAAAGCAUCCCCGUCUUUCUCAAAAAAAAAAAGAAAAGAAAAAAAAGAAAAGAAAAGAAAAGAAAAGAAAAGAAAAGAAUAGAAAAAUUCUGAUUUAACAAGUCAUAUGGAACAAUUCAAGUGGCCUUUUGUACCAAGUGGUUCAAUAUAUAGAUUAAUACUCUUUGAUUUCAAUCUUGAGUACGAUAACCAUAUUCGAUUAGUCAAUAAUUUCGAUAUAUAGCACAGCUAAAUUAAAGUCAUCAAGAACGUCCUUCCCGAAAGCAUGCAUUGAGAGGAAUAUGUUAGGGAAGUCAUUCCAUAUUGACAUAUUGAAAGCUUCUUGUGCGUUAGCUGAGUGAGAUUCCAUGUAAGGUAAUGAAUGAACGAAUUCUCUUAAGCUUCACAUUUAAGAAAUUUUCCACAUGUCGGUUAUUGUGCUAUGGUAGGCAAUACAUAUACUUGGCAAUAAUUAUGCUGCAAGAUUGACCUAAUUCGUCAUGCCGGGCUGCAUAAUAGAAUUUCACAUAUGUUUGCCAUACCAUGACUUCUCCCUCAAGCUGCCUAAGCGAGAAUGUUGAUGAAAAUGAAUAACAAUUAGUUGUAUAACGAUGCACGUGGACUGCAAAGAUGAUAGUUUUCAUUAAUUCGAAGUAAGUUUCUCUAUUUAAUUGGUUUAGGAAGUUAAUCUAUAAGGCCAGGAUAUAGAUUCUCAUUGCAUGUUAGGUAUGAGUGAAUUAUUUUAUUGUUCACUUGAAAUUCGCUAUAUCCCUUGAAAAUUGGAGGGUAUAUUCUUAGCAUUACUAAAUCUAUCCUUGACCCUUGUUUUGCUGAUGCGAGGGAUGAUAAAUCUAAAAGCUGCAAGAAUCUUAGACCCAGCAACGUACAAUUGAUAUGAUAGUUGACCAAAAAUCAAGACAACAAUGAAAUUGAUAAACAAAAGAGCUGAUUCGAAUCUUGCUUGCUUCAAUCAGUCCACUAGGAAUAAGAAACACACCCAACAAUCAUUUAAGAACAAAUGCCUCAAGAUUACAAUCUAGACAUCGAUCAAUGACCAAUCAAGAAAAGGGGGUAGAGACAGAGAGAGAGAGAGAGAGAGAGAGAGAGAGAGAGAGAGAGAGAGAGAGAGAGAGAGAGAGAGAGAGGGAUUUGUUCGACAUCCUCUCAUGUCGAAUUCAUCCGCAUGUCCUGAAAUCUAAGCAACCUGCAAAAAACACAAAAAAAUUGAGAAAUUCAAUGAGGAAAUAGUAGUUUAGGCCAAUGAGCAUUUAAACCCAGUAUGUCGUGCGUAUGAAGAAGAUUUUUCACAGGAGAGAGAAGGGUAGAUUCUAAGAAUCGCGUGACCAUUUCUCACAGGCACCUAGAGGUUUCUGUCCCCCAAUCAGAGUCCAUUAUUGGAGAGAGACAUUUUCGCAGGGUGAAAAAGAGAGAGCAAAAUGUGAGUCACUUUCUCUCCGGGAAAUGACAAUUUAAUUAUAAAGUUCGUACCCUUAUUUUCCCCACCACACUAGAAUGUGUGCAUUAUGACCAAUUUUUGUUUCGCUUGAUGUAGGAAACGUGCAAAAAUUUUGUUUUUGUCUUUUUUUUCUACCUUUUGACAUUGUGACCAGCUAACAACUUAUGCACCCUUUUCUAGGAACAUUUCUCACUCCACCUUUUUUUUCUGGGUUCACUGGUGUUCUCCUUUAUCAAGAGAAUGUCGUGUUGUAUGUAGACGAAUCUCUCGGUAAAGCUGAAAUAGUAUUAAAAUAAACACAUUCUAUAUAUUAUUAGCAGGAUGUACGUGGUCUCUCUAUUGCCAAGGUUAGCAUGAUGAACCGAUAUUCAAGACACACUGCAGCAUCACUAGUUUACUUAAAGCACAGAGGAAACAAAAGUUUCUUAGGGUUUUUGAGAUAUAACUUGGGUUAAACACUUAACUUUGAUCUAGAGAGUGCAAGUGUAACCGGGAGGAGGAGUCUUGCCACAGGUGACAAGAAGCUGAAG